This 117138-nucleotide long non-coding RNA is filed under the name Vitis vinifera (wine grape). RNAcentral describes it as "long non-coding RNA (VVIN_LNC000868)". Lineage: Eukaryota; Viridiplantae; Streptophyta; Magnoliopsida; Vitales; Vitaceae. The record is from RNAcentral.
AAAAUGCAGUCCACAAGUACAUUUCAAGUCAAUAAAUUAUUUUUACUUAUUUUAACUCUUUUAUAAUCGAUUAAAUAAUUUAUAAAUAUAUAAAAUUUUAACUAAUUUUAAUUAUAUUUAAUUUAUUUUCAUACUUUUUAUAAUAAAAUCGAAGAAGGUACUAUAAGAUUUUCCUCAAUUAUAAACUUAAUACAACAAAAAUCAUUUUUUCUUUUAAUGAUUUCUACUUUAAAUUUCAAUGUUAAAUAUACCUUCUUCAACUAUUGACAUGUUUUUAUACUCUGUUAUCUCACAUUUAAAACCUAACACUUUGACCUUAAACUUUUGCCCUCAAUUAAUAAUCCUUCCAAAACUCUAAAAUCAAAACCUAAUACUUUACCCUCCAAAUUUAUUAGAGAGCAAUAUUUUACUCUCAAUUACAAACUUUCCAUAAAAUUAUAAAAGAGAUUGUUUUUUUUUUUACAUUUAGGGAAUUGACAACUUUGAAGUGAAAAUUUUCAAACACUUUCAAAAUACGGUAGCCAUUGGUUUUGAUUUUUGGUUAAAGAUAUUUGUACGACUAUUCGCGAUUUUUGCAUGCAACUAAGAAAUGUAACUAUUUUAAUAUUUUUCUUUAUAUUUUAGCUUUAUUUAUUCACUAUAACAAAUUGAUAAUUGACUUUUUAAUAAGCUUGUGAAAUCAAUUUAUUAUUGAUUAGCAAAUUUAAAGAACAAAGGAUUAAAUUUUGAACCCAAAAUUUAAGUAGGGGUAAAAUGUAUUUGUGAUAUCCAAUAUCGGAUAAGGGAGAAAGUUACUUGAAUUAUAUAAGUAUGGAUUCCUCUUAACCAUGUAGAUGCGUUUUAAACCCGCCCUUAGAUUCAAAACAAUAUCUAUAUGAUUGCAUUGUUACAAUUUAUCAAAUAAAUUUUAUUCUAAAAAAUAAGUGAACAUUAUUGCAUUCUUAAAAAUCAAGCAGACUUCGAAGAUAUCUACACGAACAACAGAACUUUUAUGAUUCGAUCUAAAAUCCUUCCUCAUAUACUUUUAGCUUGUGUGUAAUUCAAUUUAAAAAAUGCCAUCCACAUUGCCAGCUAAGUCUCCCACAUGUGAAAAAAAAAAAAAUCAAAGAAGAGAAAGACACAAACCCAAAAUUCCAACAAAGUCUUAACCAAUUCUACCUCUUUUCUCAAGAUCUCUAGAAGCCCUAAUCUCGUUUUUUCUCUAAAAAUCCCAUGAAUCAUCUAACCUUUCCUUUUCUUCCUCAUUCUCAAAAUUUCUUGAAACCUUAACUUCUUUCACUUCUCCAAAAAUCAUGAAAUUCCAUGAAUCCCUAACCUCUCCUCUUCUUCCCCAUAUUCUCAAAAACCCGAAAUCCCACUACUUCACCUUAAUGAUUGCAUGCACCUUAAUGAACUAAGGUCGGAGAAUGAAGUAAUCCAAAGUUUCCUACAAUUAUUUUAUUCAACAUGCUACAACAUGGAAACUCUCAAUAAGGACAUCAUGAUAUCCUAUAUGAAACAACCAUAUCCCCUUAAAUAAUUUCAAGGAUAAUGAUCAAGUUUAACUCAUAACUAUGAUAAAUUAUUUUAAAUUGAAAUUUGAUAUUUAUCCUCAAAUAUUUUACUUAUUUCUUAAGAUUCGAUUUAUGAGUCUUUGAAGAUCAUCAUAUCUAGUAUUUCAUUUAUUUUUCUUUCUUUCUAAGACAGAGUUGAACUAUGUUUGAUUCCAAGGAAAAUACUAAGUAAAAAAAUGGUAAAUUUGUUUUAUUUGAAGGAAAAUAAAAAGAACAGAAAUGAUAAGUAAAAUGUUUUCUUAAGUUCCAUUUACAAUAAGAAAUAUAUAAAAAAUUAAAUAUAAUUCAAAUUAAAAAAAGAAGAUAUAAUUCAAAUUUGUUAGACAUUUAUACAUUUUAAAAUUAUUUAAUUUUUAUAUGGAAGAUAAAAAAAUAUGUAUAACAAAUUUCAAAAAACAUGUAAAAAUAAUUUAUUAACUUUAAAUCUAUUUUCAUAUCUCUCUCUAUGUAUAUAAAUAAAUCUAAAGUAAAGUUGUUCUUUCAAAGACAAUACCCUCGCGAGGUAUUCAAAUUGAAGCAGCAACCUUUCAGCAUGGGUUAAAAAGGCCGCUUCAACUUGGGCCAGGCCCAAUCUAGAAUUGGGUUUCAAGUAGUUAGAGUUUGAAAAUUGUUCACAUUAAAUCCAAAACCCAAAUCGGAUAGUAAGUCAAAUGAUUAAUUAGGCAAUGGAUUUGAUAUUUUUGCUUGUGGCUCUGAUUAAAAUCAGCUAGCUCUCUAUGCAAAACAAGGUUUUCAAAGCCACUUUUGAAUUUUGAAAAGUUUGAUAAAAGGGAAAAUAAGGGAGAAGAAACACAAGCACACAAGGUUGGUUCAGCUCCAUAAAUUUUGUUUAAGAUGCUUUUUCGAUUUUGUUCCUCUUAUUUUCUUUUUUAUAUUAAAAAAAAAAUUAUAAACUAUAAUUUUCUACUAUAUCUAAUUUUCUAUCUCAAGAACUUUAAAGGUCUAUUUAGGAACCAUACUUGAAAACUAGAGACAAGAAAGACAUUGCCCAAAUAAGCCUCUAGUUCCGGACCUAAUUUGAAAUUUCGACUCAUAUGAUCUUGAAUAUCCCGUGAUAUAUGUAGGAUCUACUUGGAUCGACUUUUUAAGAAACCAAAAACUAUUUUCUAAGCCCUAUAAUUAGAAUUUGAAUGUGUACAUAUCUAUUUGAUUAAUUUUAUUUAAAGACCUUAUAACUUAAAAAAAAAAAAAAUAACUAACACAAAAGUAAAAUAAAUUUUGUAUUAUAAAAAUUAUAUUUGAACUUAUAUAAAAAUUUAUUUUAUAUUUAAUAAAAUUUUUAUAAUAUCAAUAAUGUCUUAUAAAAAUUAUGAAUUUAAUUGACUUCGGCUUCAACUUCAAUUUCGAUGUAAAGGAGAAGGAAGGCACAAGAAACUAUCCCUAAUUAAAAAUCCCUUAAUAUAAAGAAAACAGCUCUAGAUUAGCAAAAGACUUGGAGGGGAAGGUAGAAAGCAAUUUCACAUACAUGAUGCAUCAUCCGCGGAAAUGACCUUCAUUGAUUUUGAAAAACACAUGAUCAGGUCAUGCUUGGGUACCCAAUACCCUGAAUCUUCCACCAAUAACAAUAGGCCACAUGUUUUGGUACCAUACCCUCAAUCUUUGGUACCGGUCAUAUCUUUUUUAAAAAAAAAAAAUUAAAAUGGAUGGCCAAGUCAACAGAUGAAAAAAGUUUUGGUACUACUGCAUUUGGUGUAGUACUGAAUUCGGAGUAGGCUACAGUACUGCAUUUGGUGUAGUACUGCAUUGGGUGUAGUACUGCAUUGGUGCAGUACCGCAUGGACUUUUCCUUGAUCGGAUAUAUAUUAUGGAUGAUAAUUGAAAGGUGGAAUCAAUCAGAAAUAAACUCGAUCUCAAUUCCACCAAUGGUGGCAUCAUCAGUCCGAGCAUGAGGGACAACUGUCAUCGUCUUCAGCCCCAGUCCUCUUUAUCGCUAACUGAGCAGGCUGGUCUUCGUCUUCAUUCUCUGCUUAUGCUUGUGGUACGUUAACAAAGCUUCCUGUUAACUCACUAUUGCUGGGCUUACUGAAUAGUCUUCAGCAACACCUCUUCUUCAUCCUCUUUCUUCUUCUUGCUUCUUGAUUUCUUUGGCCAUGGAACUUCUACUCUUAUUACUGAGUUAAGAGGUUUUGGGAAGCCUCCACUGCUGCUGAUCGUCGUCUUUGGGAGUUCCGCCGCUUUCGCUACUCCCGACUUGGAACUUUUGGUGGUCGUCUUCGCUUUGGGCUGCGUACUUUUUUUUAGCUAUGGAAUAGGAAUAUCCUGAUAUUUGUAUCUCAGUUUGAGAUGGUCCAGGCAGUCUCGGACCUUGACUCGAACAAGUUGGGCGUUCUCAUCGUAGAAGACGAACCCGGCGUUUAGCGAAUCUGGGUCCGUGAAUUCAGUUCUAUUUUUACCUCCUAUAGCUUUCCAUAGCAUCCACAUACGGUCGACGUUGGCGUGGUGACCGAAGAAUAUGGGGUCUUUGCCAGCAGUAUAGAAGUUUCCCAUGUCCUCAUGAGGCUUGUCAAAAAGACCAGUCCAUAUGUGGACUGGACCAUGUGGCCGGGACGCUAUCAAUGGUACCCUCUCCAGGGUCAGGCUGAUCUCCGGCACGGUAUGGGCUACCAAAGAAAAGCUUAGCAGUCGUGGCACCCGACACAACUUGCCGGUAUACGAUUGACAGAUUGUUGGCAACUAUUUCCAAAUCGGGGAUGUGGAUUCGGUGAAAUCGUAGUCAAGAUUGAUUACAGUCGGAGGCAGGUGUUUGGCGUUGCGCUUCGCGUCGUAGCGUGUUGAUGUGGAAGCAGCAUAGAUGGCCGGCAUUUGCAUACCAGGAGGGGAAUCCCAGCUCCAAUAGGGCAAAGCGGAGGUGGGAUCGUUAAUCAGUUCUGCAAGAAUUCUCUCAUGGAAGCAGGCAUAUAAACGGUGGAAAGGGAAGAAAAGCCAUGAAGCAUGAACCUGGAUUUCUAGAUCCGGAAACCCAACCUGAUCAUCAGCCCCAUUGCAAUAGGCGCAACGGACACUGGCCUGUUGCCUGAAGCUCCAUGGAUCAUCAUCAGGAAGAGCUUUCAUUAGCUGAAUGGCCUUUUUAUACUUGGCUCUGUACUCUUUGAUGACCAAGUGAGCAGCUGGCCUAAUGCGCAGGAGGGAAUCUGGGGAAGGCAGCUGGAAAUCUAUAAUCUUUGUGGUGGCUGGCGGGCAACAAUUUGUGGCCGUUACACCCGCAGGCACGGUGGCGACACCACACUUAGUUACAUCCGGUGCCUGGAUGGGAGCUCCGAAGGCUAAUGGCUCAGUGGCGCGAGGCUGCCAGCGGCACCAUACAGCCCUCCUAUGCCAAGAAGCACAUUCCUCCAAUCUAACUUCCCUAGGGAAGGGAAGUUAGAUAGGAGGAAUGUGCUUCUUGGCAUAGUUCCUCGAAUGUCGGAGGUGGAAUCCGAGUUUGGAUCACCAUUUGCAGAAUUGCAAGUCAUUUUACUUGGAGCAGAUCUGUGGUUUCGAUUUCUGACGAUGGGGACAUGAGAAACCCUGAGAAACAAGGGGGAAGGUGACAAGGCCGAAAUGUUGGUGGUGGUGGCGGGGACUUUUCACAAGAUAACGGUAAUUAAAAAAAAUUAUUCUUAAAUUGUCUUAGUAGAAAAAGUUAUUCCAAGAACAUUUUGUAGGUAGGAGAGAGAGGCACGCUAAAAUUUUUUUUUUUUAAAACCAAAAUCGUCUUUAAAAAAGACGGUUUUAAAAUCAUAAAUGGAAAUAAAAAGAAAUUCAAAGGGAAAUCUUCUCUUCAUUUAAAAAAAAAAAAAUCCAAAAUUCCCUUAAAAAAAUUUUAAUUUACCAUUUAAAAAAAAUUCCAAACUAAUUUAAAAAACAAAAAAAAAUUCCAAAAGUGUCUCUUGAAGAGACGAUUUUCCUUUAAAAAUAUUUUAAUUUACCAUUUAAAAAAAUAUAUAUAUUUUCCAAACUAAUUUUUAAAAAAAAAUUCCAAAAGGGAAAUCGUCUCUUCAAGAGCCGAUUUCCCUUAAAAAAAAAAAAAAUUUAAUUUACCAUUUUAAAAAAUAUAUAUAUUUUCCAAACUAAUUUAAAAAAAAAAAAUUCCAAAAGGGAAAUCAUCUCUUGAAAUGACGAUUUCCCUUAAAAAAAAUUUUAAAUUUACCAUUUAAAAAAAAAAAAAAAUUUCCUUAAAUUUUUUUUAAAUUUACCAUUUAAAAAAAAAAUUUUCCAAACUAAUUUAAAAAAAAAAAAAAUCCAAAAGGGAAAUCUGUCUCUUCAAGAGAUGAUUUCCCUUUAAAAAAAUUUUAAUUUACCAUUUUAAAAAAUAUAUAUAUUUUUCAAACUAAUUUAAAAAAAAGAAAAAAAAAAUUUCCAAAAGGGAAAUCGUCUCUUGCCUUAAAAAAAAUUUAAUUUACCAUUUUAAAAAAUAAAUAAAUUUCCUCUUGAAGAGACAAUUUCCCUUAAAAAAAAAAAUUUAAUUUACCAUUUAAAAAAAAAAUAUAUAUUUUCCAAACUAAUUUAAAAAAAAAAUUUAAAAUUAAUAUUAUAAAAAAUAAUUAAAUUUAAAAAAAAAAAAAACAAAAUCCAAAAUUAAUAUUAAAGGGAAAUCAUCUCUUCAAGAGACGAUUUCCCUUUGAAUUUUUUUUAAAAAAAAUUAAUAUUAUAAAAAAUAAUUUAAAAAAAAAUUAAAAAAAAUCCCUUAAUAUUACAUAAAAAUGGAAACUAAUUUAAAAAAGGGAAAUUUUCUCUUCAAGAGACUAUUUUCCCAUUUAAAAAAAAAUUCAAAAGUUUUUUUAAAAUUAAUAUUAUAAAAAAUAAUUUUUUUUUUAAAAAAUCCCAAAUUAAAAGAAAAAAUUAAUAUUACAAAAAAUUGAAAUUCCAAACUAAUUUUUUUAAAAAAAAAUUCAAAGGAAAUAGAGAUGAUUUUCCCAUUUAAAAAAAAUAAAAAUUCCCAAUCAAAAAAAUUAAUAUUAUAAAAAAUAAUUUUAAAAAAAUCCCAAAUUAAAAAAAAAAAAAAAUCCAAACUAAUUUUUAAAAAAAUUUAUUCAAACUACACUCACCAAUUCCAAUUGAAAUUUGAAAUUUGAAAUUCCAAUUGAAAUUUGAAAUUUGAAAUUCAAAUUUUAACCGGUUAUCCUAUACACUACUGUGGACCCCGCAUUUCGUCUCAAUGCGUUUCCCACUCGAAUGGCGAGCUCGAUUUUUAUUUUGAAAAAUUGAUUUUUAUUGAUUAUUUGAAAAUGACUUGGAGUCGCCACUUAUUUUUGUUUUAUUUUUAAUGGGUAAACAAAAUAAGAAAGAAAAACCCUAAGUGUGACUCCUUAUUUUGGAAAAGGUGGUCUGCGAAAAACCGGAUCGGGUUCGGAGGUCAGGUUACUUAUCGGGAAGGUACGGUAAAAACCAUAGCACCCCUCUAAGUCCCUAAAGUCGGGUCUCUACUAAUAGAAUGAAGCAAUCAUAGCAAUUAAUUAGGAAAUCAAUGGAUACCCGGAACUAUCAUGCACAUAUGAGAAUCAGAAUAUGCAUAGAGAAUCACCAAAGUGGAAGUGGAUGUGUACCUGUUCAGCAAACGGCAACGCGCUAUCACAAAAUAGGGUUAGUGGACAAACGCAGGUUGAUUAUGUACAUAUCACGGAACAUAGCAGAUCAAUCACGCAUGGCAAAUAAAUCAAUCAAUCGAUCAAUCAAUCAAUCAAUCAUAAAAUCACGUAUGUGGGGCCCCCACCAAAGCCCGAUUGAUCUUGCAUGAAUUAAUCUCACAAAUUCCAUUAUUUUGGAAUUAUGAAAAUUCAUUAUUCUUACUUAUGUAAAGUCCAGAGGAGUAGAAGAUUGUUUGAAGGCCAGAGCGGAAUUAAAACUGUUCGAGAGAAAAUUAGAUUUUUGAGAUUUAAUUGAAAAAUUGGAGUCUCGAAGAGCACUAGAAAAUUGGAGUUUUAGAGUUUAUUUGGAUAUUAGACUUUUAGAGAUUGAAUGUGAGAAUGGGAAUUUUCAGAAACUGAAUUUGAAAGAGGUCGGAAUUUUGAAAACGAUUUGAGGGCUCGGGAUUUUAAAGAAAGAUUAAGUUACGAAAAUUGAGACUUUGGGAGUUGAAUUUUGAAAAAGAUCAGAAUCGUAAGUUAUUUGAGAAAUAGAAAUUAUGAAAGUUGAUGUGUAAGAAUUGGAAAUCUUAUAAUUCAUUCGAAGGCAGAAUUUAUAGAAAUAAUGAAUAAGAUGAUAAUGAUAAUGAUAAUAAUAAGUAGCGGGAUAAAUACGGGAAUUGGAGCAUGGGAAACUGAAAAUUAAGUUUGGAGAUUGGACAAUUGGAGUUUCAAAUAGCUAAAUUUAGAAAUUGGAAUUUUGAAGGAUUAAACCUUAAUGAUUGAGAUUUUUAAGAGAAAUAAAUGGGUAAAUAUGGAAUAAUGUUGUUAAUUAAUCAAAACGAUAUUUGGACGGAUGAAUAGUGAAUAGUGGGGUUUGUGAGAUUGAAAAUUAAAUUGGAAAGUCGGAUCUUUGAAUAAUUGGACUCUGUUUAUUGGAAUUUUUAGAAGAAGGGAAUAAGUAAACGUGGAAUUUAAGACAGUGGUGACAAAGAUGAUAUUUGGAUGAAUAAGAGUGAAUGGUGAAAUUUUUUUAGUCCAAAGGUUAAACUUGGAAAUCCGGUUUUGAAGAAUUGAAUUUUAAUGAUUGAAAUAAAUGAAUAAAUAAACAUGGAAUAAUGAUACUAAUUAACGAAAAUAAUGUUUGAACGAAUAAUAAAAGAAAAGAUUAGUGGAAUUUUUCCAAUUGAGAAUUUGAUUUAGGGCGUUGGAUUUUUAAAAGAUGUGACUUUGAAUAAAUAGGUAGGUAUGACAUUAUAAUACUAAUUAACGAGAAUAAUAUUUAGGCGAAUAAAGAUGGAUAGUGGUAUUUUUGGGAUUGAAAAUUGAAUUAAGACAAUAGAUUUUUGAAGAACUAGGUUUUAAAUAAAUUAAUGAAUAUGGGAUAAUAAUCCUGAUUGAUGAAAAUAAGAUUUAAACGAUAGGAUAAUAAUUCCAAUUGAUGAACAUGAGAUUUAGACAAAUAUUUGAAGAAUUAAAUUAAGGCAUGAGAUUUUCUUAAAAGAUUCAGAUUUUUAAUAGUUAGAUAAAUAAUUAUAAUGGAUGAAAAUGAGAUGUGAACUAAUUAUUGAAUUUUUAGGAUUGAAAAAUUAAAUUAAGAUGCGGGAUUUCCUUGAAAGAUUUAGAUAGCUAGAUAAGUAUAUGAUAAUAGUCUUGAUCGAUGAAAAUGAGAUUUAAACUAAUUAUUGAAAAAUUAAAUUAAGAUAUGAGGUUUUUGAAGGAUUAGAAUUUAACUUUAAUGAGUGAGAUUUUAAAAGAUGAUAAAUAGAUACGUAUGAAGUAAUAAUAAUAACUAACAAUUAUAAUGUUUAAACUAGUGAAAUUGAAUAGUAUAAAUUUCAAAAUAAAAAAAAAAUAUAAUUAAUAAUAAUAAUUUGUCUUUUAAUUGUCUUUAAGAUAAAUUAAAUAAAUUAGUAGGAAUAGAAUAAGAUAACAAACAAGAGGGAAUGAUUGAAUUAAUUAAUUAUGGAUAUUAGAGGUUUUUAAUAGGAUUAUUUGGAUUUGGGUAACGUAAUGGGCUAAAUGGAUGUGGGCAUGGGCCAAUGAGGGGAGUUGGCAUAAGGCCUUUAUCAAUGCAAAUGACAUCAAUGGGCAAGCCCAAGGUUCCAUCUUCAGCAUCAACUUGGGCCGGGUUCCUCAACUUAAGCCCAAAGCCAAAGUCUCCAUGGGCAAGCCCAAGGCUCCAUCUUCAUCACCAACUUGCCUCUCCACCGGGGUAUCAUCCUCAGAGGAAACUUCCACCACCGGCGGCGCCAUGGAGAGGGGAGCAGCAGCGGCGCCGAGACGGUGGAGUUGCAUGGCUUUCGAAGCCACAACACCAGCAGGUGGACGUCUCCGCAGAUGGCGCUAUCGACCACGCCGCAGGAGCAGGCGAAGAGGGCGGCGAGCAGGCCGCCGUCGACAGCCUAGAGAAAAGUGCCCCGAGUCGAAGCAGCAGCGCCGAACCCCGAUGGCGACUCCGGCGAGGCCCGUGAGGAAUGGAAGGUUGCUUGGCUGCUGCCCAUUCUCUAGCCACUGAAGAAAGCUCACGUGCUCUACCGGUUGAGUGAUGGUGGGUACAAGGAUAUAGAGAGAGAAAAGGUGAUGGGAUGAACAAAGUGAUUUGAACCACUGCAUGAAAAGCAUGAAUAUGGGUACGAAGAUUUUGGAUGGUGUUCCUCAAUGAAAAAGGCAGGGUGCAUGAAAGCAUGGUAAACACAAAAAACAGGGUUAUCACAACAAACAAACAAAAUGGCCUACAAUAUCCACUCCAAGCAAUAUAAUGCAGAAAGAAACAAUAACAAUCUGAAGCAAAAACAGUGAAUAACGAGAAAUGAGAGGAUUAUCGUGUUCGUACUUAAGUUCUUCAAGCAAAAAUACCUAUAAAAACAGAGAAUCUCUUCUCCAGCUAGAAUCUCCCUCAAAACCCGGCACUCCGCUCUUUCUCUUUUCAACUAUAUCCCCUCAAUGACCCGCUCCAAAAGACCCCAUCUCUCUCAGACCAAAACCACCCAAAAGAAAACUUCCCAUCCCCCCCUUGACUUCCUUAGCAAGCCACUGAAAAAAAUCCCCUCUGUCCCCCCGCAGCCCCCAGCUCCUCUGUUCCUCUUAUGUCCCAUCUGGCCGCCAGAGAGCAGCCCACUUGAGAGCCAUCUCAAAAGCAACCCAAAAAAUAAUGAUAAAUAAUCCAAGCAAGCUCUCUCCUCCCGGGGGGGGAGUGUCUACAACUACACUAUACUAUUACCUAUUCAUGUACUUACACGGUUACCUAUUCAUGUACUUAUCCUAUACACUACACUCUUACCUAUUCCAUACCUAUUCAUGUAUUGUCAUAUCCGUCCAUUUAAUACUCCAAUUUAGUACACUCCACCAAUUCCAACUUCUCAUACACUAUAAAUUACCUUCUUCCUUCUCAUUUUCUCCUUCAAAUUCUUUCAUUCUAAUUUUCACCUUCAAACUUUUCACUCACGUUUUGUCCAUCUUCCCCACUUGAAAAUUUUUCACCUUUCAUCUUUGUUAGAAUUUGAGCAUAUCUUAUCUCCUCUCUUUUGUUGGACACUCACGUUGUUGCUUAUAAGGUAAUAUUUUUGCUUUAUUUGUAUUUGAAGUUAUUUUAUGAUGUAUAGUUUUUAUUAUUAUAUCAGUUUUUAAAUUUAUUUGGAUUAUGUAAUAUUUGUUUGAAUAAUAUUUAUAGGAAAUUGUUAUUUUAAAUAGAUUAAAUUAUUAAAAAAAUAAUAAAAGAUAUAUUAUUUUAUUUGGCAGUUAAUAUUUUUGCCUUUAUUUCAUAUUUAUUGUGUAAUGCAUGAUAGAAAUUAGAUAUUUGUUAUUACAUGUAUUUUUUAAAUUUAUUUGAUUUAUGGUAAUUUUGUUAGAAUAUUAUUUGUUGUAAAUUAUCAUUAUUAUAUAAAGAUAAAUGAAUUAAAUCAAUAAAAAAAAUAAAAAAAAUAUUAGUUUAUUUAAUUAAUAUUAAAUAAUAGGAUUAUUGCUUAUGUUUAUCAAUCAAAUAAUAGUGUGUUAAAUAAUUGAAAAAAUUGUUGUAAAACAAUAAGAUGUAAAAAUAAAAAUAUAAAUAAAAGUAAAAAUAAAACUAAAAUGUUAUUUGAUUUAUUAUAUAUAAAGUAAUUUAACACUAAUAUAAAAUAGUAACGUGACUAUUAAAUAUAUAUAAUAUAUACUUUAAUAUUAAAAUAUUAUAUACAUUUAAAUAUCCAUUUUAAAAAAGAAAAGAAAAGAAAUAUAUAAUCGUAAAAAUGUUAGAAUAUAUAAUAAAAUUAAAUAAAUAAAUUUAGUAAUGGUGGUUAGUGUUAAAUUAUUAUUAUUUUUUGCAUUUAAUAUUAUUUAAAAAAUAUUAAAAUAUAAGAAAUUUAAGUACAACAUUAGCUGAAAUUAUGAAUUUAUCUUCUAUAUUUAAAAAAAAAUUAAUAUUAGUCUUAAAUUAUUGAAAUAAUUGUUGUAAGAUAUUGAUAGGUAAAAAUUAAAAAUAAAUAAAAGUAGAAAUAAAACUAAAUUAUUAUUUUAUUUAUUUAAAUGGAUAUUUUAAUGUAUAUAAUAUAUAUAUAUAUAUAAAAGUAAUUUUCUAUAAUAUAACAUAGUAACAGUGAGUAUUAAAGGUAUAUAAUAUAUAUUUAAAUAUUAAAAUAUUAUAUAAAUUUAAAUAUCCAUUUUAACAAAGAAAAGAAAUAUAUAAUUGUAAAAUGUUAGAAUAUUAAAAUAUUAAAAAAUUUUGAAUGAUGCAGGAAAUACAUUCUCAUGGAUCCUGGACUUGUAGAUCGUUCAAUUCUAUAUAACUAGGAAAUACACCGAUCUUCACUUAUAUGGGAAGGAAAUGAUCUCGGAAAGGUCCAUUGUCGACGUCGUGAAGCCAGUUUUUAUCGUAAUAGUGUUUUGGAUGCACGUAUCAUUCCAUAUUUGAAACAAUAUGGAUUCUAUGGUGUUGCUCGAUUAGGUUUCAUUUCAUUGGAUUGGCACCUUAUUACAGCAUUCAUAGAGAGAUGGUGCCCUGAGAUCCACACUUUCCAUAUACCUUAGGAAGAGUGUACCAUCACACUUCAAGAUGUUAGCAUUAUUUUAGGCUUACUGAUUGAUGGUGUUGCAGUUACCGAUACCACGUGCUUGGAUUGGAGAGAGGUGUGUGCUACACUGUUAGGAGUGGUGCCUGGAGAUAGAGAUAUAUCUGGAUAAAGACUUUGUUUGACGUGGUUGACAGAACAUUUUCCUUCAUUACCACCUGAUGCUGAUGUGGAGUCCGUGAGAUGCUAUGCUAGGGCAUUCAUCUUACAGUUGAUUGGAGGUUUUUUUUUUGCGGAUAAAUCAAACAAUAGGGUACACUUAAUGUUUUUACCACUACUUCAGGAUCUUGGAGUUACUAGUACUUACAGUUGGGGUAGUGCUUGCCUAGCUUGACUAUAUCGAGAGAUGUGUCAAGCAUCCCGUAUUGAUGCACAUGAUGUAUCAGGUCCUCUCAUUUUGUUACAGUUAUGGAUAUGGGAUAGAUUUCCCUUUAUGGCACCUAUGCGCUUACAUCCGGCCCCACAUGAUGGAGUACUGCCACAACCACCUUUAGGCAUGCAGUAUGUGUUCAACCAUAGUUAUAGCAUAUGUUAACACAUAUAUGCAUAAAUAAACAAUUACUAAAACCUUUAAUAUAUAUUCUUUUUGUAGUUGGAGAGAUGAAUUUCGUACUACUUCGACGCCUAUGCAUGUGCUAUCCCAGUAUAGAUAUCUACUUGAUCGACUUAUGCCAGAGCAGGUGAUAAAUUCAUUAUUUUGAAUAAUUUUUUUAAACGAUUUAUAAUGAAAUUAUUAUUAAAUAAUGUGAGUUAUAUUUCAAAUUUAAUUGCAGAUUAUAUGGGAGCCAUAUACUGAUGAUGUCAUCUCUACACUCCCAGAUUACUGUACUAUUGCCUCUGACUUGUGGUUGACUAUUUCACCCCUUAUCUGUUUCCACAUAGUGGAGUGGCAUAGACUUGAUCGUGUUUUGAGGCAAUUUGGGCUAGUACAACAUAUUCCCGAGCAAUGCAAUAUAGAAUUGGGCUUACAUAGAUAUGAUUUGAGGGGUCGACAUGAUUUUGAUUGGAUGAGUAUUCAUCACCACUAUAUUCAAAGGUGGGAGGCUAGGUACGAUCAUCUUGCUAGAACUGAGGCAGCAUAUACUUCGUACGGGUAUAACCACCCAUAUAUGGUGUGGUAUCGUUCGAUCACUCGCCUUUUUUUUACUCCACAUGGAUCUUCAUGGGAGAUAGAGGUAAUUACAAUGGUUUUUUAUUUAUUACUAUAUUUUCUUCUUAUUACAAAAACAUCUAACUUUUUAUUCUUAAUUCUUACAGAACCGCAGUUUGCAACAAAUACAUUUAUGGAUUGCUCCAGAUACACCGAAUAUCAGUCAUCGUGAUGCAAUUCAUUAAUUAUGUGCAACCACUUUAGAGGCUAUACACGAGGCUGAUUGGUUAGUUAUUACCCUUAAUGUCGUUGAUACGGAGAGACAAUCAUCGGAUGAGGAGGUUGGGAUAAGAGAUGGUGGGGUACAAACUAGAGGUGGUAAGGUGUGGACUAGGGGUGGUGGGGUGCGGACUAGAGGUGGUGGGGUCCGAAGUAGAGGUGGUGGGGUACAGACUAGACGUUCAGAGAUCCACGAGGCUGAUGGGUUUCUUAUUCCCCCUAAUGUUGUUGAUACGGAGAGACAAUCAUCAGAUGAGGAGGUUGGGAUGGCAGAUAUUGGGGUACGGACCAGAGGUGGUGGGGUACAUCCUACAGGUGGUGGUGUACAAACUAGAAGUGGAGGUGUUCACACUAGAGGGGGAGGUGUACGAACACGUGGAGGCCAUAUUUUUGAUGAUCCACACUUCCAUAUCGAUGAUGCAUCUAUACAUUUUCCACCAUUAGCUCUACAACAUUCUUCCUUCAAUUUUUCUACACCACUUGACCAGUCACUGCCUUAUUCAUCAGUUCCAUCCAUUGCUGAGGGGGUGAUACAGGAAGAUGUUGGGACAUCAUUCAUGUAGGAGAUAUUGCAUUCUUAUAUUGAUGGGCCUUCUUUUCAUAUACCUAUGUCGUCUAGUAUCGAUGUAUCAUUUACUCCACCUACAGCACCACUUAUUGCUUUGUCACCACAAUCAUUAGGACAUUCAUUUAGAGAUGAUGUGGCGACACAAAUGCAAUACUUUCCGUCACCACUUAUUGAACAACAGCGAGAGACACAGGUGCAAGAUGAAGGACGUGGACGAGGAAGAGGUCGAGGACGAGGACGAGGAAAUGGAGCAACAUUAGAUGAUCCCUCAGAUCAAUCCGAGUUGGAAAAAUGUCACUAACGGCCACAACAAAGAAGGAAGCCUCCUUCAUGUGGCACACAUUAAUGACACAUGUUGUUUUUUUGUUGAUUCUUCGUUUAUUUGUAUUGAUGAUGCAUACUAACUUUUAUUGGUUGUUAGUUUAUUAAUGACGUAUGUUAAUUUAUCAUCUACUACUAUUAAAGUUGUCAUAUAGUAAUAUUGAAUUUUAAUAUUUUAGUUUUGUUGGUAUUCAUGGUUCAUAUUUUGUUAGUUGUUACAAUGUUUGUUGAGUUAUUAGUUUAUAUAUAUGGACUACAUAUUAGUUUUUUUAAUUCAUAAUAGUAGUUGUUUUUUUAUCAUUGAUUAUUUGAAUACGUUUGAUUGUUUAGGGAUUGAUCUCAAAAUAUUAUUUAUCUUAUAAAUAAAAACCAAUAUGAAACUAAAUUAAUUUUAUUAGUUGUAAUUAAUUGAAAUAAUUUAAAGAAAAAUUGAAGAUUAAGAACAAUUAACAUUAUUUAACGUACAUUUUUUUUAAAUAUUUUAUUCAUUUUAUUGUGAAAUUUGAACUUAAAGAUUAAUAUUUUUCAUCUUAAAAUUUAGACAAUAAAAUUAAUUUAAAAAUUAAAACAAAACAAAAUUAUUUAUUUUGUAAUUAAUUAUUUAAUAAAUUAAUAAAAAAUUGUUUUUUUAGACUCAUCUAUUCACAUAAAUUGAUAAUAUUUUUUUUUUUAAUUGCAAAGUGCAAAAAAAAAAUAAAAAUAGAUAAAUAUUAUUUAUCUUAUAUUAAAUAUUAUUUAUCAUUUCCAAUUAGGAAUUUUUUCUUUUUUAAGGGAAUUCUCUUUCGGAUUUUUUUUAAUUUAUAUAUUUUUUAUUUUGGCAAAUCAUUUCCGAUUUUUUGGGAUUUUUUUAUUUUUAUUUUUAAUGAGAAAUCGUCUCUUCAAGAGACGAUUUCCCUUUGGGAUUUUUUUAAAUUUUAAAAAAAAAUUUUGGAAAAUCAUAUCCAAUUGGGAAUUUUUUAUUUUAUUUUAUUUUAAGGGAAUUCCCUUUCAAAUUUUUUUUUAAAUGAGAAAUCGUCUCUUCAAAAGACGAUUUCCCUUUGGGAUUUUUUUAUAUUAAUUUUUUUUUUUUUGAGAAAUCAUAUGCAAUUGGGAUUUUUUUUUUUAAGGGAAUUCCCUUUUGGAUUUUUUUUUAUUUUUUAUAUUUAUUUUGGCAAAUCAUUUCCAAAUUUUUGGGAUUUUUUUAAAUUAAAUUUUUUUUUUGGGAAAUCAUAUCCAAUUGGGAAUUUUUUUUUUAAGGGAAUUCCCUUUCGGAUUUAUUUUUAUUUUGGCAAAUCAUUUCCAAUUUUUUGGGAUCUUUUAAAAUUUAAAAAAAAAAUAAUUUUUGGGAAAUCAUAUCCAAUUGGGAUUUUUUCAUUUUUUUUUAAGGGAAUUCCCUUUCACAUUUAUUUUUUAUUUUUUAUUUUUAUUUUGGCAAAUCAUUUCCAAUUUUUUGGGAAAACGAUUUCCCUUUAUAAAUAAUUGUAUGAGUAUAUUUAAUUUUUUAAUUUCAAAAUGCAUUUUUAAUAUAUUUUUAUAUUAAAUUGUAUUAUUUCUUUUUAUAAUAUAUAUAAUUAAUGGUACCAAUUCCAAUUAAAAUUUGAAAUUUCCUGCUUCAUUUAAAUAAUUUCAUGAGUUUAUUACAAGACAUUUGAAUGACAUUAUAUGAAUAUAACUCAAUGUUCAUCUUUAAUGUUAAAAAAAAACUUUCAUUUAAAUAAUUAAAUUUUCAACUGGAACUUACAAUAUCAUUGAGCGGUUGUGUUAGAAGACUCCCAUUUGUUAGGGCAUUUUCGCCGAUUGUGACCCUCUUGUUUACAAAGUCCACAUCGCACUUUAACACUUGGUUCUCUCCAAUCCAUUUCAUUCCUAAUCCUUGAAGAUCUUGGUCUUCCUUUAUCACGUACUAGAGUUGAAUUAGGAUGAACAAUUGGAAAAUUAGGCUCUGGCCAAUAGGCUUGAUGUGGAAUUGGAUUGAAUUGAGGUGUAUAGCAACAAGCAUAUACAUCCAUCCUAUAAUGUUUGUCAACAAAUUGCCAACUAUCAAUCCUUGCACGUGCACAUACAGCCAACACAUGUGAACAUGGUAUACCAAAUGAUUGUCAUUUAUUACAAGUACAUGUUCUUUCUUUCAACUUCACAAUUUGUAUAUUGUUUCCUUUAUCCAUAUGAAACCCAUGGGGAGCAGUUGUAACUUCAAAUAUCUUAUUUGAAAGGUGAAAAAUAUUGGCAGUGUGUCCACUAGCCCUUGAUUCAUAUUUUGUUAUUUUGUUAAUGGCAUAGGAAGUAUACAAAUCUCCUUUUGCCAUUUGAGUUUGUAUCUCUAUUCAACGAGUCUCGAAAUAUAAAACACAACGAUAGAAAGUUGAUCGAACAAGAGCAGUGAUAGGCAACAUUCUAGCCCCUUUGAGCACUCCAUUUAUGCAUUUAGCAAUAUUUGUAGUCAUCCACCCAUACCGAUGUCCUCCAUCAUGUGCCAAUGUCCAUUUCUUUGUAUCCAACCUGUUAAACCAUUCUAAGCAUUUCUCAUCUAAUCGUUUUAACUCAGUCAUACAUGCCUCAUACUUUCGUGGUUGAUGUUGAGACCCUGCUCUAUACACUAAGUCUUUUAACAUCUUAUUUCUAUAUUUAUCAUUGAAAUUGCUUGCCACAUGCCUAAGACAAUAUCGAUGGUGUGCAUAAGGCGAGCUCCAACCAACACUAGGAUCCCUAAUGGCGGCUUGUAUUCCUGCAUGACGAUCUGAAAUGAGACAUAUGCCUUUUCUUUGUGUGACUUGAGUCCUUAAUGUAUAAAGAAACCAAGACCAACUAUCUGAUGAUUUCUCUUCAACUAUUGCAAAUGCUAGAGGGAAGAUAUGACCAUUAGCAUCGAUUGAUGUUGCAAUCAAAAGUUUCCCUAUGUAUUUUCCAUAUAAAAAAGUACCAUCUAUUUGUAUUACUAGUCUACAAUGCUUAAAUCCUUCAACACAUGCCCCAAAAGCCUAGAACACACGCAUAAAACGUACAUUUCCAUUACAACCUACUAGUAAUGAUGUCUUCCAAACAGCCUUAGUCCUAGGGUUAGUAAGUUUAACAAUAUUCAUCCACCUAGGUAAAGUUUGGUACGAUUCAUCCUAAUCACCAAAUAUCCUUAUCAUUGCUUUCCUCUUUGCUUCCCAAAUCCUCUUGUAAUGAACAUUAUAACCAAAUUUAUCUUUCACUAUUUGAUGUAAUGCAGCAAUUGAAAUUGUGUGAUCACUUUGGACUACAUUUUGAACUUCUCGUGCAAUGAAGGUUGAGUCUAAUUGUGAGUGGUCUUGUGAUAAUUUAGGGUAAACACAAGUGUGAGGACUUAUGUACUUUGUUAUCUCAAACAAACCAUGACAUUUACGACGACAUGCACAAAGCCUCCAAUUACAACCCUCGGACCAUUUUUCACACUUUACAACCCAAAUAUUUGGCUCAGAUUCAAUAACAAUCAAAUGUUGAUUCCUACAUAUAGAAUAACUUUUAACAGCAUAUUGUAAGUCUACCUUACUCUCAAACCACAAACCCUUAAACAAUUCAUCUGAUUCAUUCCAUAAGCCAGUGCGUGCUAUUAAAUCCUUGUCAGCCAUGGAGUUAAUUACAUCCCAAUUCAAUUCUCUAAAUAUUGGGGAAGGGACAUCUUGUUCACCACCACCUAGCAAUGAUGCAUCAUUUUCUGUAUUUUCAUUAUCCUCCAUGUCCAUAAUAUCCUCAUUACCAUCAUCUUCAUCAAAUAACUCCACAUUGUCAUCAUCAUUUCCAGGUAAAAUAUCAACAUAAUUUUCAUCUGUCAUUACAAUUGACUCAGUAAUCCUUGCCAUAUCUACCCUAACUAUAGGUUCCAUGUCAUUAUCAUAACUUUACCUAUACAUAGGGGAAGAUGUGUUCUUUUCUACCAUAUGUUGACUUGGACCUAGACUUUCAAUAUGCAAUGGGGUAGUAAAGCUACUAGGCACGGGGUGAUAAUCAAUGGAAGAAGUUUGACAAUACAUUUCAAUAGUAUUUAGAGGAGGAGAUUGUGUGACAACGGUAAACAUUAUCCUUACAUCACCAUCAUCUCGAAUAGGCAAAGGGACAUAAUUAACAGUACCCUUUCCAUUUGGAAAGGGAACUGAAUAUCGGAACACCAUAUUUAACUUGGUGUAAGUACGAUUAAUAUUCAGAGCAUGACACAAUUUUGUUUCUAACUCAUCAAAUGUUAUCAUACUAUUGAUUAAAACACCUUUAUCAGGAGGACGAUUAUAACUUACCCCAAAUUCACAAUCAAUAAUUUCACCCCUAGUAUAGCACAACACCGUGUUGUAACUGUCCAUUAUCAAACCUAUUCAAAAGAUCGACAAAAAAAUAUCAUCAUCAAUAAACUUUAUGAUAAUAAACAAUAUAUAUUUUACAAAUCUAUUUUACUAAUAUUAUGGUGCAUUGUCCAUUACAAUAUAUUUCUUUUCUUUUUAAAAAUGGAUAUUUAAAUGUAUAUAAUAUAACAUUUUAAAUGUGCAUUUACAUAUUAUAUAAGAUAAGACCAACUCUCGGAUAAUGUUCUACUUAUAUUUCUUAUAAUUUAUAUUUUUUUAAUUAAUAUUGUAUUCAAAAAAAUAAUUUAAUACUAACAACCAUUACUAAAUUUAUUUAUUUUCUUUUAUUAUAUAUUCUGAUAUUUUAUGAUUAUCUAUUUCUUUUCUUUUUUAAAAUAGAUAUUGAAAUGUAUAUAAUAUUUGAAUAUUUAAAUAUAUAUAAUAUACCUUUAAUACUCACGGUUACUAUUUUAUAUUAUACACAAUUAUUUUAUAUAUACAUACAUUAAAAUAUCCAAUUAAAUAAAUCAAAUAAUAUUUUAAAUUUAUUUCUACUUUAAUUUAUUUUUAAUUUUUAGCUCUCAAUAUCUUAUAAGAAUUUUUUCAAUAAUUUAAGACUAAUGUUAAUUUUUAUAAAAUAUAGAAUACAAAUUCAAAAUUUCGAAUAAUGUUCUACUUAUAUUUCUUAUAUAUAUAUAUAUAUAUAUUUAAAUAUAUAUUAUAUACCUUUAAUACUCACGGUUACUAUGUUAUAUUAUAGAAAAUUACUUUUAUAUAUAUAUAUAUAUUAUACAUUAAAAUAUCCAUUUAAAUAAAUCAAAUAAUAUUUUAGUUUUAUUUCUACUUUUAUUUAUUUUUAAUUUUUAGCUCUCAAUAUCUUACAAGAAUUAUUUUAAUAAUUUAAGACUAAUAUUAAUUUUUUUUUAAAUAUAGAAGAUAAAUUCAUAAUUUCGGAUAAUGUUCUACUUAAAUUUCUUAUAUUUUAAUAUUUUUUAAAUAAUAUUAAAUGCAAAAAAAAAAAAAAUUUAACACUAACCACCAUUACUAAAUUUAUUUAUUUUAUUUUAUUAUAUAUUCUAACAUUUUACAAUUAUAUAUUUCUUUUUUUUUAAAAUGGAUAUUUAAAUGUAUAUAAUAUUUUAAUAUUAAAAUAUAUAUUAUAUACAUUUAAUAGUCACGGAUAGUAUUUUAUAUUUGUGUUAAAUUACUUUAUAUAUAAUAAAUCAAAUAACAUUUUAGUUUUAUUUUGACUUUUAUUUAUAUUUAUAUUUUUACAUCUCAUUGUUUUACAACAAUUUUGUCAAUUAUUUAACACUAUUAUUAAUUUUAAAAAAUAUAAAAGAUCAAUUCAUAAUUUUAGAUAACGUUGUAUUUGUAUUUUUUAAAUUUUAAUAUUUUUUAAAAUCAUAUAUUAUGCAAAAUAUAUAGAAAUAUAAUUAUUCUAUUAUUAUUAUUUUUCAUUCUCAUUUUAUCAAUAUUUUAUUUUAUUUUUAAAUUUAAAUUUUAAUAUUUUAUUGAUAAACAUAAGCAAUAAUCCUAUUAUUUAAUAUUAAUUAAAUAAACUAAUAUCAUUUUUAUUUUUUUAAUGAUUUAAUUCAUUUAUCUUUAUAUAAUGAUAAUUUACAACAAAUAAUAUUCUAACAAAAUUAUCAUAAAUAAAAUAAAUUUAAAAAAAAUACAUGUAACAACAAAUAUUUAUCAUGUAUUACACAAUAAAUAUGAAAUAAAGGCAAAAAUAUUACCUACCAAUAAAAACUGAUAUAAUAAUAAAAACUAUAGAUCAUAAAAUAAAAUAAAGCAAAAAUAUUACCUUAGGAGAUAUGCUCAAAGUCUAGCAAAGAUGGAAGGUGAAAAACUGAGAAGUAAAAAUUUGACUUUCAAGUGGGAAGAGGGGGAAAAUGUAAGUAAAGAAGUUCGAAGGUGAAAAUUAGAAAGAAGAAGUUUGAAGGUGAAUAUUAGAAAGAAGAAGUUUGAACGUGAAAAUGAGAAUGAAGAAGAUAAUUUAUAGUGUAUGAGAAGUUGAAAAAAGGUAUGAUGAGUGGUUAAAGUUUGAUAGCAAACGGUAUUCUUCAAAAUAGCAAACGGGCUAGUUAUGAUAGCAAAUGGGCUAGCUAUGAUAGCAAACGGGUUAGCUACUAUGAUAGCAAACAGUCUUGUUCAAAAUUAAUUUUUUUUUUUUUUGUAAAUGGUAAAUUAAUUUUUUUUUAAUGGGAAAUCGUAUCUUCAAGAGACGAUUUCCCUUUUGGGAAAUUUGUUUUUAAAUUAGUUUGGAAAAUAUAUAUAUAUUUUUUAAAAUGGUAAAUUAAAAUUUUUAAGAGAUGAUUUCCCUUUUGGAAUUUUUUUUUAAUUAGUUUGGAAAAUAUAUUUUUUUAAAUGGGAAAUUAAAAUUUUUUUUAAGGGAAAUUUUUUAUUUUUUUUUAAAUGGUAAAUUAAAAUUUUUUUUAAGGGAAAUCGUCUCUUCAAGAGACGAUUUCCCUUUUGGAAAUAUAUAUAUAUAUAUUUUUUAAAAAAAUUAGUUUGGAAAAAAUAUAUAUUUUUUUAAAUGGUAAAUUAAAAUUUUUUUAAGGGAUCCCUUUUGGAAUUUUUUUUUAAAAAAUUAGUUUGGAAAAUAUAUUUUUUUUUAAAAUGGGAAAUUAAAAUUUUUUUUUAAGGGAAAUCGUCUCUUCAAGAGACGAUUUCCCUUUUGGAAUUUUUUUUUUUAAAAUUAGGUUGGAAAAAAUAUAUAUAUUUUUUAAAUGGUAAAUUAAAAUUUUUUUAAGGGAAAUCGUCUUUUCAAGAGACGAUUUCCUUUUUGGAAAUUUUUAUUUUUAUUUUUAAAUUAGUUUGGAAAAUAUAUAUUUUUUUUUAAAUGGGAAAUUAAAAUUUUUUUUUAAGGGAAAUCGUCUCUUCAAGAGACAAUUUCCCUUUUGGAAUUUUUUUUAAUUAGUUUGAAUUUUUUUUUUAAAUGGUAAAUUAAAAUUUUUUUUAAGGGAAAUCGUUUAUGCAAGAGACGAUUUCCCUUUUGGAAUUUUUUUUUUUUAAUUAGUUUGGAAAUUUUUUAAAUGGUAAAUUAAAAUUUUUUUAAGGGAAAUCGUCUCUUCAAGAGAUGAUUUCAGAGACGAUUUCCCUUUUGGAAAUUUUUUUUUUUAAAUUAGUUUGGAAAUUUUUUAAAUGGUAAAUUAAAAUUUUUUUAAGGGAAAUCGUCUCUUCAAGAGAUGAUUUCCCUUUGAAUUUUUUUUUAUUUUCAUUUAUUUUUUUAAAAUCGUCUUUUCAAAAGACGAUUUUGGUUAAAAAAAAAAUAAUUAGCAUGCCUCUCUAUCCUACCUGGCAAAAACUACCAUAUACUUGGAAUAACUUUUUCUGCUACGAUAAUUUAAGAAUAAUUUUUUUUAACAAAUAAUCCAAAAUUGUGCAGAUACAUCUAAAAUAAAUGACUGACUCCAAAAAAAAUCAAUUUUUUCACCGAUAAAAGCAAGUUUAGCCAUCACGACCCAUGUGAAAAAUGCAGUCCACAAGUACAUUUCAAGUCAAUAAAUUAUUUUAGGACAAUUGUGUUUUGGGCCUAGCUAGAUCCAAAAAUUAAGUUUUGCUCCAUAUAAGUUGCAUAAUUGAAGGAAAAGAUAUAAAAUAUGAAAAGACUAAUAUACAUUUUAAAACUAUUUUCUACCACAAUAUUUGACAAACAUUUUUAUCUUAAUUUUUUUUUUAACAAUUAUUCUAAAAAUUUAUUAUUUUUAGAAAAAUAAUUUUUUUAAAAAUAUAUUCUAAAAAUAUAUCAUUUAAAAAUAAAUAAAUUUGACAUAUUUUUAGCUAUUUUUUAUAUACACAAUUUUUAAAAUAUAUAUUUUCCAAGAUAAUAAUAAUAAUAAUUUAUUUUUAUUUUUUGGAAAAGGGUAUAUUUUUUUUCAAAUCACUAAAUUAUAUUAUAUUUUAUUGAGGUUUACAAAAGAAAUAAAAUUUAAAUUAAUAUUUUUCUACUUUUUUUUUUCAUAACGAGCAAAUGUUAUUUUUCGAAAAAUAAAAAGUUCAUAUCCUUCUUCUCAAUUUUCACACUUUCUCUAGGUCUUAGGCUUAAAUGGUGAACUUAUAUAGACCAAAGCUUAAUUUUUGGGCCCAAAACACAAUUGUCCCAAUUAUUUUGACUUAUUUUAACUCUUUUAUAAAUGGUUAAAUAAUUUAUAAAUAUAUAAAAUUUUAACUAAUUUUAAUUAUAUUUAAUUUAUUUUCAUACUUUUUAUAAUAAAAUCAAAGAAGAUACUAUAAGAUUUUCCUCAAUUAUAAACUUAAUACAACAAAAAUCAUUUAUUCUUUUAAUGAUUUCUACUUUUAAAAAUCAUUUUGAGGCCGCAUUUUGGUUUUUUUUUGUUCCCGAGGUUAGAAACAUAUAAAUAGAGAGCUCCAUUUCAUUUAUGAGCAAGAGAAUACCUUCAUUUAUUUGUUUACUUACUUGUUCUUACCUUAAAAACUCUCAUUCUUUUCUUGGUGCAUUAAAUCUCCAUUUGCAUAUUCUUUAGUGCACCUUUGUGAUUCAUCCUAGCCUUGAGUUGUAUUUGAGCCAUUGUUGAGCUAGGUUGAGAAACUUAAACUUAUUAUUUGAGUGAUAAAGCCUUCAAGUGAGUUGAGAGUUGAAGAAAUUGUGUAAGAGCCCAUUGGAGUCGGAAUCUAAGUGUAGAGGUGAUUAGAAACUUGGUUGAAGUUUCAAGUUAGUAGAACCCUUACUCAUUUAGGAGCUUGAGAAGAGUGGACGUAGGCAAGGAAGUGCCGAACCACUAUAAAAUAUGAGUUUUAUUUCUUUAACCUUAUCUCUUUAUAUUUGCUCCUUUUGUACUUAAAUUUGUUGUAUUUAAAAAGAUUUUUUAAAUCCUAAUUCACCUCCCUCCCCUCCCUCUUGGGCGUUUUCUCAUUUAAGAUUAGCCUUUAUUUUCUCAAAUAUAUUUUUUUAUAUUUUAGCUUUACUUAUUCACCAUAACAAAUUAAUAAUUGACUUUUUAAUAAGCUUGUGAAACUAAUGUAUUAUUGAUUAGCAAAUUUAAAGAAUAAAGAAUUAAAUUUUAAACCCAAAAUUUAAGUAAGGGUAAAAUGUAUUUGUGAUAUCCUAUAUUAGAUAAGGGAGAAAUUUACUCAAACUAUAUAAGUAUGAACUCCUUUUAACCAUGUAGAUGUGUUUUAAACCCGCCCUUAGAUCCAGAAUAAUAUCUACAUGAUUGCGUUGUUACAAUUUCUCAAAUAAAUUUUAUUCUAAAAAAUAAGUGAAAAUUAUUACAUUCUUAAAAAUCAAGCAAGCUUUGAAGAUUUCUACACGAAUAGUGGAACUUUUAUGAUCCAAUCUAAAAUCGUUCCUCAUAUGAUACAGGGACAACCAAUAUCAACAUAUCUCUCAAUGUCAGGUAUCCAGAACUUUGUCGACAAAGGGGCCACCAACAUAUCAUCAAAAACAUCCUAAGAUAUAAUCCCCUUAAAGACUCUCAUUUGCUUCAUUCUUUGCUUAAAAUGGUCCAUAUGAGAGUAAGAAUCCUCAAUGACAGGAGCUAGUGCGUUGAUGGAUGGAACAAUAAUGGUCUGAUUGUGUAAAGUAAUAGGUGAGGUCUAUGGAGUUGGUAUCUGAGAGGUGGAGGUGGUGAUGUACUAAAUCAUAUGGUGUACCCUCAAGCACUACCUGUUUGCUAUGUUGACUAUCAAUCUUCUGACCCAAAUUGACCAAUGCCUUAUGAAUCACUGACAUAGCUGUGGUAAACUGAUCAACUAGAAUUGACGGUGGAUCCAUUUAGAGCAACUAAUGAUAUAUCGAUUUUGGUCAUCCCAAAAACGAUAACCAAACUCGGUGUCACCAUAACUAAUAAAGAAACAUUUCCUAGAUUUCGGAUCAAGUUUACUUCUAGCGACAACAUCAAUAUGAACAUAAGAAAGACAACCGAAUACUUUAAAAAAAAAAAAAAAAAGGUUUACCUUUUUGUCACUCUAAACCUCUUCAAGUAUUCUACAAUCCAAAGGAACUUAUAAACCGUAAUUGAUCAAGUAAAUCGCAGUAUUAACUGCAUUAGCUUAAAAUGUCUUGGACAAUCUUGCGUGAAUUCUCAUACUCCUUGCACACUUAUUUAAGUUCUUAUUCAUCAUUUCAACCACACCAUUCUAUUGAGGUUUUCCAAGAAUAGUUUUUGUCAUCUUGAUCUCAUUCUCAGUGCAAUACCACUUGAAAUGCAUUCUCCCCAUUAUCAAACUCAAUCACUUCACUUUUAAAUUCGUCUCAUUCUCAACUAUGACCUUCCACUUUAAUUUUAAAGGUAUCAAACACAUCAAAUUUAUUCUUUGGAAAAUAAACCAAUAUUUUCCUAGUUGAGUCAUCAAUGAAUGUCGCAUAAUAGUUGGAUCUUCCAAGAGAGGCUGCAGUUUAAGGGGCCCAGACAUUUGUAUGAACCAAUUCCAAUUUUUCUUCUUUCAACUCCUUGCUAACUUUGGAGAAGCUUACCCUCUUUGGUUUUUAGAAAAUGUAGCUCUGCAUAAUUUGUCCUCAACAGAUGUCAACCUUGGCAAUUUCCCUUUUGAUAUGAGUACUUUCAUUCAUUUUUCACUCAUGUGUUUGAGCUUACAAUGCAAAAAAAUUGAAUUAGCAUUACUGUCAAUAACAUAAACCAUAUCUCUGCAACUAGAUUUCAUGUAUAGAGUUCCAAUUUUGUUCCAUUGCGCAAUAACCAUGGCACCUUUCAUGACCUUCCACACACCACCGGUGAAGGUCACAUUAUGUCUUUCAUCAUCAAUUUGUCCUAUUGAAAUAAGAUUACACAUCAAUUUUGGUAUAUGUCUUGCCUUAUGAAUCUUUCACACAUAAUCGUUCAACAUUUUUAUAUGGAUGUCUUUAACACCCACAAUAUCCAAUGGUUAGCCAUAUGCCAAAUACACCUUCCUAAAAUUUCUAGAAACAUAGUUCUCCAUUAUUUCAUGGUGUGCAAUUGUAUGGAAAGAUGCCCUUGAGUCCAAAACCUAAGAAUCAAUAGGACUGUCAACUGAUAGAAGUAAUGCAUCAUGUAUCUCUUCAAUGAUUUCAUUCGCAACAUCAACUAUGUUUUCUUCCUUCUUUUUCAAUGCUAUAUAAUGAUUCUUUAUGUGACUUGUUUUCCCAUAGCUCCAACACUUCACAUUUCACUCAGAUCUUGAAUUACUUCUUCCAUUCCUUGACUUUGAUCUACCUUUAUUUCGAUGUUGACACUUUACUCGAAUAAAUUCUCUAAACCUCCUCAAUAAGAAUCCGAUCCUUAACAUCAUUAAACUUCAACUUGGCACUUCCUAUAGAGUUAUUAACUAUUGCCCUCAUGGGCUCCCAACUAUUUGGUAGAGAUGCCAAAAAAAUUAAAGCAUGAACCUUAUCAUUGAAAUCAAUUUCAACUGAUGAUAGUUAAUUAACAAUCAUGUUGAACUCAUUGAGAUGUGUUGCCACCAAAGAAUCUUCUUCCAUCUUUAAAUGAAACAAUUUCUUUAUGAGAAAUACCUUAUUAUUUGCAAAUGACUUCUCAUACAUAUCGGGCAAUACUUUCAUCAAUCCCAUGGUCGAUUUCUCCUUUGCCACGUUAUGAGCAACAUUCUUUGACAGUGUCAACCAAAUAACUCCUAACACCUGUCUAUCAAGGAGAUAAUAAUCAUAGUCCAACAUCAUUUUUGGUUUCGUUCCCAAAAAAGGUAAAUGAAGCUUUUUACGUUUAGAUAAUCUUCAAUUUGCAUUCUCCAAAAAGCAAAAUUUGUACCAUCAAACUUCCUGAUUCCAUGUGUCAAACCAUCUUCGCCAGCCAUCACUCUUAAUCACAACCAAAAGCUUUGAUACUAGUUGUUAGGAUUAAAACACCCUAAUCAUAUUUUUUGAAAUUGAUAAUAAAUGAAUGCGAAAAACUAAAGCACAAGAGCACAUGAGAUUUAUAGUGGUUCACUCUCAAUGUGAGAGUUAAGUCCACUUAUAGCUGUUGUAAAUUUUCACUAUGAUGAAAAAAAAAAUUACAAGAGGAUCAUAAACACCUUGUCCUCUAGGUUUUUCUCUUUGCGUUUUUCUAUCUUUCUUAAUUGCAUAAACAAACUCACCAAGUCGGCUACCUUGUAUAUGACAAAAUUAGACUAAUCAAAUUAUUUAUAUAAAAUCCCUAAAAUACCCCAACUUAAAAUACCCUUACAAAAUUUCGUGCAAUCCGCGUGUUGUCUCUGCAUAGGAUCAAUCUACAUUAGGGCAAACAUCAUCAAGAUAAUAAGUAGGUUUCAAACAUCUUAAUACUAGGAACUAUCACUAAUGUAAAGUGUAAGCACUACUUAAGCUCACCUAAACCACUUUACUAUCUUCAAGGUUACCCUUUCUUGAAAAUCCCCUAGUGCCACUCAUUUCUUUUGACGUUCUUGCUGACACAACCAACCACCCUAAAGCCAUUUCUAACCUAUGAACUCUAACCCUCUUGGUUAUAGUCUUAUAGAGGACCAUGCAGUGUGAAUAAUUUUGGGAAAAAAUUUAAGGAAAAAAUAAAAAAAUUAUAACAUUAGAAUUUAGGGAUUUUGGGGUUAAUCUUCAUUGGUCAUGAGUUGUUGAAGAAAGAAAUUAAGAAAAAUGAGAAAAAGAGUCUAAUUUAAACCAUGUUUGGUUCCUAGAAAAUUUGUAGGAAAAUAUAAAAGAAAAAAAAUAGAAAAGCAAAGCAAAAGGAAAAAUGAGGCUAAUAAAUUAUUUUUAUAUACCACUUCAAACGUAUUUAACCUAUUUUAGCUCUUUUACAUAAAAAAAAAAUGAAAUAAUUUAAAUAUAUAUAAAUUUUAACUAAUUUUAAUCAUAUAAAAUUUUCUUUUAUAUAUUAUUUAUUUAUUUGUUUAUAAAAAAUAACAAAAGAUGAGAAAAUAUUCUCUCUUAAUUUUAUAUUUUUCAUGAGAACCAACACUUUUAUUGAUAGAACUUCUAUAAAAAAAUAUUUUUGUAAAGAAUCAAUUAUUAUUUGAAUAUAAACUCAGUUUUUUUUGUAAUAUUUUUGGUAAUAUAUUACCUAGUAAUAAGUGAUCUUUAGAAAAAGUAUUAAUUCGAGGUUAGGCCAAGAAUCAUUUAAACUGUUUUGCUAGGAUUUUAAAGCUUUUAAAAGUCAGAUGUUUAGAAAAGUUUUAGAAGCUCUAAUACUUUUCUAAAUGCAAAAGUAUUUUUUUUAAGAGAAACAUUUUUAAUUAUUAGGGAACUAUUUUGACUUUCCUCAAUGAUAUAAUUAAACUAGCUCUUAAUCCAAAGCUAAUUUUGAGAAAGGGUUAAGUAAACUUUUGUAUAAGUUUUUUGUUGAGAUCGACUACUCAAAAACCAAAUAAUCACAAGAAAGGUCAUUUUUGUUUGACUAAAAGCCCGAAUAGGGUAAUUGUAAUUUCAUAACUAGAUAUAAUUUUCACUUGGUAAUUUUGGAAAUUUCAUUUAUUUAUUGAAGGAAUCUUAUAUCUUUAUUCUAUGUUUGGUACUUGAAAAAUUUGAGGGAAAAUGUAAAGAAAAGAAUAGAAAGAAAAAAUAUAAGAAAAUUAAAAAUUAAAAAUCAAAGUUAAUAAAUUAUUUUUUACAUGCUUCUUUAACUCAUUUUAUUUAGAAAAACCAAAUAAAUUAAUUUAAAAAUAUAAAGUUUCUAACUAAUUUUAAAAAUAAUGUUUUUUUACAAACCAAUUGUUAAAAAUCAUUGUUCUGUUUGGUUUUAAAAAAUUGGUGAGGAAAGGAAAAAAAUUAUUGACUAAAAUAAAUUUUUCAUAGUUGAUUUAUUAGUAAAAAAUAUGAAAGAAAAUAAUAUAACUAAAACUAGUAAAAAACUUAUGCAUUUUUAAAUUAUUUGCAGAACAAUAAAAGAAAGUUAAGGAAAGAAAAAAACUAUUAAGUUUAUACUUGGUUUUUAAAAAAUUUACAAAAAAUUCAAAAGAAAAUAGAGAGGAAAAGAAAAAAAGUAAAAUAAAAGUACAUUUCAAGCCAAUAAAUUAUUUUUACUUAUUUUAACUCUUUUAUAAAAUAUUAAAUAAUUUAUAAAUAUAUAAAUUUUUAACUAAAUUUAAUUAUAUUUAAUUUAUUUUCAUACUUUUAUAACAAAAUCGAAGAAGGUAAUAUAAGAUUUUCCUCAAUUAUAAACUUAAUACAACAAAAAUCAUUUUUUUCAUGAUUUCUACAUUUAAAUUUAAGUGUUAAAUAUACCUUCUUCAACCAUUGAUAUGUUUUAUAAUAUCUUCUAUCACAUUUAAAAUCUAACACUUGGACUUCAAAUUGCUAAAAUCCAAUACUUUAUCCUCCAAAUUUAUUAAAAAGCAAUAUUUUGCUCCCAAUUACAAAUUAUCCAUAAAAUUAUAAAAGGUAUUGUUUUUUUUUCCUUUUUAUUUGCACUGAGAGAUUGAAAGCUUUGAAGUGAAAAUUUUCGAACACUUUCAAAAUACAGUAACCACUAAUUUUGAUUUUUGGUUAUAAAAAAAUGUUCAUAUGACUAUUCGUGAUUUUUACAUGCAACUAUGAAAUAUAACAAUUUUAAUACUUUUCAUUAGGUUUUAAGUAUAAUAAAUUAUUAAUUAACUUUUUAACAAGCUUGUGAAGCUAAUGUAUAAUUGAUUAGUAAAUUUAAAGGAUAAAGGAUUAAGUUUUGAACCCAAAAUUUAAGUAGGGUCAAAUGUAUUUGUGAUAUCUCAUAUGGGACAUGAGAGAAAGUUAACGGGAUUAUGUAAAUAUGGUCUCAUCUUAGAUCAAGAACGAAAAAUAUCUACACGAUUUGAUUGUUACAAUUUCUCAAAUAAAUUUUAUUCUAAAAAUUAAGUGAUUAUAUUCUUAAAAAUCAAGCAGGCUUGUGAAGAUUACUACAUGAACAGCGGAACUUUUAUCAUCCGAUCUAAAAUUCUUUCUCAAAAUGAUUUCAUCGGUAUAAUGAGACAAAAAAUAAAAAAUAAAAAAUAAUUUUUAUUUUAUUUUUUUAUAUAGCUAAAACAGAUAAUACAAUUGGGAAAGUUUUUUUAUAUGCAAAAAAACAAACAACACAAUUCGGAAACGCAAUCGGCGGAGACAAGAAGGAGGCCUCACAAACAAAAUAUGAAAGAAUCAGUGGAGGACGUCGUCGCUUACGUCUGGACCCAGGCUUAGCCGCCGGGGGUCAUUAUAAAUUAUGCCUCAGACCCACUCCUACCCCACUCAUAAGUGAGAGAGAGAUAAGGAAGGAGAGUGAAAGGAAUAGAAAUGGGUUGGAAAGGUGUUCUAGGGUUCGAAUACGGCGUAGUUCAGGCGCCGCUGGGUCCCGACAUCUCAGGCCCGGAGCUCGUUGCUGCUGUUGCUAAUGCCGGCGCUAUCGGCUUCCUCAGGGCUCCUGAUUGGGUUCGUUCUUCCUUUCCCUUCAUCUCUCUUUAUUUGUUGCAAAUUUUGGUAUGAUUCAUGAAGAUGAGCCCUAGUUGUGCAGAGUAUAAUUGCAUUUAGAUGAAAUUUGUAUUUGCCUAUACAUUUCAUUUAAUAUAUAAGCACUUUUGGAAUCAACCUUCAUAAGAUGGAUUUGUUUUUUAAAAUAUUGAGUUAAAAAAAUGUUUUUCAAACCAAAUCCAAACUUAUUUUAAAUAAAAAAUUUGGGUAACUUUUAGAAACGUUUUUAAAGAGGUUCAGUUCUUAUUUUUAAAAAAUAGAAAAUAAUAGUAACUUCUAUAUAAAAUACAGAACUCUUUCCUAUAAAAAAAAUUACUUUAUAUCCUUAAAAGAUUAUUUUUAAAUAUUUUAAAACUUAAGAAAGUAAAAACUUUUUAAUAUCUCAAUUUUUAUUUAAAUAAUUUUUUAAAAUAAUUACUUUCAAAGAGUUCUUAUGUUUCAUAUAUAUAUAUAUAUAUAUAUAUAUAUAUAUAUUGAAAAAGGCUAAAAGCAUUUUUUAAUAUUAGAAAAUAUUUUCUUAUAAAAAUUAGGUAUUUGAUAUAUUUUUUAAAACCACUUUUAAAAACGUAAAGAAUCAUUUAAACUAAUUCAUGGAUAAUCAUUAAAUAAAUAAUUCUUCUAAACAUAGUGUGAUGAGUGGUGUGUAUAAGGCUGGCCUGAGAAAGAAUUCACUGUCGUAUAUUUGAUCGGUGAUUACUAACGAUUCCGACUUUACGCAGUUGAGUUAUAACAUGCAAUCUGAAUUAUGUUCCAAAACUAGUAAUUCCUAUUAUCUUUUUCUUUAUAAAUCCUUUGAAUGUAAGAAACUUGAAACAUUUUGAAGAUAAAUAUCAAUUGAUAUAAUCAAUAUGCUUUUUUUUCUUUUUCUUUUUUAAUGAAUUCUAUUAAAUAUUAAAUUAAAGAUAUAUAUGUGAAAACAAUCUUAGGCUAUGUUUGGUUCCCGGAAAGUACAAAGGAAAGAAAAAAAAUGUUAAGGAAAAUUAUUUUCUCAUGUUUGGUUGUCCUAUGAAAAAUAUCAAAGAAAAUCAAAUAUAAUUAAAACUAAUUAAAAACUUAUGUAUUUUUAAAUUAUUUAAUCUUUAUAUUGAUGAGUUAAAAUAAAUAAAAUGAGUUUGAAGUAACAAAAAAAAAUAAUUUAUCAACUUUUAAUCUAUUUUUUUAUUUUCCUUCACUUUUUCUUUCCUUCUACUUUUCCUUUAUAUUUUCUUUCCCUCGUAUUUUCCCUCAAAUUUUCCGGGAACCAAACAUAGCCUAUAGGUUUGCACUUUUAUCCAUCUCUCUCUCUCUCUCUCUCUAUAUAUAUAUAUAUAUAGACACACACAAUAAUUACUUAUUUAGUGAUUCUAUAAGUUUUUAAAUUUUAAAAAAUUGAUCAAACAUCUAAUUUUUUACAAGAAAACAUUUCAAAUGAUUAAAAAAUGCUUUUAGCUUUUUUCAAAAUCACUUUCAAAUAGAAUUAUGGAACUAAAUUUUAAAAAAGUUCUUAAAAAUAAAUAUUAAUUUUGAUUUUUUUUUUCUAAAAAAAAAAUUUAAAUGAACAAAAAAUCUACUUUAAUUGUAUUUUGUAUUUUCUCGAACAUGUAUGAUCAUGUUUGAAAAGGUGGGAUUCACGGCACAAACAUGCAUGUCCCCAAUCGGUCUGUAUUGGUUGAGCCUAGAUCCUAUUCUAAGGCCCAGUACAACAACUUUGGAUAACUUCUCUUUAUUGGCUGGGCCCAGCCCUAUUUUUAGGCCCAAAAGGCCUUUUCUUUUGGGCCUAACAGAAAAUACACCCCAAAUUGGACUGCUAUAUUUUAUUUUAAAACUAUAAUUUAAAUUAAUUUAUCGACGACCAGGGUGUGUAGGGAAUGUACUAUCCUUGAAAUAGAUCCGCCCUUUAAGAGUUGGUCACGUGCAAAAAAAAUGACUCUAGUCUUUAGUAUCUAAUAGCCAAUUUUUCGAUACAUCCAAAGACUAGCAAUAAUAACAAACCAAAACUCCAAAUUUUGAUUAUAAUUUUAAUAUUUAUUAUUGAAUUUUUGUACUAAAAAAAAUAAUCUAAAAAUAAGACUUAAUUUAGAAAACAACAAAUAUUAUCAAAACAUUUCAGAUAAUAAUAUACAUAGCCUUGGUUUUGAAUUUGGGGCUCAAAUUUGAAACUAUUAAUCAAAUUAACUUUUUUUUUUCUUUAAAUUAGCCAUGGGAUCUUAUUUUUUUAAAAUUUACUUGUACACAGGAGACACCGGAUUACUUGAGGGGGCUGAUAAAGAAGACUAGAACAUUAACUGAUAAACCUUUUGGGGUGGCUGUUAUCCUUGCAUUUCCCCAUGAGGAAAAUAUGAAGGCCAUACUGGCUGAGAAGGUAGCAGUAUUGCAGGUCUCCUGGGGUGAUGUCAGGGAGGAGCUUGUACAUGAAGCUCAUUGUGCUGGGGUCAAGGUUGUUCCCCAGGUGAGUGCAUUAUAUACCGAUAUAAAAAAUAGUAAUUGAUACUAUGAUACUAUGUUGAACUACUGAUUUGAUCCAAAAGUUUAAGCUGUUAGGUAAUAGACUAAACUGAUCAUGGUGAAAAGAAUGCAUCAAGGAAAAUGCCUUUGAUUUCCAUUGAUAGUUCUAGGAUAGACCCCUUGAUGGGGUCUAUGCUGGCUGUCCAAUAUUAGUAUUGUUCUUGAAAAACCGAUAAGUAGGGCUGCAUAUGGCUGAGAAUCAUCAAAAUUCUAAUGAGCAACAUGUAUUACUAUUACAGGUUGGGAGUUUUGAAGAAGCGAGAAAGGCAAUUGAUGUGGGUGUAGAUGCAAUUAUCGUCCAAGGACGCGAAGCAGGAGGUCAUGUAAUUGGUCAGGUGUGAGUUGUUUGACAUUGCUAUCAUUUCUUGUUCUCAAAUUAUUAAUGUAUUACCAUGCAAAUACAAAGCUCUUGUAGCUUAUUGGUAAAAUUAACGAUAAAUUCCUAACACUCUCAGAAUCACAUUUGGCAGAUACUUCACAUUAUGGCUCGAGUAUUUGCUGCUAAUCUUCUACAAGGAACUGAUGUUUCAUAAAUUGAUCCACAUUCAUGCUUCCUUGACCUUUAGAAUCUGCUAAGUAUAUCUAAAGAAAUUGAUGAAUAAAUGAGUUGUUGGAAAUGCACAAUGGAGUUCAUCUCUUUUUAUAAUUGAUCUACUCAUGUAAUUUAUGCCAUGCACAAAUGAUGUGAAACAUUUACAAAUCGUCACCUUUGCAAUGAUCAUACACUGAUAAUCAAUAUUAUGCAUGAAGAACUAGAUCAAUAAUGUGAUAUUUGAGUUUGAUAAUCUCUCUAUAUACUAUUGGUACCAUAACAAUCAUGUUCAAUUAUUUUCAGGAUGGAUUGAUUUCGCUGUUGCCACGAGUAGUUGACCUUGUUGGGGAUCGAGACAUACCGGUAAUUGCUGCUGGGGGUAUUGUUGAUGAGCGUGGAUAUGUUGCUGCUUUGGCUCUUGGUGCCCAAGGCAUCUGCCUAGGCACAAGGUAUAUAUAUUUGUAAGACUAUCUUUGAAAUGCUAAAAUAGAGAACGAAAAUAGGAAAUCCAUUUCAUUUUUUAUUCAUUAUGGUGUUUAGAUUACCAACAACCACUCUUAUUAGGAUUUUGAUUUUUUUUUCUCUACGUGGUAUUGUCUAUUCCUGUGUACCAAACAUGCCCUAGUGUUGUGUCCAGGGGCUUACGUAACUUUUUAGGCUGAGUUUAGAAGGGGGAUUUGAGACCUUACAUUGAUACUGAGGAAAAUGACUUCACACUGAACCCUUUUUAUGAACAUGGAACAAAAGGAUUCAUGUUAGCCUUCAAAUGCUAUGGAAAGGAAAAUGUAUUGAUUUCAUGUCUGCAUACUAUUCAAGCCCCAACCUUUCUUGACUUGCCAACUAUGAUAUGAUCUUGCACUGUAGGAUCAGAUUUUGUUUUUGAGAUAGGAAUUGAUAAAAAUUAUCCAUUUUUAGGCCUUUAGUUCAACAAAAUAUUCGACAUACGUUAUUGAUCUUACCUGAAACCUUAAGCUUUUGGGUCAAACUGAUAGUUUAACAUUGUAUCAGAACCCUAGUUUUGGGGAGAUUAUCAAUUUGAAUCUCAAUACUUUUUAAUUUUCCUGACUUAUUGAAUUCACAUGUAAGUCAGGUGAAGUGUAGACCUUAGUAAAAGUAAGUUGGCUUGAUAUUCUAUGUUAUUAACUCAUUAUCUAAAGCUUUUAUGAUAAGGGUUAUCAAGUAAUAAACUGUGUAGGUUGAUUACGAAACUAGUUUCUUAGCAUGAUAUUCCUAUAAUGAUUUAGUUUGAACUUCCAAAAAUUGGAUUAUCAAUCACAAUUGCAACAAAUACUCAUAAUUUUACUUCUGUUUCCACCCGAUUCUUUUCAUAUAUACACCUUUAUGGUCAUAUGCUAUAGACAUUUGUAAAUUAAAUGCAUGUUGCAGGUUUGUGGCAACGGAGGAAAGCCAUGCGCACCCUAUAUACAAGAGAAAGUUACUUGAACUUGAUGAAACCGAGUACACAAAUGUAUUUGGCCGGGCGAGGUGGCCUGGUGCGCCACAACGUGUUCUAGAAACACCCUUCUUCAAGGAUUGGAAAUCCCUUCCUGCUCAUGAAAGUGAGAUCAAUCAACCGCUCAUCGGUCAUUCAACGAUAAAUGGCAUGGUGAGGUUCUUCUCUUUGUACUUAGCAAAACUCUUUUUGGACUGAUUUUGUUGUGUGAAAUAUAGGGUUGAGGUUUCAAGAAUUGAACUAAAAUGUGUCUUCUAGUUUAAUCUUACACUUUUAAGGAAGGAUUUUUUGACAACGGUUUUUAAAAUGUCCAUUAUACCCUUACGCCUAAGGGUUCCACUUGUAAAGUAAAUCCUCUUUGUAUAAACAAUGAGUUUGCAUUGAACACAAAUGUGAGCGGUUUCGAUCUAAGAUCCUAUCUUUCAUGUUUCCGUUCCCAACAGGAAAAAGAUAUUCGCCGUUUCUCGGGUACCGUUCCAAAUAGGACAACAACAGGUGAUAUUGAGAGCAUGGUGUUGUAUGCAGGCGAAGGUGUAGGCCUCAUCAAGGAGAUUCUGCCUGCAGCUGAAGUGGUAAAGAGGCUAGUUGAAGGAGCUCAACUUCUCAUCCACCAACAGUUUGGUGGUCUAAAAUCCAAGGAUGAGGUUGCCUAAGUACUUGUUUAGUGCGAAGUAGAGACCGUACAAAGAAUAAAUGCUUAAGAGUAGUUACAUCAACUCAUCCCACAUCGAAGCUACUCUCUUUAUAUUGGAUCCGAAUAAAUUUUGAAGCGAUUAUUCACCAUUUUCUUCCUUGUGCAAACCGUAAAAUUCCAAAGAAUUUGCCUGAAUUUCAAUCUUAAGUCACUACAUUAGCCUUGACAGUCGAUGUUCUUGAAUGUUAAUUUCUCGGGUAAAUUUUGAAAUUUUGUUUGGAUGAUAAAAGUAAAGAAAAGCUUCGGAUAAUGUAUCCAUAGAAUUUUUCAUUUCGAUCAUUAAAAGUAUAUGAUAAAAUUUAUAUAAUUAAAUGAUGGUAUAAAUAAAAGGAUCAAAGCAUAAAGAAUACGAAAAUAUAAAAAAAUGAGAGUAAGGUUAAGGACAACAGGAAAACACUUGAUACAAGAAAAUAAGAUCUAAAUGUAUAUUUGACUUUUUGAUAUACACCGAAUCGAUAUUGUAAUACCACUCUAAAAGUAAUUAUUGGAAAAAAGAGUAAAAAAAAAUUCCAAAUUUUUUUAUUUGAUUUACUUGAAAAAUAAGCAAAACAAAAUACCAAAAACUAUUAAAAAUAUUAAUUAUACCAAAGAGAAAAGAACGUAAAUAAAUUUAAAUAAAUUCUACACUUUUAUUGUUUUUAUUGUAUCUUUAUUUUUCUUUUUCUCUUGUAUUUUUUCUUACACUUCUAAAUCCAAAUUAUUUGCAAUUUCUUGCUUGAAAUGUUUUAUCUUGUUAAUAUUAUUUAUAAAAAUAAAAAUAUUUAUUUAUGUGACUUUUUGGAGAAACAAAUAAAUAGAUGAAAGUUGUAACAUCAUUAAUUUUAAAUUGAUUUGGUGGCAAUUGGGCAUUGAAUUAGAAAUUAAUUACCUUUAUCAAAAAGAGAAUUGCCUUUUCAAUUUUAGAUAUUCGUAUGAUUACAGAUAUGAAUUAAGUUGGCCUUGACCUCACUUGGGCCCUCAAUCGUGGCUUGGGCUUGGGCUACUAAUUCUAUAUGAAUUGUUGUCUUUCUAAUUAUCUAUACUCCCUAUAAAUGUACGGGGUGUUUGUGAACUUUUUCUUUCCAAAAUUAUCAUUAAUCACAAAAAAAAAAAAAAUUACCCACACAUCUAUUAGUUAAUAUUAAUUUAAUAUGAUUUGUAUCCGUUUUAUGUUUUAUAAUUUAUUAUGUAAUGGAUUAUCCUCCCAUUAAUAAAAAUUCCUAAAUUUUAUUUUCUGAUAAAGUUUCUCCAAUAUUCUUUUUCUUUUUAGAGCCUGGCUUGAUAUCAUUCCUACAACUCCAUGAAGAUGAGGUUUGUUGUUUCUCUUAUAUAGCCUUCUGAUAUAUAUAUAUAUAUAUAUAUAGAUUGUUGAUGGAUGUUUGACUUAACCACAAACUUUGAUUUGAUUACAUUAUAUUACUAGGUGUUCUUCGUUUUGUUGUAACAAAAAAUAAUCUUGAAGUUUGAGUUAUUUGAUGUCAAAACCAAGUAGAAGGCCUUGAAGAAUGUCUCUAACAUUGCAGGUAUUAAAUAUGAUGUUUUUGUAAAAUUUACUCUAAUACCUGUUUGGUUUAUGUGAAAAUUGAGGAAUUAAAGAUAAAUAAAAGUAAAAUAAAAAUAUUUGAAUCAAGUUCCAUGUUUUAUUUUCAACCAAAAUUUUGGCUUUUCCUUCUUUUUAUAUUCUUUCACUUCAACCAAAUGGUUUAUUGAAUUCAUAGGAGAAAACUCAAUUCCUAAAUGCUUAAAAAUUACAAAAUCUAAAUUAGUAUUGAAUUGCAGUUUUAUAGAAAUUACUUGAAUCUUCGUGAAUAUGAAGGACGAUAAAUUGAUUGUGUGAAUCUUGUAAGUAUGGUGGGCAAGUUGAUUUGAGGUCAACAAGAAAAAUAUUAUACAUGUCAUGAAAAUGAAAUUUCCAUUCAGAUAUGUUGACAAUUUACCCAAAAAUAAUGUAAUGAAAAAUUUAAUUUUCUUGUAUAAUAUAUUUUUAGAUGGAAGAUGCAUUUUGUAACUCUUUGGUAUAAUGGGAAGAUGCGUUUUUCAUAAGUAACUCUUCAAUAAUGACCAUUUUCAUAUCGUAACUCCCCAAUAUAGUGGGAAUAUGUCUUGUUCACAUAGUAACUCCCUUAAUAAUGACCAUUAUUCUGGAUUAACGGUUCGUUCUCCCACCACAGUGACUAUUUCCUUCUUCUAGUUAGACUUGAUAACAAUAAUAAUAUUCAAAACUAUAAAUUAACUAUUUUAAAAUAAUUGUAUGGUUUCAUUUUAAAUAUUUUUAUAUUUUUUUUAUUAGUUUAUAUAAUAAAAAAAAAUUUGAAUCAAAUCCCAUGUUUUAUUUUCAACCAAAAAUUUGGCUUUUUCUUCUUUUCCUAUUCUUUACCAUCAACCAAAUGGUUUAUUAAACUCUUUGGAGAAAACUCAAUUCUUAAAUGCUUAAGAACUACAAAAUCUAAAUUGGUGUUGAACUAUAAUUUUCUCUCUUAUUUACUACUUACUAUGGCGGCGGAGAAUCAAAUUAUCGUUAUAUUUAUUUAUAUUUUUCUACUUCUUUUUCCAAGUGCAGGAUAAUGCCAAAGGAUUGUGGGUUAUAAUGACUUUAGUAUAAUGAGAAUAUGCCUUUUUGGAAGAUGUCCUUUUCAAAUAGACUUUUCACACCAAUGAGCAUUACUUUUUUUUUUUUUUUUUAAUAAUAAUAAAAGAUGUCUUUUCAAAUUGACCUUUUUGGUCUCCCAUCAUAAUCAGUGUUACCUUCAUGUCUUUUUCGAAUAGACUUUUCAUUCUACCACCAUAAUGAACAUUAUUUUAUAAUAAUAAUAAUAAUAAUAAUAAUAAUAGUAAUAUAUUAUUACUAUUAUUAUUAUUUAUUAAAGCUCUACAUUACCUAUUUUAAAAUAAUUAUAUGGUUUCAUUUUUAAUAUUUUUCUACUUUUUUUCUUAGUUUAAAAUAUGGUGGGCAAGUUGAUUUGAGGUCAACAAGAAAAAUACUAUACCAUGUCAUGAAAAUGAAAUUUCCAUUCACUUGUCCAAUUUAAGAUAUGUUGACAAUUUACCUAAAAAUAAUGUAAUGAAAAAUUUAAUUUCCUUGUAUAAUACAUUUUUAGAUGGAAGAUAGAAGAUGCAUUUUGUAACUCUUUGGUAUAAUGUAAAGAUGCAUUUUUUUCAUAAGUAACUCCCCAAUAAUAACCAUUUUCAUAUCAUAACUCCGCAAUAUAAUGGGAAUAUGUCUUGUACAUAUAGUAACUCCAAUAAUGACCACUAUUUUGGAUUAACUAUUUGUUUUCCCACCAUAAUGACUAUUCAUUUCUUCUAAUGAGACUUAAUAAUAAUAAUAAUAUUCAAAACUAUAAAUUAACUAUUUAAAAAUAAUUAUUUGGUUUCUCUUUAAAUAUUUUUCUAUUUUUUUGUUAGUUUAAAAUAAAAAAAUUUAAAUCAAAAUCCAAUGUUUCAUUUUCAACAAAAAAAUUUGGUUUUUUCGUCUUUUUCUAUUCCUUCCCAUAAACCAGAUGAUUUAUUGAACUCCAAGGAGAAAACUCAAUUCCUAAAUGCUUAAAAACUACAAAAUCUAAAUUGGUAUUGAACUACAAUUUGCUUUCCUAUUUACUUACUAUGGCGGCGUAGAAUCAAAUUAUUGCUAUAUUUAUUCAUUUUUCUACUUUUUUUCAAGUAUAGGAUAACCUUAAGGGGUUGUGGGUUAUAAUGACUUUGGUAUAAUGGGAUGAUGUCUUUUUGGAAGAUGUCUUUUUCAAAUAGACUUUUCAUUCUCCCACCACAAUGAGCAUUACCUUCUUCUAAUAAUAAUAAAAAAUGUCUUUUUCAAAUAGACUUUUCAGCCUCCAUCAUAAUGAGCAUUACCUUUGUAACACCCCAAAAUAAACUUUAGGGGCAAAAUAGUAAAUUAAAAAUUAAUUAAUUAAUUAAACUCAUUAAAAGUAAAAAGUCCUUUUACAAUUAAAAAUUCUAGAUAUAAAUUAGAUUUUCCUCUUAUCUUCCUUAUUCAGAAAACUCUAUUAACCAAAAAUUAGAGAAUUGGAAAAUGUAGGGUUAAAGGUUUGGAGGUCUAGAGUUUGAAGUUUAGAUUUUUUCAAGUAAGAUUCUAACCCUAGUUAAUAUUUUAUAUUUUUUAAUUAGUUUUGAACACUUUAGAUAUUCUUUAGAAUAUCUUAAUUUUGAUUAGAGUUCGUUUAAUUAAUUUCUAUAUAAAAAAGAUUAAAAAUUUAUUAACAUAGUUUGAUUUAUUAAUAGAGAUCAAUAAAUUUUCAUUACUCAAAUGAAUAGAUCUAGAUAAAAAAAAAAUUAUAUAGUUUCGAAUGUGAAAAUUACAUGAAAUUUGUGACUUUAGGGAAAAAUAAAUAAAUAAAUAAAAAUGUUGAAAGAUGCAUAGGAAGGAUUUGGCAUGUUGAAAAAAAAAAAAAGAAUCGCAUGGGGGAUUUGUUAAGUUUCAGUAGGAGAUUUAAAUAAUAGUAAUAAUAGUUUAAUGCAAAUAAAUAUUCUUAAAAGAUUUAAUUUAGAUAAGUAAGAAAAAAUAAAUAAAUUAAAUAGCAAUAAUAGUUUAAUGCAAAUAAAUAUUCUUAAAAGAUUUAAUUUAGAUAAGUUAGAAAAAAAGAAAUAAAUUAUUAUUUAGGAAGUUGAAAAUAAUAUUGAAUGGUAAUAAUAUUAAUAUGAGAAAUUAAUUAGGAUCCCUAAUACUAAAUAAAAUAUUUUUAAGAUUGUCAAAUUUAUAUAUUUAGAUAAAUAAUCAAUAAUCAAUAUUAUGCAUGAUAUUAUGUUAGGUGAGAAGUAAAUUUGUCAAGCUAAAUACUUCAAGUUUUUGAGUGCUUCUUCGAGGUAAGGGAAAUUAAUGCAAAUUUUUAUAAAAGAAAAUAAUUUCCUUUUUAUGUUGUAUUUUGAAAUGUGUAAAACUAUUAUUUUUGUCUUUUCGCAUGGAUCAAAUAUGUGUUUUGUAUGGAAAGUAUUUUUUGAGAAUUUUCUUUGUUUAUUUAUGAAAAGUGAAAAAUUGAGAAGAUAUGAUAUUUUGUUUUGUAAGUUUGAAUUAAUGAAACAAAGUGUUUGACUUUGGAUUAUAUGACCCUAGUCAACGGGUUAUAAUUGUUGACAUUUUUAUGACCCUAAUCAACAAGUUAUAAUAGUUGAUAUUAUAUGACCCUAGUCAACGAUUUAUAAUUAUUGACAUUUGACUUUGUUCACCUUAACUAGAACAUAUUUGAAACUAGUAACUCAUUUGUGAAGUCCCACCUAAUUGGGUACAUUUGUUAUUUGAUAACUAGAGAAAAAAUAUUUUGAAUGUAUUUGAUUUGGUUUUGAUGAGAAAUUGUUUUGAAAUGGAUAUGAGAAAGUUUUGUUGAAAAGUUUGAAUGUAUUAGUAUUUUGAAUUCAAAAGUUGCAAACAUGAUUGAAAAUGCUUGAUCCAUAAAACUGUACUGAUGUUUCUUAUUGAGCUUUAAACUCAUGCCCCUUCGUUGAUAAUUUUUUCAGGUACUCUCAGUUCAGGUGAGGAGUGAUGACUAGGCUGGGGAAUUUUUUCUUUAUUAGGAUUUUGGUUCAAACUUUAUUUUGAACAUUGUUUAGAUGUUAAAAUUUAAUUCCAUAUUUAAAUUAUUUGAAUUGGGAGUUAUUUGGACAAUAACACUCUGGUUGAUGUGUUAGUUUUUUUUUAAAGUUGAUACUUGAAGAUUUUAGAAUUUUGUUAUACUACUCUGAAUAGGAAUUUGGUAAUUGGUAAAUUUUUAGUUACAAUAUGAAUGUUUGUGUUGUUUCCACUUUGAGCCUUUGGGCUUGGGGUGUGAAAUGAUCGUCAUGCUAUUGGAGUGGGUUUUGGGGUGUGACAACCUUAUUAUUAUUAUUAUUAUUAUGAUUAUUAUUAUUAUGAUUAUGAUUAUGAUUAUCAUUAUUAUCAUUAUCAUUUUCAUUAUGAUUAUUAUUAUUAUUAUUAUGAUUAUGAUUAUGAUUAUUAUCAUUAUCAUUAUCAUUUUCAUUAUGAUUAUUAUUAUUAUGAUUAUGAUUAUGAUUAUUAUUAUUAUGAUUAUGAUUAUCAUUGUUAUCAUUAUCAUUAUCAUUAUUAUGAUUAUGAUUAUGAUUAUGAUUAUGAUUAUUAUCAUCAUCAUCAUUAUUAUAAUUAUUAUCAUUAUUAUCAUUAUCAUUAUCAUUAUUAUCAUUAUUAUUAUUAUUAUUAUUAUUAUUAUUUAUUAAAGCUCUAAAUUACCUAUUUUUAAAUAAUUAUAUGGUUUCAUUUUAAAUAUUUUUCUACUUUUUUCUUAGUUUAAAAUAAAACUCAAAGCUAAAGUAGUUAUUUUAAAGAAAUAAUGAUAACAUUAUAAAAGUUCAUUUUAGUUAAAUAUUAUGGUUGAGAAUAUAAUUAUAUUUUUAAAAGUGUUGUAACUGAAGUAAUGAAUAUCACCACAUUAAUUAUAAUAAAUAUUAAUUAAAUAUUAUUUAUGAUUUCCAUUAAUACUCAUUAAUAAAAACCAUUAAAUAUUUAUGAGUUCCAUUAAUAUUCAUUAAUAGGAAUAUUAAUGGAAGCCAUUUAGAAAGCCUAUAAAAGGGCUUCUCAUCCCUUACAAUAUGUACCUUCAAGUAAGAAAUAAAUUUCUCAAUUUCUCUCAUUCUCUUUAUCUUUCAUUCUCUCAAUUAUCUUCUUUGAUUCCUUUAUCCCAUUAUAUAUAUUGUUGAAGAAUAUAUAUCUUAUCUCUACUUUGAGUUGCAUUUAUCCUCGUUUUACAACACGUUAUCAACACGAAUUGCUCUGAAGGUAAUUCUUGUAUCUUAAACUUGAAGUUGUUUAUAUAAAAUAAAAUUUUACAUAUUUAUAUUGUUAGAUUUUGUUUUGUUAUAUAUUGUUAAAAGUUAUAAGCAAAUUAUUUGGUUUUGUUUAUAAUCAAAAGCUAUACCAAUACUAUCAAUUUAUUAUAAUUGAUUCUAAUAAUAUUAUUUUGUCAUAUAUAUGAAGUUAUUUGAUAAUGUUGAAUCUUAAGAGCUUGAAUUUAUGACACUUGACAUGUUAGGAAAGAACUAUCUAUCUUGGAUCCUUGAUGCUAAAAUACAUCUUGAUGCAAUGAAUCUUGGAGCUACGAUCAAAGAAGGAAAUCAAGCAUCCUUGCAAGAUCGUGCAAAAGAGCUGAUUUUCCUUCGCCAUCACCUCCAUGAAGGUUUAAAAAAUGAGAUCUUAUAGUAAAGGACCAUUUUACUCUAUGGAGUAAUUUGAAGGAAAGAUAUGACCACCAGAAAACUAUGAUUCUCCCAAAUGCUGGAUAUGAUUGGAUACACUUAAGGUUGCAGGAUUUUAAAACUGUUAGUGAAUAUAACUCUACACUUUUCAAAAUCAGCUCUCAAUUAAAGUUGUGUGGAGAAAAAAAUCACAGGAGAAGACAUGUUAGAAAAAACUUUUACUACGUUUCACUCCUUGAAUGCGCUCCUGCAACAGCAAUAUCGAGAUCGUGGAUUUACAAAAUAUUCUGAAUUAAUAUCAUGUCUUCUUGUUGCUGAACAAAAUAAUGAGCUUUUGAUGAGAAAUCACAAGUCUCGUCCAAUUGGAUCUGAACCAUUCCUUGAAGUGAAUGCAAUAUCGUCCCAAACUUCUAGAAGUGGAUGAGGACGAAGACGUGGUCGUGGAAGAAAUCCCUGAUACCAUGGUUCUUAUGGUAAUAAUUCAUCAAAUUCUCAAAAAAGGAAAGUCUCAUUGCACCAUCAAAAGUGGGAUAAUACUGAGGCAAAACAAGAAAAUGGGAAGUGUUUACAAGAUAAACCUCCUAAGAACCAUGAUAAUAAUUGUUAUAGAUAUGGUAUGAAGGGGCAUUGGUGGCGUACCUGUCGUACACCCAAACAUUUGGUCGACCUUUACAAAGCAUUAAUAAAAGCAAAAGAAAAAGAGAGAGAGAAAGAGAUGAACUUUCCUGAUGAUGAUGGAUUGGACCUACUAACCUACUAAGUCAUUGAUUUCUUUGGAGGUCUUAGUGAAAAAACAAACCAUUUAAUAAAUGAUGAGAAUAUUAACAUUGAUUGAUGUUACUUUAUGUAUCAAAUAAAUAUUAUUAUGUCUUAUAUUUAUAUCUGAUUUUCUUUUAUUAUUUACAUUAUGUCUUAUUUUUUUUUAAUAUUAGUUAUAUCUAAAAUCUAUGUGUUAUUUGGUCUCAAGAUGAAUGAGGAUGAUGUAUGUCUCGUAUACUGUGCAACCACACACACAAUUUUUCUAGAUAAAAGAUAUUUCCUUGAAUUUACAUUAAUAAAAGCUAAUGUAAGUACCAUAUCCGGUACUACAAACUUAGUUGAAGGCUCUAGAAGAACAAACAUAAUGCUACCAAAUGGAACUAGAUUCCAUAUAAAUGACACUUUAUAUUCUAGCAAAUCUAAAAAAAAUUGCUCAGUUUUAAACAUAUCCGUAGAAAUGGUUAUCAUAUUGAAACUAUGAAUGAAGAUAAUGUAGAAUAUUUUUACAUUACUUCCAUUAUAUUUGGCUAGAAGUUUAUAAUGGAAAAACUCCCAGCUUUCUCCUCUAGGUUGUAUCAUAUAACUAUAAAGCCUAUUGAAUCAUAUGUUGUCGUGAACCAGAAGUUCAACGACCCAAAAGUUUUUGUCAUUUGGCAUGACAAACUAGGUCACCUAAGGUCUUCAAUGAUGAGUUGAAUAAUCGAACACUCACAUAGACAUCCACUAAAGAACUAGAAGAUUCUUUUACCCAAUGAAUACUCAUGUGCUAUCUGCUCACAAGGUAAAUUGAUAGUCAGACCAUAUUUUAUUAAAGUCAUAUCUGAGUCACUAGUCUUUUUAAAAAGAAUACAUGGAGACAUAUGUGGGUCUAUCAAUCCACCAUGUGGACCAUUAUGUUAUUUUAUGAUCUUAAUAGAUGCUUUUACUAGGUGGUCACAUAUUUGUCUCUUUUCUACACAUAACGUUGCCUUUGCUAGACUCAUUGCACAAAUGAUUAGAUUACAAGCACAAUUUCCAUAUUAUCCAAUUAAAAUAAUACAUCUUGAUAAUGCUGGCGAAUUUACUUCUCAAACAUUAAUUGACUAUUGCAUGUCAGUGGGAAUAAAUAUUGAGCAUCCUGUUUAGAGGUGUCCAUUGGGUCGGGCGACCCAUUUUGGCUUAUGGCCUAGCACGCUAAAAGGCGGGUUGGGAUGGCAUGGCCCAACACUAUAGUAGGUUGGGUUGGCAUGACCUAAAGGAGCGGGCUGUGUAGGGUUUAAAGAAAUAGUCCGUCGGCCUACCGUGCCAGCCCAACAUGCCGACCCACCGUACCAGCCUGACAUGCCGCCCUGACGUGCCAGCCCACCGUGUCCUUUUAAAUUUUACUUUUUACUUUUGACUUUUUAUUACAUGUCAAAUGUCUAUAAUACCCCUUUCAACAACUAUAUAAUGACUAGUUUGAGGGGUAAAAAUGUAAAUCAAUAAUUAUUUUUACUUUUUUUCAUGUCAAGUGUCUAUAUUACCCCUUCCAACAACUAUAUAACAACUAGUUUAAAAGAUAAAUAAGUAAAUCGCUCACUAUUAAUAUUUUUAUGUCAAAUAUCUAUAAUACCCCUCUCAACAACUACAUAACGGCUGGUUUUAGAGGUAAAUAAGGAAAUGACUCACCAAUAUUUCUCUAUAAAUACCCUUCAUUUUAAUUCUUUCUCACAUAAUUCUUUAUUCUCUCUCUUUAUAUUGUUUACAAUUCUCUCUAAUUUCUCUUUUCAUAAUUCUCUAAAUUGAAAUUCUCUCAAGUGGUAAAAAUAUUUACUAACUCUACAAGUGCUAAAGAUAUCUACCAACUCUACAAGUGUUCAUCAUUCAUAAGGUUGAGGUAUUUAUAUUUAGUUAUUUUAUUUAUUUAUUUUAAUUCUAUAUAUUUAAUUUAAUUGUUCUCUUUAUUUUACCUUAUUUUUUUUCCUCUAAAAUUAAAAAUGGAUCCUCAUCACCUAGAUGUAGAAAACCUUGACUUUGGUAUUGAUGCAUGUAAUGAGUUUAAUCCUUUUGAAGAUGAUGAGAUUCCCACCUCCUCUAGCGUUCCUCCCUCGAACCUUCCCCAACACAAUCCUAUAAGCAAAAGACCAAGUAGAUGCACAUCUAUAGUAUGGAAUCACUUCACCAUAAUAAAUAGACAAAAUACAAGAGGAGAGAUAGAAAAUCUACCAGAAUGUAAGUAUUGUAAAAAAACAUAUAGUUGCAAAGCUAGUGGUGGCACAAGUCACCUUAAAAGAGAUGCCAAACAAUGUACCAAAAAACAUGGUGCAUUAGACCCUAGACAAUGCCAAAUAAGUCAAAAUGAAAUAGGUUACUAGUACAUCUUUAAUAACCCCCUUUAUAUACAAUCAACAAGUCCUAAGAUAAGGGUUAGCUAGAAUGGUAGCUAGUAUGGGGCUUCCAUUGUCAUUUGAAGAAGAUCCUAGAUUUGUACAUUUCAUGCAUAAGUAUGCCCAACUAGCCUAUCAUGGAAUUCCUAGGACUACUUCUCAUAAUAAUGUAAUUAAAUGUUACCUCAAUGAAAAACAAUUAAUAAUUGACGACUUUAAAAAUCAUAGUGGUAUUGUAUCUAUGACCUUAGAUAUAUGGACUAAUCAAAGUAAUGAACCUUUUACAUGUGUGACAUCACAUUAUAUAGAUUCAAAUAUGAAAUUACAAAAGAAAAUAUUAGUGUGGACCCCAUAUUUUCGCAUGAUGCGUUCCCACUCAAUGGCGUGACUCGUUUUUUUAUUUAUUUGUGAAAAAAUGAUUUUUUUAGAAAAAGACUUGGAGUCGCCACUUAUUUUUGUUUUAUUCUUAAAGGGUAAAAAAAGAAAAGAAAGAAAACCCUAAGUGUGACUCCUUAUUUUGGAAAAGAUGGUAUGUGAAAAACUAAAUCUAGGCUCGGGGGUCAGGUUACUUAUUGGGAAGGUACGGUAAAGACCGUAGCACCUCUCUAAGUCCCUAAAAACUAGUUUUUACUGAUGAGAUGAAGUAAGUAUGGUCAUUGAUCAAUCAAACAUGGAUACCGAAUAAAUAACAAUCAAAACAAAAUAAUCGAAUGAACAAGAGAGGCAAAGAGUGUACCUGAGUAAUGAACUGGUUUACUUCAUGGAAAACAAAAGUUAGUAAACAAAUACAGAAUAAUCGCAUGCAUGUCAUAGAGUGGAAUAAGUUAAUCAUAUAUAACAAUCAAAUCAAUCAAUCAUAAAAUCAUAUAUGUUGGGCCCUCACCAAAGCCUAAUUGAUUUUGUAUGAAUUAAUUCCACAAAUUCCAUUGUUUUGAAAUUACGAAAAUUGCCUUCAUGCUUAUUUUAAAAAAUCAAGGAAAACAAAAGAUUAUUUGAAAAUAUAAAAAAAUUAUGAAUUAAAAAUAUUUGAAAAAUGGAGUGAAAUUAAAACUAUUUGAAAGAAAACUAGAGUUUUGAAAUUUAUUUGAAAAUUGAAGUCUCGAAAAUUAUUUAAAAAUUGAAAGAAAUUAGCAUUUUGAAAAUUAUUUGAGAAUUAGAAUGUUGAAAGUUAAACUUAAGAAUUAGAAUGUUGGAAAUUAAAUUUUGAAAGAAAUUAGAAUGUUGAAAAUUAUUUAAAGAUGGAAUUAUAAAAAAUAAAUAAAUGAAUGAAUAAAUAGAAUAAUGAUAAUAACGAAAAUAAUAAUUUAAUAAAUGAACGUGAAAAUUGGAAUUUUUGACAUUGGAAAUUAAAUUUGGAAGUUAGAAUUUUGAAGAAUUUGGAAAUUGGAAUUUUGAAGAACUAUUUAAAAAUGUGAGUUUUUUUAAAAAAAAAAUUAAAUUUGAGGAUCGGAAUUUCGAAAAAUGAUUUGAAAAUGGAAAUUUGAAAAUUAAAUUUAAGAAAAGGGAAUUUUGAAGAAUUAUUUGAGAAUGAAAUUUUUGAAAAUUUGAUUUGAAAAUAAUUGGAGUUUCGAAAAUUGAUUUGAAGGUGGCAUUUUAAAAAUUAAAUUCGAAAUUGUGGAAUUUUUGGAAAAUUAAAUUUAAAAAUUUGAAUCUUGGAAAAUUAAAUUUAAAAUUAGAAUUUUAGAAAAUUAUUUCGAGAAUUGAAUUUUGAAGAAUUAAAUUUUAAAAAUAGGAGUUUUGGAAAAUUGAAUUUAAGAAUUGGAGUUUCGUAAACUAAAUUUAAAAUCAGAUUUUACAAGAUUAUUUCGAAAAUGAUAUAUAUAUUUUUAAAAGGAAUAGACAAAUGAGUAGAUAAAUAAACUUGGAACUUUGGAAUUUUAGGAGAUUUUAAAGAGUUAUUUGAGAGUUGACGCUUUGAAAAUUAAAUUUAGAAAUUAGGAUUUUGAAAAAUUAUUUGAGAAUGAAAUUUUUAAGAAGUAAAUUUGAAAAUGGGAAUGCUGAAAAACAUUUGAAAACGAAAGAUUUGGAAAUUGGAAAUUUUUAGAAAAAAAAAACAUGAAUUUCGGAAGGUUAAUUGAAAAUAGAAUUUUUAUAAAAUUGAAUUUUUAACAUUAAGAGAAAAAAAAUAAAAUAAAAGGGGGGGAGGGGGGGAGGGGAGGCAAAUAUUUGGCCCGUUGGGUUCUACUCCAAGCAAACAAAGGCUUAGAGCAAUAAAAAAAGGAUAUACCACGUAACCUUCAACAAAACCCAAUCAUGUAAAGCCCGAAUAAAUGUAAACUCAUCAAGCCCAAACUCAAUAACUGGAGCUUAAAGCCCGCAUGAACUAGUUUAGGCCCAAGAACAAACAUGACCCAAUGCCUUGAGCGGCCACCAAUAAUAACCAAAGCCCAAAACGUCAACUGUGAAGAUCAAAACCCAAUGCAUGUUGAUGAUGGUAGCGGGGGAAUGGAGAACUGGAACAAAAACAACAAUUUGUGAGUCUCGACAUGGGCUAGCAAAUGGAGGCAUGGGUAUGGGGGAGAUGGAAUGGAACGAAAGCAGAAGGGUGGCGAACAAUACCAAGCUUCUGGACCCACGAAAACUCCGAUUAGAUUAGAUUACGGUUCUGAUGAGCAGUUAUUCUGAGUCUUACAUCCCUAUUCUCCGCUCGAUUGCCGCUACGUAUGCCGCGUCCAUUGUCAGUUUCGGUGUUGGUGUUCGAAAGUGGAGCUAGUGGUUGUGGCCUCUAUAGGUGCGUGGAGAGCUUCAUCGGUCGGAUCUAGCUGUUUGAGGGAGAGCUCGUCCACAAACGUCAUCGUCAAUGUCACUGCCAUCGAGUUCUUGUAGUAGGCGAGCUGUAUGGAGAAUGUGAACUCGGCUUCAAUGGACGACGACGUUGAGGUGAGAGUUGUCGGCGACGACAUCGUGCAGAAUGAGAAGUGCAUGGGACUCACCGGAGCGCUGCAAGAGAGCCCCGUGCUUCCAGAACCGUGUCCGGGGCUGGAGGUAACACCGAUGCAGGGGGUGGAGUAGGAGUUGUCGAUGUCGUCACAAGUUUGGGGUGCACGAUAAGUGGAUAUCUCUCCAUUGCCAGGAUUUUGAAGCUUUGGUGUUGAGUUCGAAAUGGGGUUUGAGUUUUGAGCAUCAUCGGUUGCUGUUUCGGUAGACAUAUUCUUCUAGUGUUUGGGAAGUGAGAAAAUGGGAAGAAAGCAGGAAGGAAAAUGAAGAAUAGGGGUGGAUAUGCAAUUCAUUUGCGCAUGGGUAGGAAAUGGGUAGCGUGAGAGGAUGAAGAAAUAAUUUACUAAGGAACAGAGCAAAGACGAGAGACUUGAGGAUUUAUUAGGUGCAGUCUCGCUCCAUGAGUUAUCAACAGACUGAAAACUAGUGAGACAAAUGGAAAAUAGUAAUAUGACCAUCAAACACCAACCUGAACCCAAACAUGAAUCUGACCAUUUGCAGUGGGAGAUCAAGAAUAUAAGAUAGAGCCAAAAUAGAGUAACAUACACAAACAAUAAGAUUCAACCAAAACAACUUAGAAACUCUUGAUGGCCAAAACAAACAAACGAACCGUGCUCAUCGACCCAUAAAAAAUGAAAUAGAAUAAUAAGAAAUAGGAGAAAAUGCCAAGCUCGUAGUAACCUUACUUGGAAGUCCACAACAACAAAAUCCUUAUCCCUUAUCUCAUUUGUUCCUCAAAUCACCCUGCCGGUUUUUCUUUUCUCUCCAGCUUCUCUUCUUCUCCUUUCUACAAAAAAUCCCCCCCUUUCUUUCAAUCCCAACUCGGUUUUCUUUCUUUUUUUUUCUUUGAAAAUGUCCCCCCUUCUCCAAAAAAGCAAAUGUUUGGCUUCUCUCCCAGGUGUUCCUCAAAGGUGGCGGGAAAAACUAAGAUAAAAAAAAAAGGGUCUACAAAUAUGCCCCUCUUCGGUAGAGUUCACGAGUGUAAAGAAUGUGAACAUCAAAAUGAAAUAAGAGUGUGAAUAAUGAGUGUAACGAAGUGACCUCUACCGAAGAAAAGGAAAGAUCCCUAAAGAUACACAAGUAAAACACAAACUUGCUCAAACCAAUAAAGAAACAAAAGGAGUUCUAAAAUCUUAAGAGAAGGGUAGCUCUCAGAGUGUCUUUAAAGCUGCACUAUGGGUCCAAACUUCUUCUAAGAUGCCUCCCAAAGUGACUUGAAGAUUAAUGUCAAAGAUGAGUAACGGUCGAACCACAUAGGAGUACAGAAAGGAAUGCACCAGAAAGGACUGCCCUAUGUGAACUACAUGAGAACGUUGAGUAUAUGGUGCUGAACAACAUGACCGAAACAUGUGAUGUGAACUCAAAGGACUAUGUCAUGUGCAGGGGAAGGGAAAGUCUAUAAGAGCAUGACAAACAAGCAAUAAGCAUAAGGCAACGAGGUGAGGAAAAUGAGGACAAAUUUAUAAUCGUGAAGGCAAGAUAUGCAAUGCCAGUGAAUAUGACUGCCAUGAACCAUGACUUUGAAUGAUAAGGCUAAGGAAAAAUGACUUUAAAUGUCAAAAAAUGAAGAAAAAUGGUGACUCUAAAUGCCUGAAUGACUAUGUGCAACGACUUUGAAAGCCAAAACUAAAGGAAGAUGGUGGCAUCGAAUGCCAAGCUGGACAAUGGCUCUGAAUGCCAAAAUGAAGACAUGACUUCGAAUGCCAAAAUGAAGACAUGACUUUGAAUGCCAAACUGAAGAAGAUGGUGGCUUUAAAUUCCAAACUGAAGACAUGGCUCUGAAUGCUUAAAAUUGAUGAAAGUGGCUUUGAAUGAUAAGAAUGACUCUAAACGCUAAACUAAAAGAAAAUGGUAACUCUAAAUGCUAGCAAUGUGGCUUUGGACAUCAAACUAAAAGAGAAAGACAACUCUAAAUUUUAAAAACUCUAAAUGCUAGGAAUGUGUUUAUGAACAUCGAACCUAAGAUAUGAUGGCUUUAAACUCUAGGAAUGAACGACGACUCUGAACUCCAAACUGUGAACGAUAGCUCUAAACGCCAAGAACGUAGCCCUGAAUGCCGAAAAGGUGGCAACGAGUGCCCGAUCAUGAUAGAAUGAUGACUCUAAAUGCCAAACUAUGAAGGGACAGUGACUCUGAAUGCCAAACUAAAAAGAGAUGAUGGCUCUGAAAGCUCAAACUGAGAAAGGAUGGUGGCUUUGAAAGCCAAGCUGGAGAUGCGGCUCUGAACACCAAAACUGAAGAAGAUGAGGCCCUGAACUCCAUAACUGAGAAGGAAGAGUGACUUUGAACGCCAAGUUGGAGGUGCGGCUCUGAACACCAAACUGAGAAAGAUGAAGGCUUUGAAUGUCAAAUUGUGCAGGGAUAGUGAUUUUAAACUUCAAGCUAGAGAUGAGACUCUGAACGCCAAACUGAAGAAGAUGAAAGCUCUGAAAGCCAUAAUUGAGAAAGGAUAGUGACUCUGAAUGUCAAACUGAGAAAGAAGACUCUGAACGUUGUAACUGAGAAGCGAUGAUGGCUCUGAAUGCCGAGCUGUAAGGAGAUGGUGGCUUUGAACGUCGAAACUGAGAACUGAUGGUGGCUCUGAAUGCUAAACUGUGAAGAGUUGGUGGCUUUGAACGCUAAGCUGGAGAUGAGGCUCUGAACACCAAACUAUGAAGGGAUAGUGACUCUAAAUGCCAAGCUAGAGAUGAGGCUCUGAACGCCAAGUUGAAGAAGAUGAAGGCUCUAAACGCCAUAAUUGAGAAUUGACAUCUCUGAAUGUCAAACUAAGAAAGAUGUAUCUAAAUGUCGUAACUAAGAAGCGAUGAUGGCUCUGAACGUCGAGCUGUAAGGAGAUGGUGGCUCUGAAUGCCAAAAUUGAGAACUGAUGGUGGCUUUGAACGCCAAACUGAAAAGAGAUGGUGGCUCUAAAUGCCCAAGCAGAAAAGAUAUGGUGGCUCUGAACGCCCAACUGAAGUAGAUGAAGGCUUUGAACGCCAAUACUGAGAAGAAGGUGACUAUGAAUGCCAAACUAAGAAGGACGACUCUGAAUGUCAUAACUGAGAAGAUAUGGUGGCUCUGAACGCCAAUUUGCGAGGAAAUGAUGAGGAGGGAAACAUGCCCUAGUGUAGCGUGCCACCAUAACUCUCAAUCCACUGGAAGGGUCUGAAAGAGGCUCUCUGAGUCCCAAAAGAUGCUCUGCUAGCGAGUCGGAAUGGUUAAAUCGACUAUAAAUAUGGCCUCACAGCCCAUUUGACUAAAUUACGAGGCUUGACGAAGUGUCACAAUAAGUUGAACGUCUCUAACUCAAAAUGCUUUGCUGGAGGAAUCCAUCGUCAUCUCAAAUGAAUGGUCCAAUGAGGAGUCUCAAGUGAAUAAUCCGUCGGGGUAACUACCGCGACCUCAACACAAAAAUCUACUAAAAAGUCAUGGAUAGUAGGGUAGUCAAAACCCAGAAGGUCGUGCUCCUCUGAAGGCUCCUCUCGGCCAAAAAUCAUCAAAACUGAGGCCAGUAAUGCAAAGAAAUAUCCCUCGCUUGAGUAAUGAAGACUGUAAUAAGUUUAUGAGAAAACAAUCAUCUCCACAGCUAAGAGAGGGAAAUAUGCCCCAGUAUAGCAACUAGGACAUUCGGUCUGUCCUGAUAACUUGAGAAUAACUCAAUGGGGAUGUAUAAGAGAUUUGACAUGUACUCCAUUGAAAUGAUGAUAUGGGAGUCUAUAAACCUGGGAUAACUCCGUCUAAGAAUCACGACAAUAUCAAAAAGCAUGAGCUUGAUUGAAUGACUCAAAAAAGGCUUUACUGGAGAAUCAAGACAAAAUGAAAGCAAAUCAUCAGCUUGGUAUGUAUUUCAUAACUAGGGAUGACCAUGCAAAUCAAUGGAGAUCUACAAAUCUCAACCAGAACAGAAAUAUGCCCCAGUAUGGCAUCAGAUGUAUGGUAGGUUAGAAAAUCAGAUGACACCAAAUCAUCCAUCACCAAGUGUGUAAUCCUAAUAAUCCAUGUCCACAGUUGAAUCAAACCCAUAGAUCAAAAGAACGUCUCCUAGAAAGAGAAGCAUGAUGACAUCCAAAUGCCGAAAAGUGUGGGUUUGACUUAAUGGCUUAAAAGAGGCUCCCUUGGGAGAUUAUGAUAAAACAAAAAAUAGGUCAUCGUCUCGGCGUAUAUCUCAUAGGCGGGGAUGAUCAUGCGACUCCAUGAAGAUCUGUAAAUCUCAAUUGAAACGGAAAUAUGCCCCAGUAUGGAAUCAGAUGUGGAAUAAGCCGAAAAUCGGACAACAUAAGAUCAUCCAUCCUCAAGUGUGUGAUAUUGUCAUCCACGUCUACGGCUGAAUCAAACCCAAACAUUAAGGAGACGUCUCCCAGAAGAAGAAACAUGAUGAUAUCUAAAUGCCGAAAAGUGUGAGCUUGAUUGAAUGGCCCAAGAGAGACUCCACCGGGGGAUCAUGAUAAGAUAACAAUAGACUAUCAACUUGUCAUGCAUCUCGUGAGUGGUGAAGAUCAUGUGACUCCAUGAAGAUCUACAAAUAUGAACUGAAAGGGAAAUAUCCCUAGUAUGACAUAGAUGUAUGCUAGAUCAAAAAAUCGGAUAACCUCAAAUCAUCCAUCAUCAAAUGUGCAAUCUUAGUCAUCAAAAUCCACAACUGAAUCGGGUCAGAACGUCAAAGAGGCGUCUCUCAAAAGAAGAAGCAUGAUGAUAUCCAAAUAUCAACCAAAUCUCAAAUACCUAUCCAAGUAGGGGCUGUCGAAGACAACAUCUAAUCCCAUGACCUCAGGGUAGUCUUAAGACAUUGGACGUAACGUAGGCUAGGGUGAUAAGGUAAUAGAAAUGAAGGGAAACUAGGCCCAAAUACCCAAUUAUCAAAACCCAUGUCCUCAUGUAUGAAAUGCAACAUGUAUAGAAGAUCUCGUAAGCCAUGGACUUGAGGGUGCUCAACGUGAAUAUAAUAUCAAUAAUGAGACGAUGAAACAAAUCAAAUUGAUAAUGAGAGGUGUAAGAAUGAUGCAUGGAAAAUAUCAAACCUGGAAUAAGUCAGUAUAAGAAAAGAAUAAGGGGGUGAAGCGAAUGAGAUGAAUCACAAGCAAUGACAAGAAUGAUAGCGAAACAAUGAAUAUACGAAGAAAAGUGAUGAUCAACUCAAAUCAAAUAUGGAGUGAAGUCACAUCAAUAAUGAAUGUAAUGAUGGAAGAGAUAAUGGCCUAGAGUCCCUAGGAGAAGGUCACUCAUCUCACUCUUAACUAAAUAUGACAAAGUGAAUACAAAGAAAGAAAGGAUCUCAGAAAGCUCACAUAUGAAUUCACAACAACAAACAUAUUCGUUAAAAUGACCCUUAGAUAUCAAUAUAGAUGCUCAAUGAUGGAGAAAACUAUGCACAUACACACAUGCACUUAUUUUUAUUUUAUUUUUAUUUUCCAUUUUUUUUUACAUAUAUACAAAUGCACAUACCUUGAACAUGAACAAAUGCAUCCCAAAGAUGAUAUCAAUAAUGGAUAGACACACUCUCAAGUGCUAAGGAAACAAAACUCUCUUUGACGAGAUGACCUUCUCAAACUAAGGAUCUCUAAAUCAGUGUCCGUAUGAUAGAUAGUGGAAAUGAUAUGACUAUCCUCUAUGUAAUGAACUGAGGAGGAUCACUACUCAGGGUGAAGAGAAUAUGAAGCAAAUCAAGCAGUAGAUAGAAUAAAGAAGAAGAGAUGAAUAAUACAACCAAUGAGAUAUGAAGGAAUGUAAUAGUGCGAUGGUAGGAAAAAUAAUGAGAGAAUGAUGUGCCCAUAGGCCCAAGGCUCAUGAAACUCCUGAAUGAAGCAUGCAUACACUAAAGAGCCCCUAUCCUGGUAUAAAAGUGUAAGCAAGGUAAUAAGAAAUAAAGGCUUUCAUGCACAUGUGAGGCUCAAUGGGCUAGAAAUGGUCUGUAUGUUAAGAGGGAACAACAAAGUAUAUGGUUAACCGAAAUGAUGGCCACCCAUCCUGCGACCAUGGUCUCAAACACAAUACUUUUUCAACUGAUCUACGUUAGUUGGCUCCGAGAAUUGGUUUCCAUCUAGAUCCAUCAACCAUGCAACGUUCUCUAGGGUCAGCUCCCUAAUGAAAUAAGGUUCGCUCCAAUUGGGUUUGAACUUCCCUCUGGGGUCUUUGAUCAAUCCCCUGAUGACUUUUAGAACCAAGUCACCUUUCUGUAGCGGUCUACGCUUGACCUACCUUUUGAAAGAGUGGGUCAUUGAUUACUACCAAAAAGUGCUAUUUUGUAGACCUAAUUAUAAUGGUUUUAAGCACCUUUGAGUAGUAAUCAUAUUCAUUUAACCCAAUUAAUUCAUUAAGGUCCUUAGUAAUUGGUUUUCACCAUUUUGUGGCAAGUUUACAUGUUUUUAUCAGCUUAUGAAUCAAUUCAAGCAUGCCAAAUGAUGGAGGAGCUACUUGGACAAGUUAUGGCAAAGCUUUUGGAAGCUCAAAUUCAUGAAGAACCAAGCUUUGGAGCUCCAUAUCCCUUUGCCAAAGUCGUUCAAAGUAUGCAAGGAAAGAACAAUGGAGAAGAGGAAAACAGAGUGAAGAAAACAGAGGACAGCAGCUGCAGUCUUCUUUCGCACUUUUGGAGCACUUCCCGAAGUCUAUUUUCUACACUCUAUAUACUAUUUCAAAUAUCAGGAAGUCAAGAAUCCAACGCUUCAAACCGUGUACGAUUUGGAGCUGAAAUGAGGAAGAUAUGGCCUUCGCAAGACAACUGCAUCCAGCUGAAGGACAAUUUCGCACCUUGCGAAAUUGGAACUCCAACGUGCGAAAUUUAAAGUGGAUGACGGCUGUGCAUUCGCGGUGAAGUCCAACAUAUGAAAGUGAUUUUGCAACUUGCAAACUUGAAUCUCAAUGUGCGAAAGUGGAUUCUAAGUUGCGAAAUCAACUUGCGAAAUUUUCGCAAGUCACCAUGCAACGUGCGAAACUGGGAUAUUUGUGCACCGACUCUUUUAGAUAUUUUCUUCAGAUAUUUUUGUAUAAAUUUUCAUUCUUCUCCUUGUAAUCCACCAACCAUAAGAUUUCUUAGCUAGGAAGGUUGGAAAAGCUUCUCUAUAUAUAUUCCCUUGCAUCCAUUGUAACAGAUAUCGAUCAAUAUAUAGAAUAUACAGAGCCUUGCUCUGUUUUUCCUUCUCUUUACUAUUUUAUUUUCUUGGAAGCCAAACAGCCUCUGAGGGCUUUUCCUCAGAGGAUGAUUGGCUAAAACUUUUAGUUUCUCAAAGUAUGGAUGUUAUGUGAUGACUUGGAUGCAAUCCCAUGGAAAUUUCUCGCACCUGGAAGGUAAGGUAGUCGUUUUUCAUUAAAGGUUCAUUAAUGCAAAGUUUGGUUUUUAUUUCCUUUGGACAACUUCCAACGGCCAAUACUUGAUAAGCUUUUGGAUUUCUAUCCAUUAGUUAUCUCCUACGAGCUAUUGGAAGGUGAGGUUUUCAAUUCCAAGUUUUGCAUUAAUCCGUUAGAACCAAUUUCAAUGGCCAUUGAAAGGUGAGUUUAUCACCUGGAAUGACUUUGAGUUGCCAAUAUUUGGUAAGCUUUUGGAUUUAGACCAUUAGUUAUCUCUUACGAGCCAUUCAAAGGAAGUCUAAGGUGAAUAACCAUUGAUGAAAUUCACUACCAUCUGUUUUUCCAUUUUAAAGGAUUAAAACUUGAUUUGCUAAAUCCAUACCGGUUCGGGAAGCAAGCAUCACCAUAGUUGCAACCCCAACGCGAGGAGCCUAUCCUGAGAUUUCCAAUUUGCAUAAGAGCCAGAGCAUAGCUAUCCUAUCUUUGAGAAACUUGUUUUUACACCCUUUCAUUUUAGUCUUUAAUGUUAGCUUAGAUUAGUUUAAAUCUUUCUAAAACAUUUACAUCUUCUUUUAAAGCUAACAUCCAUAAGAAAAUCACCUAUUUUCCUAAUUUGAAUAUCAUUUGUGUUUGCGAAAACCCUUCCCAGUGAACGAUCCUAGAACCACUAUGCUAUAGUAGCUUGGCUACUUUAGUAAUAGUAUUCAAGGUAUAAAUUUUGUUGAUACGCCUUUAAAGCUAAGCUACCAUGAGUCGAAUCAAAUGGCGCCGUUGCCGGGGAAGGUGCCACAAGCACAGUGAAGCAACCAUUAAGGGUAACUUGUGAUCUUUAUCACAAGUUUGGUGAGUUUUCUUAUAAUUUUUUUUAGUUUAGUUUUUAUUUAGUUAAAUUUUUUAUUCUCUUUUAUUUUAUUUUUGUUUUAAUUUCAAUUUGUGCAUUCCUUGUUGGAUUCGAGACCAAGAGGGAACCCUAGUACAAGUUGAAGAAAAGAGCCUUAGUUGAAUAUCAUUUUUUUUUAGAAAUGGAAAUUCCACAUGAAGAUCAAAGCUCUCAUUAUGAUCAUGAGAAGGACAAAUUUGCAUACCUAUCCAUGAGGGAUCGGAUUGAAUUAGGGAAAAGGCAAGUUCAACAAAGCCAAUGGGGUAGUAAGUAUGCUUUGAAUGGAGAUGAUUCAUAUGAGCAUACGGUAGGGGAGUGCCCUACCAUUCCAACUAUGAGAGACAUGUACGGUUACCAAAGCUCCUACACCUCAAGUUGGAAUAACCAUCCCAACCUUACAACCCAACCUCAACCUCAACCUCAACCAUCAAUGAGUACAUCUUCAUUGGAGCAAGCCAUUUUGAAGAUAAGCAAAGUCAUGGAGGACUUUGUAGGUGAGCAACAAAAGAUCAACUCUCAUCUUAAUGAAAAGAUUGAUAAUAUGGAGAGUUCAAUAAAUGUAAGAAUGGAGGGGGUUUAUAAUGAUCUAUCACUAAGGAUAGAAAAAGUUCAAGACUCCAUUAAGAAGCUCACCAAUCUCGACAUAGCAAGGGGGAAAAGGAAGCUUCCUCCUCAACCCCACCAUAACCUUCAAGGAACCAAUGCAAAAAGAUCAAGGAAAGUGUUGAAGAUCGACACUUUGGUGGGGGAUUGCUAUGACAACUCUAUGGACCAACCUUCUAUUGAAAAUCAUAAGGUUCAAGAGAUAAAGGGUUACCUGAACCCUUUAAAGCAUCCACUUCUCUAGGGAAGAGAAGAGAAACGAAUUCCCUUGGACCAAAUGGGAAGGAUGCCAAUUUUGUUUGGGAUCCAGGGGGAAUUCAGCAUGAAGUGGGUGUGUGAGUGAGGAUGAGCUAAAUAAUUCAUCUUCUUUUUGGGGUACAUGCUAUCAACUUCAUUUAAAUUCUAUGCUUUCUUUAAAUUUAUGCAUGUUUUAGUUUGAAUUCUUAGCUUUAAUUUAGUUUUAAUAUGUUUUUAAGAUGAGUUUUGAAGUGUUCAUGCAGGUAUGAUGCUUGCAAAAAUCGAAGUUAUGGUGAAAACAAGAGAAAAUAGGGGAGAAAAGCCAAAAUAGAGCAAUUCGCACCACCCCAUUUUGGCAAUUUUUGGGCACAUUUUGAUCACUUUCCAAAGUUCAUUUCAUGCGUACUAUAUCUCCUUUCAAAGCUCGGGAAGUAAGGAGUCCAACGCUUCAAACGGUGUCCAAAUCGGAGUUGAAACGAAAAAGUUAUGGUCAUUGCAAGAAAACUGCACCGAGCUGAGCGGGAAUUUCGCACACCUCAAUCCAAAGUGCGAAAAUUUUUGCACCGUGCGAAACCACCUCCUGGCACACGAGUGCCAUUUCGCACACCUCAAGCCAAUUUUCGUACCGUGCGAAACAAGGUGCGAAAAUUUCAUUUUAAGGUGCGAAAAUUUUGCUACUGUUGGACACGUUUUUGGAGCACUUUCUGGAGCUCAAAUUAUGCAUAUGAUAUGUCAUUUUAAAGCUUGGGAAGUCAGGAAUCCAGUGCUUCAAACGGUACAUGAUUUGGAUUUGAAACGAAGAAGUUAUGACCAUUUUAAGACAGAUGGUGCAGAGUGCCAAAAUUUCGCACCUUGAAAUCCAAAGUGCGAAAAAUCCUUUCCAAGGUGCGAAAUUUUUUUUUAAAGUGCGAAAAUGUCCAAAUGUCUUUUAAACCAAUUUUUAAACACCCAAGACUCUGUUUUUCAUUCCUAAAAGCCAUUUUCGACUUCUGAAAGAGUUUUUAAAUGUGUGACCAUCCAAAUUCUGCCCCUCCCUCUCUAUUUGAAGCCUCAGGAACAUGCAUUAGUGGAGAGAACACCCCCGUGCACCAUUUGAGAACUCUCUGGAAAUCAUGAACAACCACCUCUCUCCAUCUCAGUCAUGGCCAAGACUAGAGGAGAACCCCAUGCACCUUGGGAUCACACAUACCAAGCCUCUCAUUCCAUUUCUUACCUCCUAAAACCAUCACAGCUCAUAGCUCUAGCUAAGAGCUCCAGCAGAGGAGACUAUGCCACCCAAGGAGACUACCAGAGCAGAGGUCAAUGUCCUGACCCAACCCACUCAGAAGGCCACCACAGAGCCAUUAUCUCCAUAGGACCCUACCACUACUUGCUCAUCUCUUUAAUUUUUGUAUUUACUUAUUAUAUUAGUAUAGAUAAUUCCAUGUUUUGAUGUUCUAUAUUCUGGGAUUGGAUGUAUUGCAUGAUCAUAUAUUAUAUUCUAUUUUCUCAGAUUAAUAUAUAGACAUCAUUUUUGUUUAAACUUGGCAUUUUUCUAUUUCCUCUAUUCACUGAAUUUUUUUUUUUUUUUUAGAAACAUGUGGUUUCUCCUAUACAACCCAAACUCCAUGUCACUCAGGAGGUACCACUUCUUUCCUAUUUUUUAAUCGCUCUUGAAACAUUGAGGACAAUGUUCAGCUUGGUUGGGGGGAGAGUUGAGGAAGGAAGUUUUUGUUAUUAAUGCUAAGUUAUUUUGGUAAUUUAGUUGUUUUUUGUUUAAUUUUUAAAAUUUUUUAAGUUUUUUUUUAUUCUACUCUCCAUGGUUAUUAAGGAAAAAUUUUCAAAAUGAAAUGGGAGAAAUUGAAUUUUUAUCUUUUUACUUGACUUAGAUUUUGUAUUAUGCUUACUAAAGUUGAUGAAUUGUUGAAACUUCUAUUGAAUUCAACCUCAGUUCUUCCACUUUAAGCUAUCCACACACUAAACACAAUAGGUUUCGAUUAUAAGAUGAAGAACUAUUUCCCUCUUGACUUAGGAAAAUUUUAGACUUGGUACCUUUGACCUCAUUUUAAUAGUGUUGAGACACCUUGUAAAAGGCCAAUGAGUCUUUGAAGAAAAUAAAGAAAGAAAGAAAAAUGUUUGCUUGCCUUGAAACCCGAGCAAGGUCCGAGGGGUAUAUGGUGAAAAUCAUUAAAACCUGGUGCCCUAAAGCCUUAAUUGGUUGGGAGUCACCGACCUCAAUGCUCGUUACAUGGGUGAAUAGGUGGAGUUUAACAUAUUGUAGGUGCUUGGGUAUUAAAAAUUCAUUCUCAAAAGUCUGGGGUGAAAUCCGAGGAGUUAGUGGUUGAAAAAUCCUUAAAGCUUGAUGCCCUAAACCUUGAUUGGUUGGGAGUCAUCGAUAGACCCCCGUUACAUGGACAAUUUAGAAAAGAAUGCCUUUAAGCUUUGCACUCCUACAAGAAAAAAAUUGUGAAAGAAAAGAGGUGCGUUCUUAGCCUAUUGGAGGUUGAUUAGUUUGCUAAGUUUUGAAAAGAACUAGGUUGACAUACUAUAUCCGGAAACUAAUAAAUAACACAUAAAUUUUUGUGGAAGAGUAAGGAUUGGACCUUUGGGAGUGGAAAUUAUUUUGAAGCUUAAAUUUGCAUAAUGCCUACUCUUUAUGAAUUGUGACUAGGCAAUUUAUUUGAUAGCUCCUAUUGAAGUUUGAGUUUUAUUUCUUUCAUGUUCCAUGUGAGAGUUUGAUCAGUCAUGCCACUUAAACAUUUUUUGGAGUGAUUUGCAUGAUCCCUUUUAUGUAUAUUAUUAUAGUUUACUUAGUUUUUAUCUCCUCCAUUGCUAAGGGACUAGCAAUGAGUCGGUUGGGGGGUGUGAUUACUACCAAAAAGUGCUAUUUUGUAGACCUAAUUAUAAUGGUUUUAAGCACCUUUGAGUAGUAAUCAUAUUCAUAUAACCCAAUUAAUUCAUUAAGGUCCUUAGUAAUUGGUUUUCACCAUUUUNNNNNNNNNNNNNNNNNNNNNNNNNNNNNNNNNNNNNNNNNNNNNNNNNNNNNNNNNNNNNNNNNNNNNNNNNNNNNNNNNNNNNNNNNNNNNNNNNNNNGCUAUUUUGUAGACCUAAUUAUAAUGGUUUUAAGCACCUUUGAGUAGUAAUCAUAUUCAUUUAACCCAAUUAAUUCAUUAAGGUCCUUAGUAAUUGGUUUUCACCAUUUUGUGGCAAGUUUACAUGUUUUUAUCAGCUUAUGAAUCAAUUCAAGCAUGCCAAAUGAUGGAGGAGCUACUUGGACAAGUUAUGGCAAAGCUUUUGGAAGCUCAAAUUCAUGAAGAACCAAGCUUUGGAGCUCCAUAGCCCUUUGCCAAAGUCGUUCAAAGUAUGCAAGGAAAGAACAAUGGAGAAGAGGAAAACAGAGUGAAGAAAACAGAGGACAGCAGCUGCAGUCUUCUUUCGCACUUUUGGAGCACUUCCCGAAGUCUAUUUUCUACAUUCUAUAUACUAUUUCAAAUAUCAGGAAGUCAAGAAUCCAACGCUUCAAACCGUGUACGAUUUGGAGCUGAAAUGAGGAAGAUAUGGCCUUCGCAAGACAACUGCAUCCAGCUGAAGGACAAUUUCGCACCUUGCGAAAUUGGAACUCCAACGUGCGAAAUUUAAAGUGGAUGGCGGCUGUGCAUUCGCGGUGAAGUCCAACAUAUGAAAGUGAUUUUGCAACUUGCAAACUUGAAUCUCAAUGUGCGAAAGUGGAUUCUAAGUUGCGAAAUCAACUUGCGAAAUUUUCGCAAGUCACCAUGCAACGUGCGAAACUGGGAUAUUUGUGCACCGACUCUUUUAGAUAUUUUCUUCAGAUAUUUUUGUAUAAAUUUUCAUUCUUCUCCUUGUAAUCCACCAACCAUAAGAUUUCUUAGCUAGGAAGGUUGGAAAAGCUUCUCUAUAUAUAUUCCCUUGCAUCCAUUGUAACAGAUAUCGAUCAAUAUAUAGAAUAUACAGAGCCUUGCUCUGUUUUUCCUUCUCUUUACUAUUUUAUUUUCUUGGAAGCCAAACAGCCUCUGAGGGCUUUUCCUCAGAGGAUGAUUGGCUAAAACUUUUAGUUUCUCAAAGUAUGGAUGUUAUGUGAUGACUUGGAUGCAAUCCCAUGGAAAUUUCUCGCACCUGGAAGGUAAGGUAGUCGUUUUUCAUUAAAGGUUCAUUAAUGCAAAGUUUGGUUUUUAUUUCCUUUGGACAACUUCCAACGGCCAAUACUUGAUAAGCUUUUGGAUUUCUAUCCAUUAGUUAUCUCCUACGAGCUAUUGGAAGGUGAGGUUUUCAAUUCCAAGUUUUGCAUUAAUCCGUUAGAACCAAUUUCAAUGGCCAUUGAAAGGUGAGUUUAUCACCUGGAAUGACUUUGAGUUGCCAAUAUUUGGUAAGCUUUUGGAUUUAGACCAUUAGUUAUCUCUUACGAGCCAUUCAAAGGAAGUCUAAGGUGAAUAACCAUUGAUGAAAUUCACUACCAUCUGUUUUUCCAUUUUAAAGGAUUAAAACUUGAUUUGCUAAAUCCAUACCGGUUCGGGAAGCAAGCAUCACCAUAGUUGCAACCCCAACGCGAGGAGCCUAUCCUGAGAUUUCCAAUUUGCAUAAGAGCCAGAGCAUAGCUAUCCUAUCUUUGAGAAACUUGUUUUUACACCCUUUCAUUUUAGUCUUUAAUGUUAGCUUAGAUUAGUUUAAAUCUUUCUAAAACAUUUACAUCUUCUUUUAAAGCUAACAUCCAUAAGAAAAUCACCUAUUUUCCUAAUUUGAAUAUCAUUUGUGUUUGCGAAAACCCUUCCCAGUGAACGAUCUUAGAACCACUAUGCUAUAGUAGCUUGGCUACUUUAGUAAUAGUAUUCAAGGUAUAAAUUUUGUUGAUACGCUUUUAAAGCUAAGCUACCAUGAGUCGAAUCAGUCAUCUUCCUUUGAUAUGCACGAACAUGGUCUGCCGCCCUCAAUCUCCUCUCAUCUAGGAGAUUGAGCUGAUGUAAUCGGGCUUGAGCCCAAUCAGCCUUUGGAAUCUAUUGCUCUAAUGCUACCCUCAAUGAACCCAUUUCAAUCUCAACAGUAGCACUGCCUCCAUACCAUACACCAAGGAGUAAGGUGUGGCUCCUAUAGAGGUGUGAAAAGAAGUUCGAUAAGCCCACAAUGUGAAAGGGAGCUUCUUUUACCAAUCCCGAGAAGUCUCUACCAUCCUCCGUAAGAUCCUCUUAAUAUUCUUAUUCGCAGCCUCUACUGCCCCGUUCGUCUGCGACCUGUACGCAGACAACCUAUGAUGCUGAAUACCAUAUCUUUGCAAUAAGGUGUCAACUUCUGCCCUGAAAUGUACUCCUCUAUCUGAAAUUAGCUCGUGAGGGACUCUAUAUCAACAUAUAAUGUGUGAUAUGAUGAAAUUAGCAACUCCAGACGAUGUCAAUCUCGCAUAUGAGGCGGCCUCCGCCCACUUGGUGAAGUAAUCUAUGGCAACUACGAUAAACUCAUAACCACCGGAAGAUUUUGGCGAAAUCUUCCCAAUGAUGUCGAUACCUCAUACUGAAAAUGGCCAUGGUGAAGUCAAUGCGUGCAGCUUUGAAGAUGGCACGUGAAUGAGGUCCUCGUGUAUCUGAUACUCUGGACAUCUCUGAACAAGCUGACAACAGUCUAUCUCUAUGGUCAACCAAAAAUAGCCAGUCUUUAUGAUCUUACGGGCUAACAUAUGUUUUUCCAUAUGUGGCCCACAGACUCCCAUAUGAACCUCUCUUAUCACUCGAUUGGUAGAGGCGCAGUCUAAACACAAUAGUAACAUCCCGUCAGCUAAUCGUCUGUAUAAUGCCUCACCAAAAAUCACAAAUCGGGUGACCAACUGUCUUAAUGCUCUAUUAUCCUUGGUUGUGGUGGCCUCAGGAUAUGCGCCGAGUCUCAAAAAGUGAUAUAUGUCAUGGUACCAUGGCAAACCAUCAUCUAACUCUGUAUCGUCAAUCAAACAAUAAUAGGCAAGAACAGAUCUCAACUCGAUCAGUAAAUGACGAACAAUGACAUCAACAGGAAUAUCAAUCAUGGAAGCUAGAGUAGCUAAGGCAUCAACAAACUGGUUUUGCGCUUUAGGUCGAUGUGUAUAUCUCAAAUCAUCAAAUCUCCCAACCAGUAGCUCCAAGUAUGUGUGGUAAGGCUUGAGCUUCACAUCUCUAGUUUUCCAUUCGCCCUGAAUUUGUCUCAAUACUAGAUUGGAGUCACCAAACACCUCUAUUUGUCUAAUCCCAAGAUGCAAGCCUCAUACUAAACAAUAUUGGUCGUGGCAGGAUGUCGAUUCGAGAAUGCUAAAUGAACAGAUCUAGGAAUGUGAUCGCCACGAGGGGAUAUCAACAAGACACCUAUCCCGUAUCCAGAAUGGUUAGCUGUACCAUCGAAGUACAUGUGCUAACCUGACAGACUAGUCACAACAGCAACAUCCUUAUUUGGGAAAUCAUCAUCAAUAGCUUUACCAUAGAAAAUUGGUAAUGAGGCUAGGUGAUUUACAACAAUGCUCCAUCUGAUGGACUUCUGAGUGACAUAAUGGAUGUCAAACUCAAUCAAAAGUACCAACCAUCUCAUAAGGCCACCGACCAAAGCGGGCCUGUACAAUAAAUAUCUCAGAGGAUCCAGACGAGAUAUCAAGUGCACUGAAUACUCGGUCAUGUAAUGUCUCAAUUUGCGAGUGGCCCAAACCAAUGCCAAGUAGUGGCGCUCAAUCAUGACAUAUCUCAUCUUAUAAUCUAGCAUUCUCUUACUCAGAUAAUAAAUGGCUCGCUCCUUGCCCGAAUCGUCGAGCUGAGCCAACAUGCAACCCAAAGCUACGUUUGAGACUGACAGUUAUAGGAGUAAAGGACGACCUGGUGUGAGAGGCACCAAGACUGGAGGUGACAACAAGUACUCUCUAAUCCUCUCAAAUGCGCACUGACACUGAUCAUCACAAACAGUAGGUUAACUCUUCCUCAAGAGUCGAAAAAUGGGCUCAUAGAUGUCUAUCAAUCUAGUAAUGAAUAUGCUGAUGUACUGAAGUUUACCCAAAAAGCCUUUGAUAUCUCUCUCGGUUCUCGACGUAGGCAUGUUGAGGAUGGAUCUGAUCUUAUCCGGAUCUGCCUCUAUGCCUCUCUCACUGACCAUGUAUCCUAGUAGUUUCCUAGAAGUCACUCCAAAAGUGUACUUCUUGGAAUUCAGUCUCAAUCUAAACUGCCUGAUCCUCUCAAAGAAUCUUUCUAAAGCAGCUAAGUAAUCUACUAUAUCUCAAGAUUUCACUAUCAUGUCAUCUACAUAAACCUCGACAUCUUGAUGCAUCAUGUCAUGGAAGAGGGUCACUGCUCUCUGAUAGGUAGCUCCUGCAUUCUUCAACCCGAAUGGUAUGACUCGGUAGCAAUAAGUACCUUACUCGGUAAUGAAGGACGUCUUCUCCAUGUCUUCUAGAGCCAUCAGUAUCGAACUGUACCCGAAAAAUCCGUCCAUAGAGGACAACAUCGAGUGAUUGUUGUACUGUCAACUUGCAUGUUGACAUGUGGGAGAGGAAAAUCAUCCUUAGGAUUGGCCUUGUUGAGAUCUCGAAAGUCAACACAAACUCUCACUUUUUCGUCCUUUUUAGGAACAUGGACGACAUUGGCUAGCCACUUGGGGUACUCGACCAUUGACAAAAAUCCCACACUGAGCUACUUUUGGAUCUUCUCCUUCACCUGCAAACUCUAGCGAGGAUGCAAUCAUCUCAGUUUCUACUUAACCGGUCUGGCAUAGGGCAAAAGUGGUAAACGAUGCUGGACAAUAGAUGGAUCAAGGCUCGAUAUGUCCUCAUAAGACCAUGAUAAAACAUCCAAGUACGAUCUAAGCAACUGGACGAGGCUAUCUAUCUCAUCUGUAGAUAAAUCCAAUCCGAUCCUCAACUCCCUAGGCUGAUAUGUUGUGUCGAAAUCAAUAAUCUUUGCGUCUCCUACAACAGGUGAAACUUUCUGAUCAAUGGGGCCUGAAUCAAAAGCAGAAGAUGAGUCUUCAUCUGAAUCAUGUUUUACAAUUUCAUCAUCUAUAUCAAAUAUCUAUGAAGUGAGAUGAGGAGGGUGCAAAUAAAGUGAUAUCAUAAGAGACAGAUAGAUACUCAAAAAUGCACAAAUCCAUAAAUGAAGAGUCAUGAACAUUGUCAGAACGGGAGACAAAUCCCGAUAAAGCAUCACAUGAAAGAGGUGGGUCCACAAAUUCAGACGUUUCCUCGAUUGGGCCAACAGGACCAUCAAACAAAUCAUCAACAACUAUAACAUCCCUUGUAAACUCUAGAGCAGGAGCAGUUUGGGUAUCCUCGACAAUCUCAAAGGCAGACACCCCAAAGAGAUCCAAUGGCGAAGUAAGCUCGGGCUGAACUAUCUCAUCAAUAUGGCUCAUACUCAUAGUGAACAUCUCAUCAAUGUACUCGUCGAGGGGAACAACUCCAUCCGUUAUGUCUCCAAUUUCAAAAAAUUUCCCUUGCUCAUCGAUCUCAUCCGGGAAAUAAAGCGUCAUAAGGCUCAUACGAUCUGGAGAUGAUGAGGUGACCAAUGUAGAUGUCGAAGUGCUCGGAGCUCCAUCACUCAACUGUAGAUGAUGGAUAAGACGCUGAAGCUCGACCUCUUAAACACUGCUGAGUUCCCCAAUGAUCCCAUAUGAAGGAAUCCAUGGCUUCGACGCCCUCACAAAGUAGUCCGCCAAACUCAUGGUGUAUGGGCGAAUAGGAUAAUCGAACGGUGUGUGAGUCAAUCGGGCCUUCACCCUCUCCUUACGUAAUCGCGCCAUAUAUCGAUAAUCGACUUCAGUGGGGAUGAACCCGAGUCCGAACGGUACAUCAUGAUUUGGGAUAGCCAUGAACUCAUUGGGCCCGUACUGACGCUACCCCAACCUCAUGCCAGGUAAGUAAGACAUGCUCCUCAUCAUGUUGAGUACCACUAUGCUACCAUGCUGGUCAAAUGACAUAGCCAUGAAAUCUUGGAAAAAAUCCUCCAUCUCUAAGGUUUCCACCUCAUUGAAUGCGAAUUUAGUAAGAAAUAGGUCAUCAUCACUAUGACUAAUUUGAAGUAAUGGCCCAAAAGAAAUAAACAUGUCUCCGACAAACUACACUGUGAUGACCUAGCCAUCAUGAAUGAACUUCACCUUCUGAUGAAGGGAAAAAGGAAUGGCCCUAGCUCUGUGGAUCCAAGGUUGGCCCAAUAGCAGGUUAAAGGACGCAGAAAUCCUCAAAACCUGGAACAAAAUAAUAAAUGUGGCCGGACCUAUCAACUGCUCAAUCUCUAAAGUGCCCAUGACCUUCCUCUGAGUGCUAUCGUAUGCUUGGAUUGUUUGAGUGGAGGAACCAAAGUUAGAGGGCGCAUAGCCGAGGACGAUGGUAGUGGCUAGAGGGCAAAUGUUCAUGACCGAGCCAUUGUCCAAAAGGGUAGAUAGGACUCGACGGCCUAAACAACCAACUGAUAUAUAUAGUGGACAUGUAUGGUUUGAACCCUCUGGCGGCAAGUCAUCAUCAGAGAAUACUAUGCAAGUGGCUCUACCAGCCGUCACCAUGUGAAUCAACCUCUUCGGAGUAGUGGUAGUCUCGACUAUGAUCUGGCUCAGGGCUCGAAUCAAUGCAUCCCUAUGAGUGCUGAAAUAUGCCAACAAGUUCCAAAUGGAAAUACAAGCAUGUGUGCUCUGUAACUGCCUCAAAAUCUCAUUAUCCCCUCUCUUGACCUCAUCGGGAGUAGAAGUACCCUCCAAGGGUUUAGCAGUUGUGGGAGGCGACUGUCGCAAUACCCUAUCCCAGUGAAGAAUAUACUAUACAUCAGGAGUUUGAGAAACAUCAACAUAUGGAGUCUGAACCUCCUCAACAUCCAGAAUCAAGAUGAAUGGCAUCUGAAGAUUGUAAUGCGGGAAAGUCCAUGGCUCAACAGUGGUUGUCUGUACUGAUGCUGCUUCAGGAACCAGUCUGAAUGGUGUGGGCAACCGAGGGCCCAAAGUCACUCCACCUAUCUCAUAAAUCCUGUCCGAUACUAUGAGCUCUGGCUCUGAAUCAUCCCAUCUUAGCAUGUGGAUGUGAUCGUCAAGCUCACCGAAGUCAAGGAAAUGUAUGCCAUCUAUUGGAGUAAAAACCACAUGUGUAGUGUGGGCCGGUAAUGGGUUUGUGGUUAUACUCGACUAACCCAAGUGAACCAAACCCUGAUCAAUCAGAUCCUGGAUGGCAUGUCUCAGAGUAGUAUAAUGGUCUGUCUUAUGUCCUGGCCCCUGAUGAUAUGCACAAUGUAGAUCCAUUCGAAACUGAGACGGGAUAGGCUGAGGCAAUGGUUUGGGAGUGAGGGCUGUCAAUAAUCUAGCCUCUAUGAGUUUUCAAAGAGCCUGACUCAACAACAUACCCAACUGUGAAAACUGCCUCUGCGUCCUCAAAACAAAAUGAGUAGAGGUCUGCUGAGCUCUAGGCCUGGGAUAAAAUGUUGUAGGUCUCGCGAAAAAUUGUACCGCAUAGCACGGCUGCCUUGUGGCAGAAUAUGAAACAGGUGGUCUCUCUGUGCCCUGUGUGGCAUAAUAAGGCAGUGCUAAUGUAGGAGAAAUGUAUGCCUGAUCAUAAGUCUGAGGAGACGCUCAUGGCCUAUACUGUUGAGGUGCAUAAGAAGGGUGGAUCCCAGUAAGUUGUGGAAUUGGAUGAUGACGCCUAGGAGGCUUCUGACUGGUAGAAUUGAUAGCACUCACAUCAAUCGAUCUCUGCCUUCUAGAUGGUUUCUUCCCCUUAACGUCAAUAGGGGAAUAAUCUGUCCAUAAACCUCUAGAAAUACCAUCCUCAACAUCAUAUAGGGCCAAAAUCAGAGAGCCAAAGUCUGUGAAGGGUACCCCGACCACAUGUCUAGCAAUCCUAGGCUAUAGACUCCUUAGAACCAUCUGUAUCUGAUCCCUCUUUGAUGGCCUAUCAAUAAUCUCAACUAUUUUCCCGUGCCAACAGGAGAUGAAUGAAGAAAUGGACUCGUCCGAUCUUUGUCUCAGAGCCUCAAGUUUUCUCCUCGAUACAUCUACAAUAAUAUUAAACGAAAACUAUCGUAAAAAUUCCUAGGCCAAGUCAUAGGUGAUCUUUUGUGUUGAGUUCCACUCAAAGAUAGUGGGAAUAAAGUGAUCAUUUGUGACUUGUCCAAUCUGUGGGCCCUCAUCAUUGUGUUGUACAGUCAAAGGUGAAUGCGAGGUCAACCAAUGCCUGUGUACCUCUCAUUGUCAGGCAUCCUAAACUUGGCUGGUAAAUUGGCCACUAGCAUACCCUUAAGAUCAUCCCAAACAGUUGAAUCGUCAGAUACUCUCAACUGUCUCAUAUGCUGCUCAAUACGGUCCAUACGUGUGUGAGCAUCAUCAAUGACUGUGGUCUAAACUACUGCAGAUGGAGCAACCUUAGAAUGACCAUGCAACAUAUAAGGUAAGACCUGAGGCACUAUCGAAACAGGUGGUGCGGUGGAGGUGGCAACGAGUCAUGAGGUGUCUCAUCCUGAACUACAAACGAUUUACUCUACGUCCAGACAUUGCUUUUUUUUUUGUCAAUUUAUUAGCAAGAUACAGUUCCGCUCCAACAUGAAGACAUUGGAAUGGUAUUAAACAUAUAUUUCGUUAUCUUCACAAAACUACUAAUAUGGGUCUAUUUUACUCAAGGGAAUCAAAGCAACAAUUGCUUGGAUAUGCAGAUACAGGUGUGGACCCCGUAUUUCUACUCAUGCGCUUUCACUCGAUUGCGAACUCGCUUUUUAUUUGAAAAAAAUAUUUAUUGUUUAGAAAAUGACUUGGAGUCGCCACUUAUUUUUGUUUUAUUUUUAAAGGGUAAACAAAAUAAAAAAGAAAACCCUAAGUGUGACUCCUUAUUUGGAAAAUGCAGUUUGUGAAAAAUUGGAUCGAGGUUUAGGGGUCAAGUUACUUAUUAGGAAGGUAGGGUAAAGACCGUAGCAUCCCUCUAAGUCCCUAAAAAAUGGGUCUCUACUAAUGAGAUGAAGCAAGUAUGACAAUUGAUUGAUCAAACAUUGAUACCGAAUGAAUAUCAAUCAAAACAAAAUAACCAAAUGAACAAGAGAGGCAAGGAGUGUACCUGAGUGAUGGGUCAGUUUACUUCAUGGAAAACAAAGGUUAGUAAACAAACAUAGAAUAAUAGCAUGCAUGUCAUAGAGUGGAAUAAGUCAAUCAAUCAAUCAAUUAAUGAGGAAGUCACAUAUGUUGGGCCCCCACCAAAGCCCAAUUUAUUUUUGCAUGAAUUAAUUAUGUAAAUUCCAUCACUUGAAAUUACAAAAUUGAAUUUAUGCUUUUUUUUUAAAAACAUUUUAAAAAUCAUGGAAGUUAUGAAAAUUGCAUGCCGAAGAAAGUGGUAGCAAAUUUUUUUAAAAAUGGAAGGAUUUUUGGAACCCAAAAAAAAAAAAAAUUAAGGAUGAAAAAAAUAUGGAGUUGGGAUUUUUUGAAAAAAACUAAGAUCCGAAAAAUUAUUUGAAAAACUAGAUUUUGGAAAACUAUUUGCAAGUUGAAGUUUGGGGAAUUAUUUUCAAAAUAAAAAAUGAGGAAAUGGGAGAAUGCCACGUGGCCCAAAGGUGGCCAUGCAAACCAUGCAGCAGGCCAUGGUGCAACUGAGAUUGUUCUACUGACUUGCCAUCCCCUUUCCUCUAACAUCAAUCUUUCCUUGGAAAUGGGUUGAUUCCACCACAUAUUCCAAGCUGUUGGCUUUUGCUUCUUUGACAUUCUGUACCCACCAACAACACGAGCAUGGUGUCGUUCAAAGGGUUCAAGGGUGACAUGCUAAGAAGGUUUGAACAUCUCGACUUGCAACUUCUUCACUUCCUAAGAAAAUAUUGCUUCUGUUGGGACUGUCGAAUCUAUAUAGUUUUCCUUGAUAGAUGACCUCCAACUCUCUGGAAGUACAAUACACUUAGUGCCAAAAUCUUGGCUUGAUCUAACUGUGCAACAUUAGAAAAUAUCAUAUCAACCAUGCCAACCAGCAUACUAUACUUUGCUGGGUGUCUAACACCUUCAAUGAUGGGAAUAACGUUUGUUCGCUCCUUUGCCAUGUUUACUACGUCCUUACCAUUUCUGUGAGCCACCAUAGGUAUUCCAUAUCUGUCACUUGGGGCCAAAUCACUAGUGUAGGGACCCCUCCUCCUGAGAACACGUGCUAUGCAUCUCAUGGUGACACGUGGCACGCAUUAUCAUCCGGAUCACUCCCAUCCGGAUACACAUGACGCGCUUCUCCUAUCUGGACUGCCUCAAGGAAGGGCAAACGACACUUAUAAACAUAAACAUCCGGACGGCUUUCACAAUACAUUCGAAUGACCAACAUAGGUCGUCCAGAUAUGAUUGUCCGGGUCAUUGACUGAAGAAAAGUAAGUCUUACACGUUGUCACAACAGCCUACCAUAGCCCACGUUUCGCCACCUGCAGAGUGAAGGGACAAGAUGAAGUGACAACAAGUCACUUCCCACGAUCAUUUCACAUGAUCACCUACCACGAUCUCUGACAGCCGCAUCACCUACCACGAUCUCUGUCAAACUGCCCGUAAGGUGAUGAUGGCCCUGCCACCACCUAGUGUCAUCAUGACAACACAAAAUAUCUCCCCACCAUUAAAGAAGAAUCAAAGCUUCUGAUACUAUAUAUAUCAACCUUCACACAAAGAGGAAGGUAAGCUUGCUAUACCUAGUAAAAGGCCAACUGAUUUAUCUCUCUCUCUGACCAUGGCUGGCAAAACCAUCGGAGGGUGCGUCCAGACACCCCGUCCGGACGCCUUUUGCAGGUGAAACGAUUGAAUCAAGAAUCUAUAUUGGUUGAGAUCGUGCGUCCAUCCAUUUGGCAACUACGUGGAUCACCAGGGAUGCGAGGCCUCAACAUUGGCGCCGUCUAUGGGAACUUUUCGUUGAUUCAGUCACUAGUGAAGAUGGCCACAACUUCCCGAAGUCGUUCAUCUGGUAGGGGAGAAGAAGAUAAUUCUGAAUGGCGCCAAGCCAUCGAAAGAAGACAGUUGGCAAGCGAACGACAACUGAAAGCUUUCCUCCAAGAGACAGAAAGGUUAAGAGAAGAAAACGCGGUAUUACGCAUCCAGGCUUCAACAUCAGGGCCUCCUCGUCAUCAGCGUUCAAGGGGCCAAGUAGCAAACUCAAGGCCAGAACUAGAGUCAAUAUAUCUUGGGACAGCGGAAGCUAUCCCAGAAGCAUACAACGUGAGGCCAUGCAAGCCACACACUCCCAUGUCUCGAGCUCUCCGCGAGGAAAGCUCGGACUCUACUCAUUUUUCAACAAAAAGACAACGCGAUAAAAGAUCCCAGUUGUCAAAUUCAAUGCGCGCAAGACUAGGCCCACAAGAGCCUAGGAGACCAAGGCCACCAGCAACCACAACCGGGGCAACGCGCCUCGACCCUAUGGUCACCCUCGUGGUGUAGAACGUGCUCUCGCACCGUGACCCCAUGGUCACCCCCGUGGUGCAGAACGUUCACUCACACCCAGCGGUGCGACUAGAUGGGAGAAAUCCUCCAAGCGAGCCACCUUUUGGCUCCAUCAGCAAAAGGCUGGACGACAUGCUCUCCACGCCCUUCUGCUCCAAUAUCAUUCAUUACGAGCCCCCAAGGGGAUUCCUCAUACCAAAAUUUUCCACAUACGAUGGGACCAACGAUCCCUUCGAUCAUAUCAUGCAUUAUCGACAACUCAUGAUGCUCGAUAUUGGCAACGACGCACUGCUGUGUAAAGUGUUUCCCGCCAGUCUACAAGGACAUACCCUCUCAUGGUUUCAUCGCCUACCUCCCAACUCUAUUGGCAAUUUCAGGGACCUGUCUGAAGCUUUUGUGGGACAAUACUUAUGCUCCGCUCGACACAAGCAGAACAUCAACACUAUGCGAAACAUAAAAAUGCAAGAUAACGAAUCCUUAAGGGAGUUUGUGAAGCGAUUUGGUUAGGUCGUACUCCAGGUAGAAGCUUGCAGCAUGGAUGCUGUCCUACAAAUCUUCAAGCGAAGCAUCUGUCCAGGCACUCCAUUUUUUGAAUCGCUAGCCAAAAAGCCUCCUACAACGAUGGACGACUUGUUCAGACGUGCCAACAAAUAUUCAAUGCUCGAAGAUGAAGUGUGUGCAGCCACCCAGCAAGUUUUGGUUGCCGGACAACCAUCUAGAGGUGAUGUGGAAAGAAAUGCUAAACCUUCGGACCGGCCAAGGUCGUCCGAUCGAAGGCAGGAGGGAUCGAGUCGCCCGGAUAGGCCGCCCCUCACACCUCUUUCCAUAUCAUAUGAAAAACUUCUUCCUAUGAUCCAAGGCUUGUCUGACUUCAGGUGGCCCAGACCCCAAGGAACGGACCCAUCCACAAGGGAUCAUAGCAAGAGAUGUGCCUUCCACAAGGAACACGGUCACACGACAGAAACAUGCAGAAGCCUCCAGUAUCUGGUUGAGAGGCUCAUCAAGGCAGGACAUCUAAAGCAAUACCUCCGCUCAGAUGCUGGAGGAAAAGUCACUUCCCAACAUCACAACCCUGGAGCCCCCAAGACCCCAGCCGCCCCCAAGGCCAUUAUAAACUAUAUUAACGGAGGCCCAUCUGACGAGGAGUACGACUCUAGGCGAAAAAGGCAAAGAUUGUUGCGGGCCGCGUCGGUACGCGAAUGUAUCAACUCCAUCUGGCUUGUGUUAACUGGAGGGGGCCCUCGCCCCAUAGAUGGGACAAUCAUUUUCCCACCAGUUGACCCCACCCGGACACUACAGCCACAUCGCGAUGCCCUUAUCUUGUCCCUAGAGAUAGGGGACUUCGAUGUGAGACGCAUCUUGGUUGACCCAGGCAGCUCCGCCGAUCUUGUACAAGCAUCAGUCGUUGGCCACAUGGGACACAAUCUCACAGGCCUUGAAAACCCUGGACGAAUCCUGUCCGGAUUCAACGGGUCGUCAACUACGUCCUUGGGAGACAUUGUACUGCCGGUCCAAGUAGGCCCAGUCACUCUUAAUGUACAAUUCUCGGUGGCACAAGAGUUAUUACCCUUCAAUAUCAUCUUGGGGCGCACAUGGCUACACUACAUGAAAGCCAUCCCUUCUACAUAUCAUCAAAUGGUGAGUUUCCUCACCAACAAUGGGCAAAUUGACUUAUAUGGCAGCCAGUUAGCCGCUCGCCAAUGCUACCAGAUAACACGAGAAGUAGGGACCAACUAGGAGGAUGCAUCCUUCCUUGAGCCCAGCAAUUCGCAUGACCAAUAGCAAUUAUUGGGUUCGGUGGACAAGAAUCCCCUGGCAGCAGAUCCCUUACAAAAAAUCCAAAUUUCGGAGGAAAGUACUCACCUCACGAACAUCAGUUCCCUCAUGACACCAGAAGAGACCCAGAGCAUGCAAAGCGCCCUCAGGCGAAACCAUGACAUCUUUGCAUGGGCACAUUCUGAUAUGAAGGGAAUUCAUCCCUCUAUUACAUCUCACAUGCUUAACGUCUUUUCAACUACCAGACUCGUUCGGCAGAAGAUUAGGCGCUUUCACUCAGAUAGACAAAAAGUCAUCUAAAAUGAGAUUGACCAAUUGCUAGAAGCCGGAUUCAUCAGAGAAGUAGAUUAUCUGGACUGGUUGGCAAAUGUUGUGGUGGUACCCAAAAAAGAAGGAAAAUGGCAGGUUUGCGUAGAUUACACCAACCUCAAUAAUGCAUGCCCAAAAGACAGUUUCCCUUUGCCACGAAUAGAUCAAAUUGUGGAUUCCACUACUGGGUAAGGGAUGCUCUCUUUCUUGGAUGCCUUCUCCGGAUAUCACCAGAUUCCCAUGUCCCCGGCUGAUGAGGAAAAAACUGCAUUCAUAAUGCCAUACGACCUCUAUUGCUACAAAGUCAUGCCAUUCAGACUCAAAAACGCUGGCGCCACUUAUCAGAGACUGAUGACAAAGAUCUUCAAACCUUUGAUAGGCCACAUAGUAGAAGUAUAUAUUGAUGAUAUCGUGGUUAAAAGCAAAACCCGAGAGGAGCAUGUUCUUCAUUUACAAGAGGUUUUUCACCUUUUGAGGAAGUAUGACAUGAAACUGAAUCCUUCCAAAUGCGCCUUUGGCUUAAGUGCUGACAAAUUUCUGGGUUUUAUGGUCAGCCAAAGAGGGAUAGAGGUCAGCCCGGAUCAAGUCAAGGCAGUCAUGGAAACACCUCCCCUCAGGAGUAAGAAGGAAUUACAGCGCCUCACGGGCAAACUCGUAGCACUAGGGCGUUUUAUAGCCUGCUUCACUGAUGAAUUGCGACCCUUCUUCUUGGCAUUACGAAAAGCUGGAGCAAGCGGAUGGACGGACAGCUGUCAAAAGGCUUUUGAAAAGAUUAAACACUGUCUUAUGCAGCCGCCCAUCCUAAGCAACCCCAUCCCAAAAGAAAAAUUAUACAUGUAUCUAGCUGUAUCGGAGUGGGCAGUCAGUGCCAUUCUAUUUUGCUGCCCCUCACCUAAGGAGCAGAGGCCCAUCUACUACGUCAGCAGAGCAUUGGCAGACGUAGAAACCCGGUACUAAAAAAUGGAGCUAAUAGCCUUAACCCUUUGCAGCGCUGCCCAAAAGCUCCGCCCCUAUUUCCAAGCCCACCCGGCGGUCGUGCUGACCGAUCAACCCCUUCGCAACAUUCUGCACAAGCCAGACUUAACCGGAAGAAUGCUGCAAUGGGUUAUCGAAUUGAGCGAGUUUGGAAUCGAAUUCCAACCUAGAUUGUCCAUGAAAGGCCAAGUAAUGGCUGACUUCGUGCUAGAAUAUUCCCAAAGGCCCAGCCAAAGCCAGAAACAGAAUGAAAAAGAGUGGUGGACUUUAUGGGUCGAUGGAGCCUCACGAUCAUCCGGAUCUGGUGUAGGACUCCUGCUACAAUCACCAACAGCAGAACAUCUGGAGCAAGCCAUCCGGAUGGGAUUCCCCGCCUCAAACAAUGAAGCGGAAUAUGAAGCCAUCCUAUCCGGAUUAGAUCUCGCCCUGGCUCUAUCCGUCUCUAAGCUCCGAGUCUAUAGCGAUUCUCAACUUGUGGUCAAGUACGUCCAGAAGGAAUACGAAGCCAAAGAUGAGCACAUGGCGCAAUACCUAGCUAAGGUGAGAGAUACCUUACAACGAUUCAUCGAGUGGACAAUCGAAAAAAUCAGACGUACUGAAAAUGGAUGCACAGAUGCCUUAGCAGGCAUAGCUGCCUCUCUCCCCAUCAAAGAAACCAUAUUUUUGCCUAUACAUGUGCAAGCCAACUCUUUCGUCACAGAAACUUCCACUUGCAGCGCCAUUGAGGCAAGUCAACCAGAUGGCCAAGAAUGGACAAACAAUAUUGCACAAUACCUCCGGACAGGCACUUUGCCCGAAGAUCCCAAGCAAGCACACAAGAUCCGGGUCCAAGCCGCCCGUUUCACUUUGUUUGGGGGCACUUGUACAAACGCUCUUUCACAGGCCCCUAUCUUUAGUGCCUAAGUCAUUCAGAGGCCCUUUAUGUAUUAGUGGAAUUACACGAGGGGGUAUGUGGCAAUCAUUCUGAAGGACAGUCUCUAGCGCAUAGGGCCCAUUCGCAAGGAUAUUAUUGGCCUACAAUGAAGAAGGAUGCAGCAGCCUACGUAAAAAAAUGUGACAAAUGUCAAACGUAUGCCCCCAUUCCACAUAUGCCGUCGGAGACAUUGAAACCAAUUUCAGGCCCCUAGCCCUUCGCACAGUGGGGCAUGGACAUAGUAGGACCUCUCCCAGCCGCACCCGCCCAGAAGAAAUUCCUACUUGUUGCCACGGAUUACUUCAGUAAGUGGGUGGAAGCAGAAGCAUAUGCUAGUAUCAAAGACAAAGAUGUCGCCAAGUUCGUAUGGAAAAACAUCAUCUGUCGCUUCAGAAUCCCCCAAACCCUUAUAGCCGAUAAUGGUCCACAGUUUGAUAGCAUCGCCUUCCGGAAUUUCUGUUCGGAACUGAACAUCCGAAAUUCUUACUCCACACCGCGUUAUCCUCAAAGUAAUGGGCAAGCAGAAGCAACAAACAAAACCCUGAUCAAUGCCUUAGAGAAAAGGCUCGAGCAAGCCAAAGGAAAAUGGGUAGAAGAGUUACCCGGCGUCCUGUGGGCCUAUCGAACCACACCCGGUCGUCCAACAGGAAACACUCCCUUCGCCCUCGCAUACGAUAUGGACGCAGUCAUUCCUACCGAAAUUGGGCUACCCACUAUUCGGACUGAGGCAACAAAACAAGAUGAUGCAGACGCGAAGUUAGGAAGAAACUUGGAUUGGGCAGAUGAAGUAAGGGAGAGCGCAACCAUCCGGAUGACAGACUAUCAACAAAGGGCAUCCGCUCAUUACAAUCGCAAAAUAAGGCCCAGAAGCUUCAAAAAUGGUACGUUGGUACUUAGAAAUUUUUUUGAAAACACUACUGAAACAGGAGCAGGAAAAUUCCAAGCCAAUUGGGAAGGACCCUAUAUAGUAUCUAAGUCAAGUGAAAGUGGCGCUUAUCAUCUACAAAAGCUAGACGGAACUCCAUUACUCAGACCAUGGAAUGUGUCGAAUUUAAAGCAGUAUUAUCAAUAAAAGAAAGAGACAAGUACAAAAUGUCAAAAUGUAUGUUUUAUUGAUAUUUGUAAAGUUAUGUACAAAGGGUCCUCCGGACUACAAAAAUACAAAAAGAAGAUAGCAGCAAAAGAUUACAAAAAGAAAAGCUAUUAGGGAGCAGACUUGUCAAGGAGCUUCUUCUUUUCACCCGGAGGAAUUGAAGGGACAUCCCGCUUAAUGCCAUUUUUCUUCAUACAGUAGCGAUAGCCGAAGAAGAACAUAUCAUCCACUUGCUUUUGGUAGUUCGCUUCAAGUUUCUCAUUCUCCGUAGCAAACUCGCCCUCCAGCUCUUCUUUUUGCGCUGAUAAGCGCAGCUGCAAAUCUUCUCUCUGCUUCUUUUCAAUUGAAACUUCCGUCCGGAGGUGCCUCACCUCCCCCCACAAAAGAGCCACCUCAUCCUCUGCCUCAUGCAAGCGGGUCUCCAUCGAAUCCUCCCGGCUCUUUGCCUCAGCUAAGUCCACCCGGAGAGCCUCAUUCUCCCCCCGAGCGGUGGAUAAAUUGGUUUUGGCCUCCUCCAGUCUCAAGCGCAGCUGACCUUCACUAUUUUUUCGCUGAGACGUGAAGGCCUUCAUGUAAUCGGUGGUCCGCAGUAGGUCAGUAAAUAGAUCGUGUUGUUGAGCCAUGCCGCGAAGACCACUCACCAGCUACAAACAAAGCACACAAGCAAGAAAAGUGAAAUUAGAAGUCAUACUACAAACACAUCAGCAUGACAAAAAAUCAAGUAGCACAAAGUACAGUAUACCGUUUCCACCACUUCAAACAUCUUUUCUGAAGGCAUGACAGUGGUCGAGCCGGGUGGAAUCUGCUUAAGCUUCUCUUCCAACUCCGCAUAGCUAAAAGGGCUAGCAGAGGUGCAAGCCGCAUCAUCAACAGGAUCCUCCCGGAUGAGGCGUUAGAAAGUGAUUCCUCCCCCGGAUCCGGGGCCCCAUCAUUUUCAGCUGGAUGGGUCUCUCCGGGCGUACCCUCAUCUGGGACCACCAUCGGGACGGUUGGGGUCUCAGUUUCCAUCUCUGUCUCGCUCCCCUCCGGAUGGUCAUCCUGGACGGAUGAGCAACUGACUUCGAUGGUCUCCUGGAAUUGAUCUUGAAGCCGCCCGAGAAGGCCGGACUUUAGGUUCUGCGCCGAACUCGAUCUCCUUGAGGCUGGCCCCUUCACCGGUACAAGGACAAGAGGGCUUGGCUCGCAGGAUGGCAGACCCUGGUUUUCUACCCCCAUUUCCUCCAAUGGGGUUGCCAUAGGAGGCGAUACGGCCGCACAAGAAGCCUCCACCGCAUCUGCAUCCGGAUGAGAGGAGCUAGGUUGGUUUAUUGACGUAGCUUCUUCUACCACUAGAGCCAAAUGGCCAGCCACCGACAUUGAGGGACCGGACUGGUUCAGACCCGCAAGAUGUCCGGGUCCGCUUGAAACAGAAACUGGGACAGGAUUUUUCGGCUCCUUUAUUGUUUCCUCCUUCACAUAGGUUGAAGGAGGAAUUACAACCUCCUUUGGAGGAGGGGGGAUUUCCACUUCCUUCCCAUUCUCAAAAGUCUUCUUUUUCUUCUUCGUUGGAGCGCCAGCAGGAGGGGAGGACACAGACCGUUUUUUCCCCGGAGCCUUCCGCAAGGUUUCCCCAUUUUUUCUCCUCUCCUGAUCGUCAAGGAGCGCUUGGCAUUUCUCAGCGUCCGCCUGUUGCACCUCCUUGUAGAAAGGAAGGUCUUUCAGAAUGUAAUGCUCCCCAGGCACUACCUUCUUUGGCAGCUUCCUGGGAAGAAUAUUGAUGAUAUACUCACGGGGCUCCCGGACAACAGCCAUCAGAUUCCGCGCAGUGAGCAGCGUCGUAAACUGCCUCUCGGCGGCAGUAAUUUCGAACAACUUGUUCAAUCGAACAAAAGAUGCUUUCUCUACCCACUCAACUACGUGGCCCCUCUUGUCCGAACCUGCAUUAUCAACAAACUAAUGAUGAUUAUGACAUCUGAUAAAACCAGCAAGAAGGACAACAAAGAUAAAUGCCGGACAGAACCCAUAAAGUUGACGUACCCGAAAGCACCAAUGAAUAGUUUAGAGAGAAAGACCUCUCUGGAUGCUCCAAUAGCCCCGCCCAGGCACCCCGAACCACCACAUACCCCUUCGCCCCCCCUUUCGUUGAAUCCGGCAGCUCAGUCACCAAUUGAAGAGAGGGCAGAUGGGCGGCCAUACUGAAGAUGUCAUUUUUUCCCUUCUUCAGGGAGUAAACAAAAAGAACCUCCAGCAGCGAGAGGUCAAGGUUGAACAACAUGUUAAGAAUGCUGCAUCCCAUCAGCACUCGGACUAUAUUAGGGUGGAUGAAGGCUGGUGGGAUCUGGGUAAAAUGGAGGAAUUCCUUGAACAGCACCGGGAGAGGGAACUGGAGCUCGGCAUUGAAUUGCUCAUUUGAGAAGGUGAUGGCACGACCUUCAGCUUUCUCGGUAGACACGACCUCCUCCUCAUCCAGAAAUUCCACAAGCACGCCAUUUGGGAUACAGAAACGGUCCCGGAACUCCUUUACACUCAGUUUAUCUAUAGAUUUCUUCGGAGCAUCACCGACCGGGCCAGACGAAGUAACUUCCUUGUUUGCAGACAUUUUCUAGCCUGAGACUGAAAUGGAAACGACAUAAAAGAGGCACCAACAGUCAACAACAAAAAAAAAUCUUAAAAAAAAAAAAAAAAAACCCUAGAAACCAAACAACACCAAUAUUCACACACACAGUCGCAAAAAGUUGCCCAAGCAAACCAGAAACAAACCAACAAAACCAAAGCGCAGGAAGGAAAAGACAAAGGCAAAAAUACGUACCGAGUGUAAAAAGAAAGACAAGGGUUGCAAAUCGCAAGGCAAACACCGUCAAAACGCAAAAAUCACCGUCAGAAAAUUCUAGGGCUUCACUCAGCAAAAUGAAGGUACAUAGAAGGUAGAAAAAGAAACACUCUCAGAAAAAACGCAGUAGGAAAAAUGCAACAGAAGGCACAGGAUGCUAUUUAUAGGAGAACAGCCCCUCGGUAUACCAAACGAUCAGCUACGCUAUCAUUGAAACGACAUGCUGCCUGGGAAUACACAGAGACGACGACUUAUCAUAAAUGCUUCUCUCUCUCUUCACCCCCGCUCGCCACGUGACCCAAUAAGCGCAAAAAGCAAUCAUAGUUUCAAAAAACCAAUUAUUUUUUUUAACCCGUCCAUUUUUGCUCAGGCAAAAUAGGCAAGUUAAAAAGGGGGGCAUUGUAGGGACCCCUCCUCCUGAGAACACGUGCCACGCAUCUCAUGGUGACAUGUGGCACGCAUUAUCAUCCGGAUCACCCCCAUCCGGAUACACAUGACACGUUUCUCCUAUUCGGACUGCCUCAAGGAAGGGCAAACAACACUUAUAAACAUAAACAUCCGGACGACUUUCACAAUACAUCCGAAUGACCAACAUAGGUCGUCCGGAUAUGAUUGUCCGGGUCAUUGACUAAAGAAAAGCAAGUCUUACACGUUAUCACAACAGCCUGCCAUGGCCCACGUUCCGCCACCUACAGAGUGAAGGGACAAGAUGAAGUGACAACAAGUCACUUCCCACGAUCAUUUCACAUGAUCACCUACCACGAUCUCUGAUAGCCGCAUCACCUACCACGAUCUCUGUCAAACCGCCCGUAGGGUGAUGAUGGCCCUGACACCACUUAGUGUCAUCAUGACAACACAAAAUAUCUCCCCACCAUUAAAGAAGAAUCAAAGCUUCUGAUACUAUAUAUAUCAACCUUCACACAAAGAGGAAGGUAAGCUUGCUAUACCUAGUAAAAGGCCAACUGAUUUAUCUCUCUCUCUGACCAUGGCUGACAAAACCAUCGGAGGGUGCGUCCGGACGCAUUUUGCAGGUGAAACGACUGAAUCAAGAAUCUAUAUUGGUUGAGAUCGUGCGUCCAUUCAUUUGGCAACUACGUGGAUCACCAGGGACGCGAGACCUCAACAACUAGGACUAUAUCCACCUGAAUAAGAAGAAAACUUGCGUUCACAUGGUUGACUAUCACGGCUUCCUUCGGCAUGCCCCAUACGACAUAUAGAUUAUCAUCAGAUCGGCAGGGAGGAGGUUGAGUACCAGACGCUCGCUCCAUAUAACCAUAAUUAGUCAGAGGUUUAUGCCAAAUGACAGUUUGAUUCCUUUUUUUUUACAGCUAUUCUCCAACACGUGUUCCGCAAGGACACCCAUUUCUCUCUGUAUUAUGAUAUCUUCUUCAUCUUGUGCGUAUGUUUCAAGAGGAGAGUAUGCAGGAUAGCCUCCUAGCCUAAGCAACCUAUCUAACUUAAGAAGAAAAAUCCCAUCCCUUUAAAGCCAAUCAAUCCCACGACGAGAACGAUGGGCAAGUUCAGAAGAUCUGCUAGGGUAUGAGAGUUUCUUUGUCCUUAAAACUCCAAGAUAUGUUGGAAUUAUUCUCUCCAAACUGACUGGCAGUAGUACCGAAGCUCCCCAAAAACUAAAUGAAUGGAUAUUUUCUACUCGUUUGGCUAAUUUAUGAUUCUCUUAUUCCAUAACAUACGCUCUUAUAUUAGACCCAAAGAUACAAUUCAAUUAAACUGUGGAACCGACCCCUUUGUGCAAUUAUUGCCUUCCGGAUGCCAGAUAAGAAAGCGAUGUUCAGAUUUGGGAAAACACCAGAUGGCAUUAUGCCAGUAAACAAUACACACUUGAGUCUAAUAUUUUUUUGAAGAAAACCUGAUUCUGAGAACUAUGCCAAAAAUUAUGUUUCAUAACUUGCAAUACAUCUAUUGGUAAGUUAACUAUCAACGAUUCCUUAUUCACCUCUCAACACUGAAGUACAAAAAAAAAAAAAACUCUGAGACCAUAAGCUUCAAAUUCACGUGUUUGUGGAAGGAAGCUUGGAGGCUUCGGAUAUCUUGCAAGAGAUAAUAGCGAGCGAUGGGGUAGUUGUAUGGAACUACGGUGUUAUCGGGGUCUGAGCUUCAUACCAAAAGGUGGCCAUGCAUGCGUCUUAUUUCGCCUUGAAGUUCACAUGUUAGAACAACAACCUUUCAACCAGGUUCCAAAUCCUACAGCAAACACAAGCAGAUCUGAAGCUUAUGCACAAAUUUUCAUGUCAUUAAUGUAGUGCACUAGUGCCGCCUACUAUGGUCAUGAUAAUCCGACGUUCCUUAGCUCCCCAAACUUUCUCAUCGCAUGAUAUCUUUAAGCUCUGCCUCUUCUACAUUACUCUUACCAAUUCUUCAACUCUAGACAGGACCAUAAGACCAUCCUUCAUCUCAGUCACCAUGUAGAGCAUCCAAUAUGCUGAAACUUCCUUUCUCUGCCAUGGGUAAGACUCAAUCUGAAAUUUCUCAGCGCCUGAUCUGGAUUUCCUCUCUCAAAAAUCUAUAGGGCCAUCGAUGAAGAUUUCAUUCAUCUUUUGAGUACUUCUAGCUUGUUAAUGGUGGAUGACCUGUUAGCUUCAAACACCUCCUUGAAGUCUUAUAUGCUUGGCGCAUACACUUGAAUAUUGAAAUCACCAUGCUUCUCAUUUGUAAACAGGCCCACUAAGACAAAAUCACUUCUAACGUCUUGCAAAUGGGUUUUAAAGAGGAGUCUGACCCCAUCCUAGUUGUAACGACCCGCACUCAACCAUGUAGAUAUUGUCCGCUUUGGGCCCAAGAGGGUCCUCACGGCUUUAAAACGUGUUUACUUGGUUAAGAGAAGCCUCUACAUAUAUAGCGUCAGGAACAUUCUCCCCUAUCCGAUGUGGGACAUCACAAACACCCCUCAUGCAGACACAACGUCCUCGUUGUGUCCCAUGGGAUUACGGGGCCAAAUAGACAAACACCCCUUAUGGAGCUAAACAAAACCCCCACACCGGGGUCGGGGAUCGGCUCUGAUACCAUUUGUAACGACCUGCACUCAACCAUGUAGAUAUUGUCUGCUUUGGGCCUAAGAGGGCCCUCACGUCUUUAAAACACAUCUACUUGGUUAAGAGAAGCCUCUACAUAUUUAGUGUCAGGAACAUUCUCCCCUAUCCGAUGUGGGACAUCACAAAUUGUAAUGACCCGCACUCAACCAUGUAGAUAUUGUCCGCUUUGGGCCCAAAAGGGCCCUCAUGGCUUUAAAACGCGUCUACUUGGUUAAGAGGAGUCUCUACAUAUAUAGCGUCAGGAACAUUCUCCUCUAUCCGAUGUGGGACAUCACAAACACCCCCCCAUGUAGACACAACGUCCUCGUUGUGUCCCAUGGGAUUACGGGGCCAAAUAGACAAACACCCCUUACGGAGCCAAACAAACCCCCACACCGGGGUCGGGGAUCGACUCUGAUACCAUUUGUAACGACCUGCACUCAACCAUGUAGAUAUUGUCCGCUUUGGGCCCAAGAAGGCCCUCACGACUUUAAAAUGCGUCUACUUGGUUAAGAGGAGUCUCUACAUAUAUAGCGUCAGGAACAUUCUCUCCUAUCUGAUGUGGGACAUCACACUAGUAAUUGGGGUCCACGGAGGUGUUAUAACUCAAGUGCAUUGGGGAAGUCAAUUCAAACAGCGAGUGGUGUUACAACUACUUGUGAAUAGCUUGAACACGAUCUUGGGUGGAGUGAAUGACUCUAUAGGUCCACACACAAAAUAUCUUCCAAAUUGAAGCCAAUAUACUUGUAAAUAAUGAGUGCUUCACAUUUCCAUAGUGUUUGCAAAGCUUGCUGGCUUAUCAAAUGCACUAAAACCAAGAAAGCCAAUGGCAUAAACAAUCUAACUUUUAGCCAGUAGCAUAAUAUCCCUACGUUAGUGAGUAAUGGAGGCACCAAAGCCGAGAACAAGAAGGAAAAGGGAUUACUUAAGUGAGCUUGUGGAAGAUAAACAACAAGAUAACUAAUGGCAUGGCCCUUUCCCUGCCAUUUUGCUGCAUUUCUCAUGAAUCUGUAAUAAGAAUGGCAACCCACCUGUUAUGGUGGCCAACCACUAUGUAAGAUGAAGCAAUAAAGGCCACUGAAGUACAAACAUAGGCCGAUCACAUCAACUUAUUGAUCACUUCCCCGACUCGUCUUUUAGAUUUCGUCUCUCCUCUCAUCAGAGUGAUCUAUACCACAUCAACAACCGAUGAUAUGAAGAGUGUAAUGACAUUAAAGAUGAAAGAUAUCUCAAAAGAUGGAUUGUCUACCACCAUGGACACCCCCAAGUCAUUAUCACCACUAAGAACGGAGAAAAUAACUGCAAAUGCAAUUAUUGCAUAAGUCACAACCACCACAGUGACUGAGUUGGUGGCAUUGUUGAUUCCUUCCCUAUAGAGCUUAAGGAGUUCCUUGGCCAUUCCACUCGCAUUCUUGUUGAUUUUCCAGGUUUGUUCAAGUUGGGUGUGAACGUCUUUCCUGAUUUCUAUUAUAGUUUCCUAAGCUCAUCACGUGGUUGAUUCAGUUCAUUUGCUUUGACAGCACCAUACCGCGCCAAGCAGUCUCUUAUCUCAGAGGUUUCUUCAGACAGAGGGAGUCUUUCAGCUUAUCAAGGCAUUGAUCUUGUGAGCAAGAGUAGUUGUGACUGUGGGGUAUGAACCUCUAGGUAAUGCACAGAUGAUGUGAUCAUCAGGCGCAAUUGUGUUUUUGGCCAAUUUAAUUCCCUCAUUGCUAGUCUCAACCUAAGAAAUCCUUUCCUUAAUAACCUACAUUUCAUCUGAUGAGGUUCUUUCCACACGAGCGCAAAGUUCUGCCUACAAGUACUUUAGCUGUUAGGGCAUUUUCUGUAUUUCAUUUGAUGUCAAAUCUCUAUUAGCUAUGGACUCAUUUUGAACAUUGUGAACAUGAUCAGUAUAUUUGCUAAUAUUAAGAGUUUCCUCAACAUGGAUAUCAGCAGUACUGUUGCAAGCUCUCAUAACAGUUUAGAUAUUUCUACCAAAUGAAUCUCCAGUGCACUGAUGACAUAAAACAAGCUGACUGAAUCCGCAUAUGACCAAACACCUCAUAAACUAUUUCCAGUUGGGUACCUUUUGGCCUAACUAUAUCUAAGAGAACCCAACAUUUUUAUUAUGGAAUGACUUGAUUCGCUCAUCCUAACCUACAACCACAAUGACGAGAUCCCAUGCAUGAGGACUGAUGGGUGAUAAAUUUGAUGAGUAUGAAGGUUGAAGUGGUAGCAUGGGUGAUGAAGGGCAAUGAGAGGGGUGUGCUUAGUGGUGGAAUGAAUGGAAAAGGUGGAGAGAGAAGUAGUUUUAUAGGGUUAGGAGUGGAGAUGAGCUAUGGGUAAUGAGAGAAAUGGGUAUGAACGAUGGCCAUGUAUGCAUGAGGAUUGAUGAAUAGGUCGAAGAUAGUGGGUUUAGAAGAUAGGGAUAUGGGUAUGGUUUUGGGCAUGGGUGAUUACUACUCAAAAAGUGCUCUUUUAUAGCUUGUUAUAAACUCUUUUAAACACUUUUGAGUAGUAUUUAUUACCUUUUAACUCAAUUGGCACAUUAAAGACCCUUGCAAAUGUUUCUAAUCAGUUUUUGGCAAGUUUUGGUGUGUUUGAUAGCUUUUUUAUCAUUAAAAUGAGCCAAGAAUGAGAGAGAAUUUUGUAUAGUUCAUGACAAAGCAAGUUGAAGUUCAAACACAUGAAGAAUCCAAGUUUUGGAGAGCUUCGUAGCCUUUUCCAAAUCAAUCAAGUAUGCAAGGAGAAUAAUCAAAGAAGAAAUCUAACAUCCAGCAAUUUCGCAUGGCUAUGCAAAAUGCCAGAAGGAGUACAGUUGCAGGACAGAGAGCAAGACUGUGAAAAAUGAAUUUCGCACCUUGUGCGAAAUUUUGCAAGCCUUGCAAAACCAAAGACUAAGGAAAAUAUGCGAAAUUUCGCAAGCCUUGCGAAAAUCCUCUUGUGUAAUUUUCAGAUAUUUUUGCACCGACUCCGUUAGAUUUUUAUCUCGAGAUAUUUUGUGUAAUUACCUAUUUUCUUCCUGUAAUCAGCUAAAGAUAUUUUUAGAUAUUUAGGAUAUCUAAAUGAGGGGUUAAAAAAAAUCUCUCUAUAUAUGUCUUAAAAUAUCUCUUUUGUAAUAUCUCGGAAGAAAUUCCAGAGAACACUUGUAAAUUCUUUUAGUAAGAAAUACACAGAGCUUUGCUCUGCCUUACCUUCUCAUUUUGUUUUUAUUUUAUUUCUAGCCAAACAACCUCUGAGGAUGUUUUCUCAAAGGAUGAGUGGCUAGGUUUUUUGUUUCUUGGACUAAAGGAAGCUAGGUAAGGGAUCUGGAUACAAAGAUGAGAGUUUUCCUUGCUUUAAAUGAGGGGAGUUAUUACCUGUUAAUGGUUUUUAUUUUAAGGUUUAACUUAAAAUCCCUUAAAAUCACCUGGGCUAAUACUUGGUAAGCUUUUCGGACUCCCUGGAGAUCCAUUAGUUAUCUCUUAUGAGCCUUUAGGAGGUGGUUUAAAGGUAGGAUUACCUAGAAUGACCAAUACUUGGUAAGCUUUUCGGACUCCUUGGAGAUCCAUUGGUUAUCUCUUACGAGUCUUUGAAGGGUAAUCCAAGGUUAGGAUCACCUUGAAUGACCAAUACUUGGUAAGCUUUUCGAGCUCCAUGGAAUCCAUGGAUGUCUAUUAGUUAUCAUGCACGAGCCAUUGAAAGAUGAUUCAUAGUGAGAGGUCUUUAGUGUUUGAAACCAUUAAUGGGAAGCAACUGCAAUUUUUCAUGGACCAGUGGGAUCAAAUCUUGUUUGCUAAAUACACACCGGUUCAGGAGAUAACCAUUCUUUAUGUUAUUAUCCCCAAUGCGAGGAAAAGAUCCAAAAUCUCCCCUUUUUGUCUAAGGAACCUGAACCUAGUGACCUAAAACUCCAAGAAACCUUUUCUUUGAAAUUAAUCUUAGUUACUAUUUUUGGCUAACUUAAAACCAACCAUUUUCAAUCAAAAUUAUGUUUUCUUUUAAAGCUAACUCAUAAAAGAAAAAACACCAUUCCAGUACUUUAACUAAUAUCACUUGUAAUAUGAAAACCCAUCCCUGUGGAUGAUCCUAGAACCACUAUACUAUGCUAGUUAUGCUACCUCAGUGUAUGGUGAAUUAGGUUUAUAAAUUUUGUUGAAAACUCCUGCCUAAGGACCGAGUCAAAUAGUACACCAAUUGCGGACGAAUCAAUGGGGGAGUAUGAGGUGUGAUAAAUGGAGCAUGGUGAUAGGUGUAUUGGAGUAUGAAAGUUAGGAAAAUGGUGAGAUGAAGUAGAGAUCCAGUGGACACGCAUGGACUUGUAGGUUUGUACCCACUAUCACUUAGAGAUGCAUUUAUUUUGCUGUUGUAAUGAUCAUCAACAUUUCCAUUCGAGUCCUUGAUAACCUGAAACCCUACAAUAAACUGAAAAACCUUUUUAGUCCCAAUGAUAAACCUUACUUUCCUCAGUUGCCAAGGUUUAUGGUCAAAACGGAUUGCAUUGAGGCCUUUAUUAUCAUGGAACUUGACUCAUCUCUGUAGAUAACUGAGCUAACUUCCAUAAUACAUGCAUCUUUUGUAUCCUCUUUACAUCCGUUUGAUCGAUAAUGCUCACCAUCCGAAGGAACUUCAUUCACCCUCUACACCCACGAGCUAAGAUUUUCUUUCAGUCAUACCCAUAGUUUAUUUCUGAUUAACCUCACAAACCAACGAGCUACUACAACCAUUUUCACCCUUAAACCAAUAUUUUUUGUCUACAGUGCCCGACUUUCUUAGGUAGGGAUGUACAAAUGAUGUGUAAAAGACAGGACACCAAGAACAGAGGAAUGGCAAAACAAAACAGAGCACAAACUAAUGAAACAAAUAAAACAACCAAAGUCAUGUUUCAUGUUUAGAUCAACAUGCUUGACUAUAGGUGAGUGAACUAGAAUGCAUCCCAUGGAAAUGAAGACAAAACAAGACUCCUACAUGAUGCAUAGUGAAACUAAAAUAGAGUUGUGUUGCUCUCAAAUCACCCCAAGGAAAAUAAACAAGAUAGCAACAAUAAACCCAUAAACCAAACAGGAACCAUAAAACUGAACAUAUAAUCAAGAAAUCCACAUAAACUAUUGAGAAAAAGGAAUGAGACUACAUACCGAUAAAGUAAAUCCAAUGAUCCAUGGUAGUCAUACCUUUCCUUUCUUCUCUCUCUAUGGUUUUUCUCUAUGAUUUCUCCCAAGCUCCUCUCUCUGGUCUUUCUCAAGCUAUCCCUCUCUCAAAUAGCCUACAACUCUAAGUUUCCCACACUCCCUUGGACGUCUUGCCCUCUAGCAAGCCUGCUCUCUCUCUGACCCAAAACCUCUUUCUUUCUAAGAAAAACUUGCUCUCCAAGCCACCCCUUCUCAGACAACAACCCAAAAAAAUAUCUCCACCCCAACAACAACCAACUUGCCUCUUCCCUUACAACCUCCCUCUCUCUAUAACCAAAAAUACGCUCCUCAAUUGAUUCCCUUAACACUUGUCUCUUCCCCAUUGCAUCCUCUAUCCACUAAUAUGAUUAUCCCACAGCCUCUCUUGAGGCAACAUGUGGCUCCUUGAGAGCCCUCCACCUAGCAAGAAUAGCCUGCAGAAAAGUGAGCCCCAAAAUGGAGGUCUACAAUAGGAUAUAUUUCAGAUCCACAUAAAGGUAGGUCGGAAAUAGGGUAUGUGUUUAAUUGCAAUGGUACUACUAUUUCAUGGAGAUUUGUCAAACAAAUAAAGGUGACUACAUCAUCAAAUCAUUCAGAAAUACUGGCAAUUCAUGAAGCAAAUCGUGAAUGUAUAUGGCUAAGAUCUAUGAUCCAACAUAUUUAGGAAUCAUGUAGACUCUCCUCUAUCAAAGGUGACCUGAUAAUAUUAUUUGAAGAUAAUGCUACAUGCAUUGCAUAGAUAAGAGGGGGUUAUAUUAAAGGAGAUAGAACUAAACACAUUUCACCAAAAUUCUUUUAUACACAUGAAUUCCAGAAGUGUGGUGAAAUUGAUGUGCAACAAAUAUGCUCAAGUGAUAAUCUAGUAGAUUUAUUCACAAACUCAUUGCCAACCUCAACAUUCAAGAAGUUAAUACAGAAGAUUAGAAUGCGUCAACUCAAAGAUAUUAACAUGAGGGGGAGUAUGCUUGUAAAAGGGUGUUAGUGUAUUGUACUUUUUUUCCCCAAUGUCUAGGUUUUGUCCCACUGGGUUUUACUGGCAAGGUUUUUAAUGAGGCAAUCCUAAUAUACCAAGAGCUACUAAAAGAAUUAUAAGAAUAUUGUACUCCUUUUCCUCCACUAGGUUUUUCCCAUAGGGAUUUUACUAGCAAGGUUUUAAUGAGGCAUAUUCUUCUAAUGUGGUGGACAUCCAAGGGGGAGUGUUAUAACUGAAGUAAUGAGUGUUACCACAUUAAUUAUAAUAAAUGUUAAUUAAAUAUUAUUUAUGAGUUUCAUUAAUAUUCAUUAAUAGGAAUAUUAAUGGAAGCCAUUUGGAAAGCUUAUAAAAGGACUUCCCAUCCCCUGUAAUACGUACCUUCAAGCAAGAAAUAAAUUUCUCAAUUUAUCUUAUUCUCUUUGUCUUUCAUUCUCUCAACUCUCUUCUCUGAUUCCUUUCUCCCAUUAUAUAUAUUGUUGAAGAAUAUAUAUCUUAUCUCUACUUUGAGUUGCAUUUAUUCUUGUUUUACAACAAAAGCAUAAUUUUAAUAUUAUAUAUUCAUUAUUUAAAAAAUAAUUGCUUAUAUAACUAAGGUUUGAUUGAAUAGUUUUAAGUUUUUGACUUAGUUGAAAGUUAAAAUUGAAGUCAAAAUUAUGAUUUUUAAAGAAAUAUUCUAAAAUUUUCAUUAAAUAUGAAAUUUUUUUAUUGUAUAAAUACAAAUAAAACUUUCAAACAACCUUUUCCUACUUCCAAAAAUUAGUCACAAACAUAAAAUAAAACUUUUAAAAUUUCAAAAUAAUUGUUUAAAAAACUCUAAAUUAUGGAUAUAUUUUUAUGGAAAUAAAUCUUAUAUUUCUACUUUAAAUAUUUUUCCUAAAAUUUUCCAAUAAUAAUUAGUUGAAAAGGACUUUACAUUCUAUAAUUUGAACACCCAAAUUAAUUAAAUAUUUUUUUUUUGAAAAAAAAUGGAAGAUUAAUUUGAAAACAUUUAGGAAUAAUUAAUAAAAGAUUAGAAAUGUAAAAUUAUAGAAAAUAAUAAUAAUAAAUAAAAGAUGGUGAAGAAGUAUGAGUGAAAAAAUGCGAUGAUUGUGGGAAAGAACACAAGACAAACAUUAAGGGAAUGAUAUAAGUAAAUAAUUUUUUAAAAUGAUUUGACAUUAAUAUAUUUCCUAAUUUUAAAAACACAAUAAAUUAUUACAUUUUUUAUAUAUUAUUUAAAUUAUGAAAAAUAUUUAAAGGAAAUAAUUUUUCUACAAACUACUUUUUCAAUAACAAAUAUAUUUUGAAAACUCCUAUAUUUAAUGUAAAUUAUCUCAUUUAAUAUGUUAAAAAAUAAUUAACAUUCUUUACUUCUAUUCUUUUUCUGAUGAAAAAAUUAACAUUUGUUUUUUCUUUUGUUUCUUUACUUUUACACUUCUACUCCUUUUCUUUGAUAUAUUUUGACAUUUUACUUAUGACUAUGAAUAUUAUGACUAAAUGAUUGGAUGUAAAUGACAUAAAUAUAUUAUGUGAUGAACAUGGAUGCAACAACUAAUAAUAAAUCUAAACAAAAAGAACUUCCAAAUUUAAUUUAAAUUAUUCACCUUCUCUGCUCUCCUUGACUUUCUUCUUUCUCCUGAACAGCCUUACCUAUCUUUGAAGAAUGCUUCUAACCUUCCUUACCUCCCUUCCCCUGGCACCGGGGACUACUAAUAACACUUUCACAUUGACUCCUUCUAUCGAUCAGUUUUUAUCACAUGUCCUGGAACAAAGAAAUAAAUAAAAUCGAAUUAACCUUUCCGGAUAGGCUAUCAUCUCUUCUUCGGUCUUAUUCUUGUUACUUCUGACUUCAGGUGCAGGUUCUCUCGAUGAGGAAGGUCCCGCAUUGUCUAAGUUACUAUUUCUUAUUGGGGAUACUCUGCACUCAGGUUUUCCCGAAGUGAAUUUAUUGAACACUGAUAUCAUCGGUGGAAGGGACCGGAUCCCGUGAUCUACGACCACUUCUGAUCUUCAAUUUAUUUACUAAUAUUAUGAAAUAUUAUUGGAUAUAUAAAUAUAUAUAUGGACACCCGUUUUUCACAUGCAUCCCCAUUUGAAAUGAUGAGACUCACAUUUAUUGUGAAAAUUGAUUUUUUUUUUUUUAAAUUUGGAGUCAUCAUUUAUUAUUUUUUUAAAGGAAAACAAAAUAACAAAGAAAACCCCGUGUGACUCAUUAUUUAAAAAAGACAUGUUUACAAAAAGGAUAAAGUUUAGAUUUGAGGGUUAGGUUACCUAUCUAGAAAGUAUGGUGAAAAGCAGUAGCACCCUUUUAAGUCAGUAUACCUACAGAUUCUACUAAACAAAUCAAGGGAUUGUGAUAAUUAAUUAAUUAAUCAUGGAUACCAAGAUUAAAGGCACAAAUCAAUAUACAUAAAAAUAAUGAUGAAAUCAUAUUACAAGAAUGUAUAAUAUAAUUGACUAGAGAAUUAUGCAAAUUGAUUUAUUAAACUGAUUAGAAAAAAGAUAUUUCAAAAAUUAGUUUUAAAAAAAAUCCAAAGGAGUUUAUUAAAAACAAAUUUGAAUGAAUGAUUUCAAUUUAUUUAUUAACAAAAAAGUUUCAAUUCAUUUUCAACAAAUUAUUUGAUUCAAUGUUAUUUGCAUUCAAUUUUCAAAAAGGUUAUUUAUUGUUGGGCUCCCUCGUAUGUGAGGGAGUGGCUCCCAUAUGCUUGGGGCCCAAGUCAGUUACAUUAAAGUAAAAAAAAAAAAAAAAAGAGGAGAUCAGGAAAUUAAAAACCAGAGAGAAGAGAAAAUAGGGAAAAAAAAUGCAUCUGCCCAGAAUUCAUCAACAAGUCGAUCCUGCUUCAUCUGUGGUAUGAUCAAGUUGAAAUUUGGAGGAGAAAUUGAAAACUCGAGUAGCUACAAUAUGAACGGUAGAGAUCAGAUUUUGAGCUCGAGAAUUGGUGUUACUACCCAUGAACAGUAACAAUGUUUUUGGGGUAUACUUUCUCCAAUUUUUCUUUGUUUCUUUUGCCAAGAGAGAUUGUAUAAUCCAAGGCUAUAUGUGCUCUUGAUGUAUUUGGCAGCCUCUAGAGAUUAUUUUAGAGAAGACAGGUGUAACCUAUCAUUGUUGAUAGUGGAAGUUUGAACUAGAUUAGAUUCUAUGGUUUUUCCUUUAACAUUUGGGGGUUUUCCAUGUAAAAAUUCUGGUGUUUGAUUUAUUUUUUUGUUGCAUGAGUUUAUUUGUUUAUUGUUGCUAGUUGCUAUUACCUAUUUAAUUUUGAACAAAGAAAUGGUAGAAAAAUUCUAGUGUUUGUUAGAAUAUUGUGAAUUCACCCUAACAAGUGGUAUCAGAGCCAAAUUGAUUAGUAGUGGGAUCUCUUGUGUGAUUAAAUGGAGGAGGUUGGCAAUGAAAUGAUUAAACUCACAAGUUCCAAUUAUUUAAUUUGGAAUACUAGGAUGAAGGAUAUUCUAUAUUGUAAAGAGUUGUUUGAGCCCAUUAAAUGCAGGGAUUAUAAGCCAAUUACUACAAUUGAGGAUGAGUGGAAGAAAUUAAAUAAGAAAACCAUUGGACAUAUUAGGCAAUGGGUUGAUCAAAGUGUUUUCCAUCAUGUAGCCAAGGAAGUUGAUGCAUAUAGCCUUUGACAUCAAUUAGAGAGUCUUUAUGAGAGAAAGACUGCACAGAACAAUACCUUUAUGAUAAGAAGACUUGUGAAUUUAAAGUACAAGGAUGGUAAUAGUGUUGCAGAACAUCUCAAUAAUUUUCAAGGAUUGUUGAAUGAGUUGUCUUCCAUGAAGCUUGAGCUAGAUGAUGAGGUAUAGGCUUUACUUUUAUUGAGUUCCUUACCAGACAGUUGGGAAACUUUGGUGGUAUCCUUGAGUAAUUAAGCCCCAAAUGGUGUGAUAACUGUCAAUAUGGUAAAAGACAACAUGUUUAAUGAAGAGGCAAGAAGAAAAGAGUUAGGUAUUUCCUCUAAUAUAAAAACACUUGUUACAAAGAGGCGGGAGAAAAGUAAAAGCAUAAAACCUUCCAAUGAUUAUAAUCGUGACAAGUCAAGAGGAAAGUCAAAGUCUCGAAAAGAGAUAUAUUUUUUUACUGUGGCAAGCCAGGGCACAUUAAGAGAGUGCAAAAAAUUUAGAAGAGAAUAGUUUAAAGGAAAAUGUGAAGAAUAGAAAGAGGACAAAGGCAUUGCAACAAUUGCAUUUGAUGGUGAUACGAUCAUUGUUUGUGAUGAUGUGUGUGUAAAAUUUGCAUGCCAGGAUUCCACUUGGGUGGUUGAUAUAGCAACAUCGUUUCAUAUCACUGUACGUUGAGAUUUCUUCUUUUCCUACACUAGUGGCAGUUUUGGUUGGGUUAAGAUGGGAAAUGAAGCAAAAUGUGAAAUUGUUGGCAUGGGAGAUGUAGAGUUAGAAACUAGCAUUGGGUGAAAAUUGGUUCUAAAAAAUGUUAGACAUGUUCCUGAAAUACACUUUAGUUUGAUACCUGUUGGGAAGCUUGAUGAUGAGGGCUACCAUAGUUACAUUGGAGAGGGUAAGUGGAAGCUUACUAAGGGUUCUCUUGUUUUGGCUAGGGGGAAGAAAAACAAUACUCUUUACAAGACAGAAGCGAGACUAGUCAAGGGAGAGGUGAACAUUGUUGAGAAUGAAGCCUCUACUGAGCUAUGGCAUAAGCAGUUUGGUCACAUAAGUGAAAAAGGACUUCAGGUUAUUUCUAGAAAGAAGUUUCUACCAGUUAAAGGUACGUCACUAUUACCUGGUACACAUUGUCUAUCUAGAAAGCAAAGUAGAGUUGCAUUUCGUAGAUUUCCUUUACAUAGAAAACCAGAUAUUCUUGAUUUAGUUCACACUAAUGUUUGUACUAUGCAAAGUAAUACUCUUGGUGCUGUACUUUAUUAUGUAACUUUUAUUGAUGAUCAUUCAAGAAAGGUGUGGGCAUAUGUUUUGAAAUCCAAAAACUAGGUACUUGAUGUAUUCAAAGAUUUUCAUGUGAAGGUUGAGAGGCAAACUAGCAAGCAGUUAAAAUUUGUAAGAGCAAACAAUGGUGGUGAAUAUAAGGGGUCAUUUGAGCAAUAUUGUAGAAGUUAUGGAAUUGGGCUUGAGAAGAUGGUUCCUAAGACCUCGUAACAAAAUGGUGUAGCUAAGAGAAUGAAUAGAACCAUCUGUGAUAGAAUUAGGUGGAUGCUCUCUCAUGCAAAAUUGCCUAAGUCUUUUUAGGGUGAGGUCAUGAGGAUAGUUGUUGAUUUGAUUAAUCUGUUUCCAUCAUAUCCUUUAGAGGGUGAUAUUCCAAAGAGGGUUUGGAUAGGAAAAUUUGUUUCCUUUGAGUACUUGAGAGUAUUUGGUUGUAGGGCAUUUGUUCAUUUUCCUAGAGACAAGUGGUCCAAACUUGACAACAAGACUAAACUAUGUAUCUUCCUGGGUUAUUCAAAUGAAAAGUUUGGGUACAGGUUAUGGGAUUUAGCUACCAAAAAGAUUAUAAGAAGCAGAAAUGUUGUCUUCUUUGAAGAUCAAACCAUUGGAGACUUGGAUUAGGUUAAGAAGCCAAAGCCUUUCAGUGAAGAACAGGUUGAUUUGGGUCUAGUCUUUCCUAACUAUAUGGGACAUAAUGAACACAAGGAAGUUGUGCAAGAAAAACAGUUUGAUAUAGUUGACAGAAAUGAUGAGUCUGCAGUUGAUGAUGUAAAAGAAAAUCCUACAAUUGAGAAUGAUGGCUUAGAACAGCAGCAAAAACAAGCUACUUCAGAGUUGCCUACUGGAACACAGUUAAGAAGAUCUACUAGAGAGCGUCAACCUUCCAGAAGAUAUACUAGUGAUGAGUAUUUAUUGCUUUCUGAUGGGGGAGAGCCAGAAAAUUAUCAAGAGGUUCUACUGCAUGACGAGAAAAAAAAGUGGUUGAAAACUAUGCAUGAAGAGAUGAAAUCCUUGCAUAAGAACAACACUUAUGAAUUGAUAGAGUUGCCUAAGGGUAAGAGAGCAUUGAAGAAUAAAUGGGUACUGAAAAAGGAAGCCUGAACUAAACAAAUCAUAGCCAAGGUACAAGACAAGAUUGGUUAUGACGGGUUUUAGUUAGAAGAAAGGCAUUGACUUUGAAGAGAUUUUCUUGCCCAUGGUUAAGAUGUCUUCGAUCCAAGUUGUGUUAGGCUUGGAUGCCAGUAUGAAUCUAAAGAUUGAACAACUUGAUGUGAAGAUUGUUUUCCUCCAUGGUGACUUAGAGGAGGAAAUAUAUAUGGAGCAACCAGAAGGGUUUACAAUCAAAGGCAAGGAAUACUUAGUGUGUCAACUGAAGAAGAGCUUGUAUGGUCUCAAGCAGGCACCGGGACAAUGGUAAAAGAAGUUUAAUUCCUUCAUGGCUGAGCAUAGGUAUGAUAGAACUGUUUUUGACCAUUGUGUGUUUGUAAAGAAAUUCUUUGAUGGAGAAUUUAUUAUUCUCUUACUAUAUGUGGAUGACAUGCUGAUUGUUAGUCGUCAUACUAGUAAAAUCGAUAAACUGAAAAAGGAGUUGAGCAAGUCCUUUGAAAUGAAGGACUUGGGGUCUGCAAGUUAGAUUCUUGGUAUAAAGAUUUCUCAAGAUAAGAUGAAUGGAAAAUUGUGGCUAUCUUAAGAAAGCUAUAUUGAGAAGGUUUUAGACAAAUUCAACAUGGGCAAGGCAAAACCAGUGAGUUCUCCACUUGGAAGUCAUCUAAAGCUAAGUUCCAAACAAAGUCCUUCAAGUGAGAAAGAAAAAGAAGAAAUACGAAAGGUGCUCUAUGCAUCAGCCAUGGGUAGCUUGAUGUAUGCCAUGGUGUGCAUGAGGCCUAAUAUUGCUUAUGCUAUUGGAGUAGUUAGCAGGUUCCUUUCUAAUCCUGGAAAAGAAAACUGGGUAGUAGUGAAAUGGAUUCUCAAGUAUCUGAGGGGUACUUCUAAGACAUGUUUAUGUUUUGGGACUAACAAACUUGUGCUUGUAGGAUGCACAGAUGCAUAUAUGGCUGGGAAUGUUGAUUCCAGAAAGUCUACUUCUGGUUAUUUGAUCACUUUUUCAGGGGUAGUAGUGUCAUGGCAAUCAAGGUUGCAGAAAUGUGUUGCUUUAUCGACCACAGAGGCUGAGUAUAUUGCUAUCAUUGAAACUAGCAAGGAUUUAUUGUGGAUGAAGAAGUUCUUACAAGAAUUAGGUCUACAUCAAGAAAGGUAUCUACUCUACUAUGAUAGUUAGAGUGCUAUUCAUCUUAGUAAGAAUCCAAUUUUUCAUUCUAGAUCCAAGCAUAUUAAUGUGAAUAUCAUUGGAUUCGUGAUGCACUAGAGAUGAAAUCAUUUUUCCUUGAGAAAAUCCAUACUGAUGAGAAUGGAUCAUAUAUGAUGACAAAACCGAUACCUAUAGAGAAACUACAAUUCUGUAGAAAGCAAGCGGGUUUGGUAGAAUCCCUCACAUAGUCGAGAGAGGGAGAUUUGUUGGGCUCCCUCGUAUGUGAGGGAGUGGGCCCCAUAUGCUUGGGGCCCUAGUCAGUUACAUUAAUUUUUUUUUUUAAAAAAAAGAGGAGAUCGAGAAAAGGAAAACAGAAAGAAGAGAAGAGAUGGGGGAAAAAACACAUCUGCCCAGAUUUUAUCAACAAGCCGAUCACACUUCAUCUAUGGUCCGAUUGAGUUAAAAUUUGGAGGAGAGGUUUGAAACUCGAGUAUCUACAAUCUGAACGGUGGAGAUCAGAUUUUGAGCUUAGAAAUUGGUGUUACUGCCUAUGAACAGUAACAACGUUUUUGGGGUAUACUUUCUCCAAUUUUUCUUUGUUUCUUUUGCCCAAAGAGAUUGUAUAAUCCAAGGCUAUAUGUGCUCUUGAUGUAUUUGGAAACCUCUAGAUAUUAUUCUAGAGAAGACAGGUGUAACCCAUUAUUGUUGAUAGUGAAAGUUUGAACUGGACUAGGUCCCGUGGUUUUUCCCUUCGCAUUUGGGGGUUUUCCACGUAAAAAUUAUGGUAUUUGAUUUAUUUUUCUGUUGCAUGAGUUUAUUUGUUUAUUGCUGCUAGUUGCUAUUACCUAUUUAAUUUUGCACAAAGAAAUGGUAGAAAAAUUAUGGUGUUUGUUAGAAUAUUGUGAAUUCACCCUAACAUUUAUAUUUAUUGUUAUUAAAAGCAAUUUUAUUUACAAGAAAAUGAUUUUUAGUUACCUUUGUUAGGAAAAGACUGAAUUUUUAUAAUUUUAUUUGCAAAAAUAUUUCAAUUUUAAUUUUUAUUUAAGAAAUUUUUUUUAAAUGUUUUAAAAAAUAUUUUUUAUAACCCUAUAAAUUUUAUUUGCAAGGAAAUUGAUUUUUUUUAAAAAUUUUAUACAAAACAAGACUUUUACAAUUUUAGUUAAAAAAUAUUAAAAUUUUAUCCAAUUUUAUUAAUGCAAAGAAUAUAUUAUCAAUAGGAAAAUGAAUUUUACAAAAUGUUUCAUACAAAAAAUGAUUUAUUGUUUGAUUUUACUAAAAAAUAUUUAUUAAAAAAAAUUAUCCUUAAUUUUAUAAAAAAGAUAUUUUAAAUUAAUUACUUAUCCUUAAAGAUUUGGAUUUUUUUUUUUAAAAAAAAAAAGUUAUCCAAUUUUAUUUAAAAAAAAAAUGUUUUCAAAUUUUAUUCUUGAAUGCAUUCUAAUUUGAUUUUCCAAUUUGAUUUUUAUUUUCUUUUGAAAUGACUUUAUUUGCUUGAAAAAAAAAAGUUUACACUUUGACAAUUUUAUCUAAAAGGAAAAGAAAUGAUUUACUUUUAUUACUAAAAAAAAUAAGAUGCUCAUAAAUUAUUUAGAAAAAGAAUUUUCCUUAAAAAAAGGGAUUUUUCACAAUUUUAUUCAAGAGAAAGAGAAUUUUGUUUGAGUUCUAUUAAAAAGGAAUUUUUAUUUAACUUUAUUUAAAAAAAAAAAAGAAUUUUGACUUUAAAAAAAUUAUAAUUUUACCUAAAAGAGGAUUUUCCGAACUUAAAAGAAAAAAAGGAUUUCUAAUUUUAUUUAAAAAGAUAGCUUUGCCUUUUAAAAAAUAAAAUAAAAUUGUGAGUUUACCCAAAUAGUAGCAUGAAAAGUUUGAUAAAGUCAUUUUAGAUUAUGAGUUUAAGAUCAAUGAUUAUGAAAAAUAUGUAUUAUAAUAUAGACCUAAAAGAAUGCAUCAUACUUUGUCUUGGUGUGGAUGAUAUUCCAUUUUUUGGAAGUAAUAUAGAAAUAGUAAAUGACAUAAAAGAUUAUUUGUCUAUAAACCUAGAGAUGAAGGAUUUAGGAGAGAAACAUAUAAUAUUAGGAAUGAGACUUUCAAGAACAAGCGAGGGUAUAACUUUGAAUCAAUCAAGUGCCAUUGAAAAAAUAUUAAGAAAGCUUAACCACUUUGAUAGUAAACCGAUAUUCACACCCCAUGAUUUCAAUAUGCUCAUUUGAAGAAAAAUGUUGGAGAGUCAAUAGCACAAUUAAAGUAUUCUCAAAUAAUAGGUUCAUUAUUGUAUAUUACAUAUAAAACUAGACUUGAUAGAGCAUAUACAGUUCGGAGACUAAGUAGGUGUACUCAUAAUCCUAGUAAGAAACAUCAGAUUGCUUUAGAGAGAGUCUUUAUGUAUCUUAGAGGAGCUUUAAAUUAUUCUUUAUGUUACAAAAGAUUCCUUAACGUAGUGGAAGGAUAAAGUGAUGUAGAUUACAUAACUGACAAUCUAGAUAUAAAAUCCAUUAUUGGAUACAUUUUCCUUUUAGGAGAUACUACUAUUUCUUAGGGAUCUAAGAAUCAAACUAUAACAUUAAGAAGUACAAUGGAACUUGAGUUAAUUACACUAGAUAAAACGUGCAUUGAGGCUGAAUGGAUUAAAAACUCACUCCUAAAGGAAGUAAAUCUCUACCUGCAAUAUCUAUGCAUUGUGAUAGUAAAGUUGUAAUAAAUUUGGUGAAUUAAUGUCACAUAAACAAGAAGAUGAAUAACCAUUUUCAAGUGAGAUACAAGUUUGUAAGAAACUUUUUAAGUAAAAAAAUGUGAUAUUUUUGGAUUUUAUAAGAUUUGAAAAGAAUGUUUCUAAUUAGUUGACUAAAGGUCUUUCUAAGAAUGUUGCCCUAGAAUCAUUUAGGGGGAUAGGGCUUAAGCCUUUAAGGAAGUUACCUCCGAAGGUAACCUAACCUUUGUGAUUGGAGAUCCCAUAAAGAAGAUUCAAUGGGUAGAAACAAUCUACAUUGCAUGACUUAAUAAUACUACUUUUUAGGAGAAAGUCUCAUUCCCAUCCCUAUGGUGGUAAUGCUUUUGAUGUGAUGCAUGUUAGGAAGGGUAUUUCCUUGAAUGAGCCUGGGGUAAGAAAUUCUAUGAGAAGGAAUAGGUCGCAUGUAACCUUAAAGGACUCACCUAAAUGAGAGCCAUCAUGAGGCUACGACUAUGGGAGUAGGGUUGUUCUCUAGAAACUCUCAUGAGAAUCAUCAUACGAGUGCAUAGCCAUUAAUAACAUUAACUUGCUUGGAACCAAGUUCCAUAUGAAUACUAUGUGUGUGACAUGUUAAAGUUUGACUCAAGGACCUAGUUUAAGACAUAGUUCACUAUGGAUCCUCAAAUGGAAACUGUCAACACUAAAUAAAGGUUGAAGUUCGAAAGACACCUAUACCUAUUGCAUGGUAUAAAGUUUCCCAUUAAUUUUUUUCUUCUUUAUUUACUUAUUUUUAUUAUUAUUUUGAAUUUUUAAACCUUGUGUAAGGAAUGUAAGAUUUUAUUCAAAAAUAUAAAGUUCAAAACUUCCUGUAAUAGAAAUGAAAGAGGUUGAAUUCUCAAUAUUAUAUCUUUUAUUAUUGCAUAGGUAAAAGAAAAUAAGUGACUUUUACUUUUUCAAUCACUGUGUGGGAUUUUAUGAAUUUUAUUAAAAUUUUUGAGACUUUAUAUAUGGAGUUGACCAUUUUGAAAUAAUCAAGACUUAGACAACAUUUAUCUUUUUAUUAUUUAAAAAAAGAGCUUUCAUUUUAUGGAAAAAAAAAAACAAUAAAAAUAUUACAGAGAUAUCAUUUCUUUUUCUUUGAGUUUUCAUUUUUCUGGGAAACAAGAUUAUGGAUAACUUCUCCAUAGUCUUCCUAUGGAUGUGCCCAUAAAGGAGACACUACUACGAGCCAACGAUUGGGGCUGUAUCUUAGAGCAACUUUCAUUCGUUAACAUUGCAUGCACAUUGGGAGGUGAUAGUAGCUUUAAGACAAUGUGAUACCACAUACCUUACCAAAUCAAGCCAACUCUUUUUUAACUUUUAAUUUUGUUUCAAUUUAUAGUUUUCUAUAUUUUCAUGUUUUAGUGAGAAAGAAAAAUUUUAAAGAAAGGAAUAAAGACAAUGUAGAAGAAUACUCGUUUUUCAAUAACACUAUCAAGUCUAAGUGAUCAAGGUUGAUAGUUUUUCUAUACAUUGGAAAUUGAAGUUGUACUUCGUUGAAGUAAUGAAUUCAUCUUCUUUCUUUUCAUGACUAGUGAGAGUGCAUCCUAGGCAUACAUCUAAAGGUUUUUUUUUUCACAUUUUUUUUCUCAUAGUGUUAGAACUUCAUCUAGGUUUGAAUCCUAUUGGGAAGUCUGUUAGAGAUUAGCAAUUAUGGAAGAAACAUGUUGCUUUUGUCUCUUCCAAUAGAAUAAAAAGAAAAGAAAAAAAAUAAAUGGCUAAUACAAUCAAUAUAAUUAUGCAUUUACAAAUAUUAUAUCAAUUCAUCCAAUUUCAUCAUAUUCGAGAUGUGAUAUGGUUUCUAAGGAUAUUGAACCAAAUAUUGACAAUUCCAAUAAAAUUUCAUUCUUGAACAAAAACCUAGUUUUUGAUUUAUUUUAUCUAUUCCAUGAUCGGAACAAGGGGGAUACAUGUUGCACUAUGUUAUUUAUAAUUCUUUUUUUUUGGGUCAUAAUUUUCAAGCAGGUUGGAAGGAACAAGAGAUGUUUUGGAGAUUGCAUAAAAUAAUUUUUGGAGGACAAAUAGCCUAAUAUUUUGAAAAGCCUAGGUUUAGUAGUUUGAAUUAGAAUGGAAGGACUUUCUGUUUGGCAUUUUGAAAACACAUACACCUAAAGGUUGAGUGAAGAAUAGCAUUUUCGAGAGUUGAGCAAAGAAUAGCAUGUCUAUGAAUAAGGAAUUUGUAAAUCAAUUGAAACACUUUGCACACACUUCAAUUCAUUUUAAAAAUCAUCAGAGGAUUAUCCAAUGAUAAGAAGAUUGGAAUUGAAUUCAAUUUCAUUUAAGUAUAGAUUUGAAUUUAAGUAUUAAGAUUAUUUUAUCUACUUUAUUGUUGUGACAUUGAAGAAACUUUGAAAAUAUGUUUUUAGUGAUAAUCUAGAACUUGAUAGUGAGACUUUGACAAGUUGAAGCACAAUUGAAUCAACUUGAAAAAAGAAGAUCAUAGAUUGCUCUUUAAUCAUAAUGCAUUUUGCUAUCGUGAAGACAUAUGUGGUUUUUGACCUUGAGUUUCUAUUUUUGAUUAUGUAAUUGUUUUUGUUUCCAAUCUUGACACCACUUUAUCUCUCCUAAUUCACUUGAUUAAUUGGAGAUUGAAUUAGUUAAGUUGAAUAUGGUAAUCGUAAAUUAGUUACUAUAACAGUUGCUUCAUUUGAUCUAUAAGCUAAUUGAAGCUUAUUUCAAUCGUAAGUGCCUUACUUAGGUUGAUUAUUUUAGAUCUUUAAGGUUACAAUGCGACCCUUAAGAUGCAAACUGACAUUAAAGAAAGACAUAGGUUUAUGCUCUUUAAAGUGGUAUCAAAGCUAGGUUUGAUCAAAGUUGAUUUUGAAAAUUUGAUUGUCAUAGUCAUAAUCACUAUCUCGAAUGAGGAAACCAUAGAAAGAGAGAGAUUCAAUUGCAUAUCCACCAUACUUUAUGGGAGAUAAAACACAUUGAAAAUAAAAUUGCAAUUCUUCUUGAAUAUGAAAAGUGAAAAAGUCUAGAACUUGGUCAAGUGUAGUUGGACUUCUUUAAUGUUAUUGGAUCUUAAAGGAAAAUUAAUAGAAUUGAGAUAAAAUUGAGCAUAAGCAUAGCGAAAACAACUAAAAAGUGUCAUACUUGAUCUUUUAGCAUAUUAAGUCUAGAUGGCUCCAACAUAACCCCACAUUUUCAAUUUUCCAAGGAAGUUUGAAAUAUGCUUUAUGUCACCAUGAAUGAAUGACAUGACUUACAAUAAAAAAUUGAAAACACUAAAUGCUAUAUCUAGGAUAGAAGCAAUUCAUAUGAAAGACAAUGCCUUUUUCAUAUGGGGAUAGUUAAUGGUUGUUUCAACCUAUGAGAGCUUAUUGUUGGUAUUUAAUUCAAAUUAUUUAUUUUUCAUUCUUAGAAGAGUCAAUAUUUAUAGAAUUUGUGUUUUGGUAAAUCACUUUUUUUUUUUAGUUUGACUAGGAUUAGGAAACUAUUGGUUUAGGAUUAACCCAUAAGAUCCUGUAAAUAUAGAGUUUUUAUAUAAGAUUUAGAGAGAGAGAAAAAUUAAGCAAAAAGUGAAAAGAGAUAGACAAAGGGUGCAUUAAGUUUUGGGUAGAGAAAGGUUGAGAGAGUUUCAAAUGUGUAUUUUUUAAGUUUAUUAAUAAAUUUGAUCUUCCUUUCUUUUGGACAUAGGGGAUUAUGCCAAGCCAUGUAAAUAUUUUGUCUUCUCUAAUUUCUUUUAUUUUUCAUGUUAUAUUUGGGCAUUCCAAUUUUCCCAAUAAGUGGUAUUAAAGUUGUGGCAUGAAGAUCAUGGAAAGAUUAUUUUAAAUACAAUGCCAAACAUAAAAUAUGAUAUGAAACCUUUGAUGAAAAGAAUAAUUUUAGUAUAUAAAAAAGUAUUGUUAAAGAUGUUUUAAUCCAAUAAAGACUUCUCAAACCAUUACAAGGUAAGAAACUAGAGAGUAUGACAAAUGAAGAAUGGGAAGAGCUAAAAGCAAGAGCAAUGAAGACUAUUCAUUUACAUCUAACUCUUGAAAUAAAACACAAUGUUUUGAAUGAAAAAUAUGCUUAUGAGAGAAGUUAGAAAACAUUUAUAUGUCAAAAUCUCUAACAAAUAAGCUAUAUUUGAAGAAGCAAUCAUAUAAAUAAAUUUAAUAAGUGUAUCACCCAAUUAUUAAGUGUAAAGGUUAAGAUUGAUGAGAAGAUUAAUCCCAAUUACAAUAAAUAUUGCUUUUUGCCAUGAUUUUUUUUUCAUAAAGUAAAUUUCAUGACAAAAUGUCAUUUUUAACUACAAGUUCUCUUUUUCUCACUAAAAAUAUGGUAGAAAUAAUUCUUAUGUAAUAUAUGACAGUUUGCCGUGAACUCCAUUUUUUGUCACAAUAUUAUUCAUGGUAAGAUAUUAUCAGAUGGUACCAGGAGGGCAACUGUUUGGGUUAAGGUCCCGAGUUCAAAUCCUAGGGAGGCCACUCUGGUCCCCGGCCCAUUCCGGCUGUGAUGCCCCCGUCUGGCACAGUUCGGUGGUACGGCUAACCAGAGCCAAAAAUAUACUAUGUGGCCCUACCCGGACAAAACAAAUGACAUCCCAACACCGACUAGUUAACCUUCCACCGAUGGGAGCGAGAGGAGUUGGAGCACUGUGAAACUAGCCUAACGCAAUGCCCUUCCUGCUCUUUGAAACCUAGACACCCAGGCUUUCUUGCCCGGAUCUCAUGGUUGAACUCCCCGCUUGGAACGGGCGAACCAGGUGAAUCACACCCUAGCGCACCUUGUCUGUCAAGCCAAACUAAUCUUCAACCUCCUACAUACGCCCACCACUCUACUCAGUCCCAACCCAUGUGAAUUUUUCACAAACCUACUUCACCAAACUGCAGAAAUUCUCUGGUUUCUGUUACCUUUUGCCAUAUAAGUUCAUGUAGAUGUGGUGUUUGUUUUUAUGACUAGAGGUGUGGUUUGAAUGUUUGGUAAUGGGUCGAGAUGGGUUUUUCGUUCCCGGUAGCAAGCAAGGGUAUUUUAUUUUAAACAGUGAUUUUGAGAGAUAAGAAAAAUGAUGCUUGUUUCAAGCAUACUACAUGACUGUAUCUCAUAACCACAUCACCAAUUUCAAAAGAAAGUGACCACUAACUAAGUUUUUGGUGAAAAUAAUACCAAGGUAGAGGCAAGAUUCGGUGCUCUGAUACCAAAUGUAAGGAAUACAUAUAAUCCAAAUGUAUGAAAACAAACCAUAAAAAUCAAAACUGAAAAGUUUAGGAUCAGCUAUUACCUCUAGCCAUUGGUGUUUGAUUUAUUAUACUCAUUAUUUGCUGCAAGUCUUUGGCUCUUCCAAACUCUGAUCUCUCACUAAAGAUGGUGUAGCACUGAAGAAGAGAACAAUUGAGAGAUGAGUUCGAGACCAAAGCCGAUAUAUUUAGAGUUGUGGCUUCCCAUCAAAACUACGUCGUUGCCUUUGCCACAAUUCAGAGAGCAGUUGUGGGUCACAUUCCUGGACUGUAGGGAAUGUGGAAGAUGAGUGGAAGACUUGGCCAGAAGUGUUGGACCACUUCAGAGGUGUUGGGGGCGUGUAAUAGAAAUAACAGAUAUAGCUAGAUUAGGUUGACAUUUUAUACCAAAAAACACUUGAUCUAAUACAAUAUCUUCUAAUGGGACUUAUUAACUUUAUAGUAGAGUUCAAGAUAAGAAAUUAGUUUAGAUUUGAGUUGAAGUAAUGGUAGUAUACAAGUUUAAUUCAUUUUUAGAGAUAAUUAAAGAGUGUUUAGGAUGCUCAAGUACCUUAGAGCACUUAAGCUAGCCUAUCAAGUACUCAAGCACCCUAGAGUGCUUAAGUUGGUCUAUCAAGUGCUCAAGUGCUCCUUAAGAUUUUAGGAAAAAAUAUUUUUAAUUUAAAAAAUUCUCAUGUUUCGGUUGGCCACACUUUACUAUUUGUGAGAAAACUAAAGAAUCUUAGGCUUUAUGCAUAUAAAUACCCAAAAGCUUUCAAUUAUUAACGAUGCACAAUAAUGAAAUAUUUCUAUUAUUCUACCUACAUGCCUAAACUCUUAAUACCUUUCAAGAUGUUCCUUAAAAGUUUUUUCUAAGAAAGACAAGGUAGUAAGCCAAACUAUAAGCUUUAAAUUAGUUUUAAGGUGGUUCCACCAAGGAGCACAAUAUGUUACUUUAGGGAUUGGAAUAUGAGUAUAGGUGUUGAUUGAUUUAAGCCCUUUGUGUGAAUGUAGCAUCUAAGCCAAUUAGACUUGUGUACUAUCCUCAUUGUGUAUUCAAUUUGUACAGUGUUUUAUUGUUAUAUAUGAAGGUUUCUAAGGGCUUUUUUUUAUAUACAUGAUGAGACUUAUCCAUUGUUUCAUUAUGUAUUGAUUUGAUAUUUCUAAUUAUCUGUUGUGUGCACUUGAAUGCAAAUUGAAUAAGGAAAUAAAAAAUAAAAAUAAAUAAAAAAUUUUAAACCAGGCUAAAAAUCUUUAGACUACCUAUUGACUACGACCACCCCUUUCCACCCCUUCUCUCCUCCUCCCCUUUCUUUCCUCCCUCUUUAGCAAUUUAAUGCAUUAAGAACCAAUUCAUAUUUAAUAUUCAUGUUAGGUUUGGGAAUAAUGUAAAAUUUUGAGGUGAAUUGUGAAGUAUCUAGUGUGGUUAGGCUGCUAUGUUCACUUUCUUAUUAAGCAUGACAAUUUUCCCUUAUAGCAAACAUGCCAAAAAAUUCAUCAAGUUCUUUACUAGGAGAAGAGGCUAUUAUAUUUUAUAUUUAUUCUAGAUUUGAUCAUAAUGUUAGAAUUUGAGAUGAAAUAAUAGGUACCCAAAAUGAUUAAGUUGUCAUAUCCACUUUCUUGUUAGGCAUUAAGAAUUUUCUCUCGUAUUAAACAUGUCUAAAACCACCAUUACUUUCUUGGGAAAGAAGAUUAUCAUAUAUGAUUAUUUUUAAUAUCUUUAAUUCCUUCUCAUAAUAAUAAUAUUUUCCAUCUAAAAUAAUAAAUUUGCCUAUAUAUGUGUGUGUGUGUGUGUGCGAGUUGUCAAGUAUCUAGAGUGGUUAGGAUGCUAUGUUCACUUUCUUGUUAAGCAUGACAAUUUUCCAUUACAUUAAACAUGCCAAAAAAUUCAUCAAUUUCUUUACUAGGAGAUGAGAUUAUUUUAUUUGAUAUUUAUCCUAGAUUUGAUCAUAAUUCUAGAAAGGUGAGAUAUUAGGUACCCAAAGUGAUUAAGUUGCCAAAUCCACUUUCUUAUUAGGCAUGAAGAAUUUUCCUCUCAUAUUAAACAUGUCUAAAACCACUGUUACUUUCUUAGGAAAGAAAAUUAUCACAUAUGAUUGAUUUUAAUAUAUCUAACUCAUUACCAUGAUAAUGACAUUUCCCAUCCAAAGUAAUAAAUUUGCAUAUAAAUAUAUAUAUUUCAAAUGAUGGUAACUAUUAACUUCCUAAGGCAUUUUUUGACUCUUAAAAUUCGUAAGUUCAAAUUUGAGGUGACUUGUCAAGUAUCUAGAGUGAUUAGGUGUUGCUUCUACUUUUUUACUAAGCAUGACAAUUUUCCCUUAUAUUAAUCAUGCCAAAAAAAUUCAUUAAUUUCUUUAUUAGGAUAAUAAAUUAUUAUAUUUGAUAUUUAUCUUAGAUUUUGUCAUAGUGUUAGAAUUUGAGGUGAAAUAUUAGGUCCCUAAAGUGAUUAAGGUGCCACAUCAACUUUCUUUUCAGGCAUGAAAAAUUUUCUUCUCACAUUAAACCUACCUAAAAAUACCAUUACUUCCUUUCUUGGAAAAGAAGAUUACUAUAUAUGAUAUAAUUUUAAAAAUUUAUUUCCCAUCCAUAAUCAUAAAUUUACCUAUAUAUAUGCAAAUGAUUACAACUAUUUACUUCCAAAAAACAUUCUAACUCUUAUAAUUCUCUGUUAUGUCGAUCCAUAUUCAUUGAUGAUAUGAACGGUUCUCUCUCUCCUUUCUUUCUCUUUUAAUUUCAUACCUAUGGACAUAAAUGAUUUAAGGUUUUUUUUCCUAUAAUUUUUGUGUUUUAAUCCUCUUUUAGGUGUCUCAUGGGUUUUUCCCCAAAUUUUGGCUUUGUAUUGUUUGAAUAUAUGGUUUGUCUACUUCAUGUCAAUUGAGUGGAAGAAUGGUUCAUUUAGGUUGCCACCACAAAGACAAAAUAAUGACAAUUGCUUCAAAAUUGGAUCAACAAUUUACCAUGGUUUGAUGGUAAAUCUCUCUCUCUCUCUCUCUCUCUCUCUCUCUCUCUCUCUCUCUCUCUAUAUAUAUAUAUAUAUAUAUAUAUAUAUAUAUGAUCUAUCUAUCUAUCAUUCCCCUUCUUUUCCUCCUCCUUCUUUCCCUUAAUUUGUGUGUAAUUGCUCAUAAGCACAAUAUUUAAUAUUUAUUUUGUAUUAUAAAAUUUGCAUUCUUUUCACUAGGGCAAACAUAUGUGCAUGUUUUUAUGGUUUAUACUUAAGGUGUAAUGUUUUAUGCUUGUUUUGAAUGAAGAAGUUUGUAGUUUAUGCUUUUUGUUUAAGUUGAACAAACAUAUUUGCGUGCAUUCAUGUUGUCUCUCGAGGUUUCCUUUAGUGCUAUACUUUAUAGUAAUAUAAUUAGAAACUUAAUUUUUUUUUUCUGAUUUAUAUCUUUUAUGUAUAGUUUUCCUUAUAUGUCAUAUUUUAUAGCAAUAGUUAUAUAAAGUACACUAAAUAUGUCUAUUUUGGAUUAAAAAUGAUACAUUGUUUUCAAAUAGAAGUUAUACUUGAUUAAUUUUUCUAAUGUCUCCUUCACAAUCAUCAUAAUUUCACAAGAAGAUUAGAUAAUUAGUAAAAGUUAAAAUCAAUUUUGCACUUAAACAAAAGAUCACAUAAUAUUGUAAUAAAAUAAUGAUUAAUGAACUCCUAAAGUAUAUUACAUUAUAAAUAUUACUACUGAAAUUUAUCUCAUUUUCUAUUUUCUUUAAUAAUGAAUAUAUUUUUAUGUAAUAAUUAUUUGUGUUAUAAAAAUGACAUAAUUAUUGUUAGAAAGUAAAUUACCAAUUACACUCAUUUUCACGUUUAGAUAUAUAUUUUUUUGUAAAAUAUUUCUAUUAAGUAAUGUUUGAAAGAGGAUAUUAUUAUAGGAAAAUGUGCAAAUUUAAUAAUAUAAUUAUAUAAUUAAGAAUAUAACCUAACAAUUUAUGAGUAGUUCCUUGAUUUUUUUUUUUUUGUCUAAGUAAUUAUUGUAUCAUUUCCUUUGGAUAAAUGAAAUAGAAUAAAUUGAUAUUGGUGUGAUCUAAUGAACAAUCUUAAAACUUGAUAGAUCAUUCCUUAUUUAGUAUAGGCUUUCACUAAGUCAAUUGUUAGAAUAUCUUAAAAUAGACAAGAUACUUUUAAUAAUAACUAUUCUAAUAAAAUAUACUUUUUAAAAUAUAACAUAUUUAUAUAAUGUUAUUGUAAAUAACCUAUCAAUAGUAUUUUUGCAUAAGAAAUAAUUGAAAACAUAACAUUUAUUAGAAUAUUAUUAAUUAUUGUUAAUUAUGCAUAAAAUAUUAUUAUUCUCUAAAUAAUUUAAGUUUACAAUUAUGCACAUUCUCAUCACUAGUAGCUUCUACCAUGAUCACUUCCAAAUUGACCCAAAGCCAUUCAUACUGAAUCCAUGAUUUAGAUAACUUGAGAAUCCAAACUAACAAAAAUGCCAGUCAUUUUUCACAUAUAUUUUCAAGGUUUUUUUAAAUUCAUGUUUGUAUGUGCAUACUAGUUUCAUAAUAUUAUGUCAUAAAAAAAUAAAAAUAAAAACUAAUUGGGAAAAAUUCAAAGGUGUGUGUCAAAGGUUGUGGGGACAUCAGGCAGUGGGUUGGAACUAGAUCAGAAAAGGCAUUUAGCUGCCUUAACUCUUUUCCUCACAAAAAAAAAAAAAAAUGGUAUGUUUCUUUUCUUCAUAAAAAUAGUAUGUUUUCAUUGAAAUUUGGUUUUUCUUUAUAUUACAAUUUAUUUCUAAAGCAUGAUAUUGGAUUUUGACAAGGAUUGUUGAUUUUUUUGUAGCAUUUUACAAAGGAACAACGUCAAUGGAAAAUAUGAUGGUGGAUACUGAUUUUAGAGCAUAUGAUCUUCAAAUAUUCAUAUAUUAGUGUAUAAAUGUCCUAAAUUUGUAUAUCUUGAGCCAUACAUUUUGUUAGUCAUGGAGGGUAACAAAGUUUGGGAAUUCAAAUAUUAUUGUAAUUGCUUAUAACUAAUUUGUCAUUGAAUAAGUUUAUUGUCAACCAAUUGAAUAAUUGUUAGAGUAUGAACUAACAUUUUUACAUUUAUUCUAUUGUUUCUCACUCAAAAAUAUAUUUUUGAUAGAAAUACAACACCCUAUAACACUUUUUUAGGGGUUCAUUGGUUUCGUUGGAUCCUAUUAACCCAAAUACAAAUAUUGAUCCAAAACCCAUGACAAGGAAACACAUGAAUAAAAUUAUAAAGAAAUUGAAUUAUCAACCAUAGAAUAACAUGUAAACUACAAUAAAGACAAAAUGCAAGCUAGUAUUCAAAAUGAAUUUGUGAAUGUGUGAAUAUAAAAAUAUCAAGUAGCACACUUAUGUGAAGAAAAAUGGGCAAAACUGAUGACACCAUAGCCAACUAAUUAUAUCCUUUUGUUUUACUCAACUUGUAAUGAAUCGUCUUCAUCUAUCCAUCAAUGUCAGAGGCACCAUCCCUAUUAUAUAUAUCCAAACUUAGUAGCUUAAGACCUAAACAAAGACGCACAACAAUAAAAUUUGUAAACACCUAAUUAAACUCUUGACUCUUAACAAAGAAAUAUGUAAAAUUAGGUAGAAAGGAUACAUCUCAGACAAAAAUAAGAGUUUUAUCCUAGUGUGGUUUUUGUUUUUCAAACCAAUGUACUUUCAACUUCUCUAAGAAAUGUGAGGGAGAGAUGGGAGAAAAUAUCUUAGAUAUCUAACUUUGAUUUAAAUCCUAAUCAUAAAAGACUAGAAGGAACAGAAAAAAAAAAAAAAAAAAACUUACAAAUCUUGCAUUCUUGAAGCUCACCAAUGGACAAUGACAAAACACAAACAAGAGAGACAAAAAAAAAGGGAUGACAAAUGCCCACCUUGGAAAACAAGCAAGCUUCCAUUGUGAACGCACUUGAUGCUUUUGUAAGCUUAUUUAUCACCUUCCUUAGGAACAUGAAAAGAAAAUACAUUUUUGAAGCUCACCAAUGGAUAAUGAUGAAAGACAAAUAAGUGAGAGAUAAAAAAUAAAAAAGAUAAAUGCCCACUAUCACGCCCCAAAACCCACUCCAAGGGCAUGAUGGUUAUUUCCCACCUCAAGCCUAAAGGCUCAAAGUGAAAACGACACAAACAUUCGUAUUGUAACUGGAAAGGAAUUUACCAAUUAUCAAAUUCUUGUUCAGAGUAGUAGGACAAAAUUCUAAAGUCUUCAAGCAUAAACUUUAAGAAAAAACUAACACAUCAACCAGAGUGUUAUUGUCCAAAUAACUCCAAAUUCAAAUAAUUUAAACGGGAAUUAAAUUUUAACAUUUAAACAAUGUCCAAAAAUAAAUUUUGAACCAAAAUCCUAACAAAGAAAAAUUCUCAAGCCUAGCCAUCACUCCUUGCCCGAACUGAGAGUACCUGAAAAAUUAUCAACGAAUGGGCAUGAGUUUAAAGCUCAAUAAGGAACAUCAAUGCAGUUUCAUGGAUCAAACAUUUUCAAUCAUGUUUGCAAAUAGGAGAUAUAACAUAUACUUAUUUUCAUAAAAAUUUUGAGUUCGAAAUACUAAUAUAUUGAAACUUUUCAACAAACUUUCUCAUAUCCAUUUCAAAACAAUUUCUCAUCAAAACCAAAACAAAUGCAUUCAAAAUAUCUUUACUCUGGUUAUCAAAUAACAAAUGGUGCCCAAUUAGGUGGGACUUCACAAAUGAGCGACUAGUUUCAAAUUUGUUCCAUUUAAGGUGAACAAAACAAAAAAUCAACAAUUAUAACCCAUUGACUAGGGACAUAAGGUCAACUAUUAUAACCCGUUGACUAGGGCCAUAUGAUAUCAACUAUUAUAACCCGUUGAUUAGGACCAUAGAAAUGUCAACAAUUAUAACCCGUUGACUAAGGCCAUAGGAACCAGAGUCAAAAACUUUACUUCAUUAAUUCAAACUUGCAAAACAAAAUAUCAUAUCUCCAAAAAAUUUCACUUUUCAUAAAUAAACAAAGAAGAUUCUCAAAUAUACUUUCCAUACAAAACACAUAUUUGAUCCAUGCAAAAAGAUAAAAAUAAUAUUUUUACACUUUUCAAAAUACAAUAUAAAAAGGAAAUUAUUUUCUUCUAUAAAAAUCUGCAUUAAUUUCCCUUACCUUGAAGAAGCACUCAAAAUCUUGAAGUAUUUAACUCUGAAGAAUUUCCUCAUCACCUAACAUAAUAUCAUACACAAUAUUGAUUAUUGAUUAUUUAUCCAAACAUAUAAAUUUGAAAAUCCUAAAAAUAUAUUAUUUAGUAUUAGGGAUCCUAAUUAAUUUUUGAUUCAUGCCCAGUUGGUGUAUCAGCUGAUUCAUGUCCAGCUGGUGUCCCUUGAUUUUGGUUCUUAGGGAGUAAUCAACAAAAUUUAUAACCUAUUACACCAUGAACUAUGGUAGCAAAGACAAAGCUACUAUAGCAUAGUGGCUCUAGGAUCGUUCACUGGAAUGGGUUUUCACUUCACAAUUGAUAUUAAUUCAAAGCUGAAUUGGUGCAUUUUCAUUUCAAGGUUAGCUUUAAAAGAAAACAUAAAGAUGUUUGAAAAAAGGUUUGGUUUUAAACUAACCAAAAAUAAAAACUGAUUUUACUUACAAAGAAAAGUGUUUCUUGGAGUUUAGAUCACUGGGCUCAGAUUCCUUGAACAAAAAGGAGAGUUUUGGUCACUUGUUUAUUUUCCUCACAUUAGAGAAUUAACAUAUAGUUAAUUCUCUAACCGAUUUUGUAAAGAUGUUUCCCAUUAAUGGUCUAAAACACUAAAUCCCUCUCACUGAUACACCUUGCAAUGACUCAUACCUCUCACCUAGCACUUGCCAUUCAAGGUGAUCUUUAACCUUGGAUUACCCGUCAAAAGCUUGCAAGAGAUAACUAAUGGAUGUCUCCGUGGAGUCCAAAAGCUUACCAAGUGUUGGCUAUUCUAGAAAAUCCUACCUUCAAACCACCUCCCAAAGGCUCGCAAGAGAUAAACUAGUGCAUCUGUAUGGAUGGAGAUCACUUGCCUUACCAAGUGUUGGCCCAGGUGAUAUAAAGGCAUUUUAAGUUAACUAAAAAGAUAAAAACCAUUAAUGGGUCACACUUUCUCUUCAUUAAAAACUAAAACAACAAAACUUCCAAUUUAUGCAUGUGGAAAUUUACCCGGCUUUCUUCACUCCAAGAGACAAAGAGCCUAGCCUCUCAUCCUCUGAGGAAAAAUCCUCAAAGUUUGAUUGGCUAGAAAUAAAAAUAACGAGAAAACAAAAAUAUACAUGAAAAGCAGAGCAAGUGCUCUGUAUUUUACUUCCUUGCAAAACUGUACAAAGGAUGCGUCUCUGAGAACAAGCUCCCAGAUUCUACAUCUCAGAACAAGCUCCCCAGAGAUUACAUGAUUUUUCUAAAGAAGAUUACAAACUAUCUAUAAGAGGUUAUUCACCCCUUUGUUCUUACUUAAAUACUAAGGAAUCCUAUGAUAGGUGGAUUACAAGGAGAGUUUGGGGAUUUAGACAUCAAAUAUCUAAAGCAAAAUAUCUAAAGAUAAAUAUCUAAAGAAAAAUAUCUAAAGAUGUCGGUCGCACAUAUCGGGAAGCUUCAGGAGAACACCGCAGCACUAUGCAAAAUGGCUGCGAAACUCUUCGGGUGAGCGCUAUUAAAGGAUCCGGAUAUGUAUAUCCGGAGAAGUUGAAAUGCCCUCCUCUCCCAUCCGGCUCUUGAAUUCCGGAUGUAAGACAUCCGGAUGGAAUGGCGGCGGUGGCAGAAUUCUGGAUGUGAGACAUCCGGAUGGAAUGGCGGCGGUAGCAGAAUUCCGUAUGUGAUACAUCCGGGUGGAAAGUGGUGGCAGUAGAAUUCUGGAUGUGAGACAUCCGGAUGGAAUGGCGGCGGUAGCAGAAUUCCGGAUUUGAUACAUCCGGGUGGAAAGUGGCCGCAGUCGGAUGGAAUUCCUACCCGGGUGGAAUGAGCUAUGAUUCCCGUCCGGUUGGAAUGAGCAGGAUCCCAUACUCCUUGCAUUCUGGAUUUGCUUAUGGAUUCCAAAGAACUCUCCUCAAUCUUGGAUUGCUUUGGUGAUCAAAAAGCUAUCAAAACACAAAAACUUAACACAAUAUGAUUAGAAUUGAUUGCAAGGGUCCUUAAUAUGUUAAUUGGGUUAAAAUGUGAUAACUACUACUCAAAAGUGUUUAAAAGAGUUAAUUACAAGCUAUGAAAUAGUACUUUUUGAGUAGUAAUCAAUUUCCCUAACUAAUAUUAUUACUAUCCAAUAUUAUUUUCAACUUCCUAAACAAUAAUUUAUUUCAUUUUUUCUAACUUAUCUAAAAUAAAUCUUUUAAGAAUAUUUAUUUGCAUAAGACUAUUAUUACUAUUAUUUAAAUCUCCUAUCGAAAUUUAACAAAUACCCCAUGCAAUUCUUUUUUUCUUUUUUUCAACAUGUCAAAUCCUUCCUACGCAUCUUUCAUCAUUUUUUUUUUCUCUUUAAAGUCAAAACUUUUAACCUCCAUACUCACAAUUUUAUGUAAUUUUCACAUCCAAUAUAUAAUUUUUUAUUUUAUCUAGAUCUAUUCAUUUGAGUAAUCAAAAUUUAUUGAUCUUCGUUAAUAAAUCAAACUAUGUUCAUAAAUUUUUAAUCUUUUUUACCUAGAAAUUAAUUAAACGAACUCUAAUCAAAAUUGAGAUAUUCCAAAUAAUAUCUAAAGUUUUUAAAACUAGUUAACGAAUAUAAAAUAUUAAUUUAAAUAUUAAAAAUCUUACCUGAAAAAUUGAUCUUCAAACCCUAAACUUUCAAACCUUCAACCCUAUGCUCUCUAAUCUUUCUGAUCUUUGUGUAAAAGGGUUUUUUGAAUAGAGAAUAUAGGAAAUAUAUAAUUUAUAUAUAGGGGUUUAAAAUACAAAAAGACUUUUUUACCCUUAUUAAAUUACUUUAAUUAAUUAAUAAUUUCUAAAUUACUAUUUUACCCCUAAAUUGGGUUUGGGCAUUACACCCACCAUGGCAAACAUACAAGUAAGCUUCCAUUGUGAAUGCACCUUAUGCUUUUAUAAGCUUAUUUAUUACCUUUUUUAGGAACAUGAAAAAAAAAAAGGGUAAAAUCUUAGUUCAUACAAACCAAUUCGAUAGAAGACAAGUUAAUAUGACACAAUCUAAGCCAACCAAACAAGAUUGACUUGCAACUCGAGAUUCUGAGGUUGCAUGCGCAAAAGUUUUUUUAUUCUAUUGUUUCUCAUUCAAAAGUAUAUUUUUGAUAGAAAUAUAACACCCUAUAACACUUUUGGGGGUUCAUUGGUUUCAUUGGAUUAUAUUAACUCAAAUACAAACAUUGAUCCAAAACCCAUGACAAGGAAACACAUUAAUAAAAUUGUAAAGAAAUUGAAUUGUCAAUCAUAGAAUAACAUGUAAACUAAAAUAAAGACAAAAUAGUCUCAAACUAGUAUUCAAAAUGAAUUUGUGAAUGUGUGAAUAUAAAAAUAUCUAAUAGCCAUCCUCACAAAAACUACAUUGUAAUUGGAAAUUGUACUAACACAACAAGCAAGUAUUAUCUAGAGUAAGAAUGUCUAAAGUGGACUUGGAUCAAGUUGCUCCUUAAGCUAUCUACUUCAAAGUUUUUUUAAAAUUGGAAUCAAGUAGACAAAUGUUAGCAUUGUUGUAGUCAAAAUACACAACAUAGGCAUAUGUGGUAGUACCUUGCUCCUAGAUGGCCAAAGUCAUGUUAAGGUGGCAUGCUUAAACUUAACAAGCAUUGGUGGGAUUUGAUAGAGGCCUCUUGAAGGAUCAAAGGGGCAUUGAGUUGUAUGAAUAACAACAAGGGUGUGCUACCAUAGGCAACACAUGGUACUACAAGUGUGCAUAAAAAUGCUAAUACAUAUUUUAUUACUUGUAGGAAUAGUGCAUAUUAGCGGUGACACUCUCAAUUGGCCCUUGACAAGGUUGUUAAACCACCUUAGAUGUAAGCUAGUGAUGAUUAUGUUGCUUAUGCAUGAAGUAUGGUGAAAAUAAUAAAAAGAUUGUUAUAGUGGAGAGUCUAGUGAAUAAGUGUGGACCCCGCAUUUCGGUUCAUGCGUUUCCCACACGACGACAAGCUCGAUUUUUAUUUGAAAGAAUGAUUUGUUGAUUAAAAAUGACUUGGAGUCGCCACUUAUUUUUGUUUUAUUUUUAAAAGGGUAAACAAAAUAAGAAAGAAAAACCCUAAGUAUGACUCCUUGUUUUGGAAAAGGUUAGUCUACGAAAAACCGGAUCGGGUUCGGGGGUCAGGUUACUUAUCGGGAAGGUACGGUAGAGACCGUAGCACCCCUCUAAGUCCCUAAAGUUGGGUCUCUACUAAUAAAAUGAAGCAAUCAUGGCAGUGGACGAGUAAAUCAAUGAGUACCCAGAAUAAAUCAUGCACACGUGAGAAUCAAAAUAUGCUUGGACAAUUACCAGAGUGAAAGUAGGUGCGUACCUGGGCGAUGAGCCACCAUGCGCUAUCAAGAGAGAGGUUAGUGCAUAAGUAAGAAAUAAUAGCAUGCAUGUCAGAGAGCAGGAUAAAUAAAUCAUGUAUGAUAACCAAGUCAAUCAAUCAAAUCAAUCAAUAGAUCAUAAGAUCAUGUAUGUGGGGCCCCCACCAAAGCCCGAUUAAUCUUGCAUGAAUUAAUAUCACAAAUUCCAUUAUUUUGGAAUUAUGAAAAUAACAUUCAUGCUUAUAUAAAAUCAAGAGAAAUCGAAGAUUAUUUGAAACCCGAAGAGAAUUAAAACUGUUAGAGAGAAAAUUGAAUUUUUGAAAUUUAUUUGAAAAUUGGAGUAUUGGAAAUUAAAUUUAAGAGUUGGAAUUUUAGGACUUGAAAGAAAUUAGAAUUUUAGAAAUCGGAAAUUAAGUUCAGAAAUUGGGAUUCAAAAAAAUGUUUAAAAAUGGAAUUUUGAAAUAAAUAAAUGGAAUAAUAAUAAUAAGGAUGAAAACAAUGAUUAAAUAAAUGAAUGGGAAUGCUGGAAUUUUUGAAAUUGGAAAUUAGAUUUAGAAGUCAGAAAUUUUAAAGAAUUGUUUAAGAUAGAAUUUUAAGAUAAAUAAACAAACUAUUAGUGAUUAAUUUAAUGUGAAUAUGGGAAUUUUCAGGAUUAGGAAUUUAAUUUGUAAAUCUGAAGUUUUAAAGAAUUGAUUUAAAAUGGAGAUAAAAUACUAAUGAUUAAAUAAAUUAAUGAGAAUAUGAGAAUUUUCGGGAUUAGGAAUUUAAUUCGGAAAUCAGAAGUAAUGAAGAGUUUGAUUUAAAAUGGAGUUUUGAAAUAAAUAAAUAAAAUACUAAGGAUUAAAUAAAUUAAUGGGAAUAUGGGAAUUUUCGGGUUUAGGAAUUUAAUUCGGAAAUCAGCGGUUUUAAAGAAUUUGGUUUUGAAAUAAAUAAACAAAUGAAAUACUAAUGAUCAAAUAAUUUAAUGGGAAUAUGGGAAUUUUUGGGAUUGGGAAUUUAAUUCGGAAAUCAGAAGUUUUAAAUGAAUUGAUUUAAAAUGGAGUUUUGAAAUAAAUAAAUAAAAUACUAAUAAUUAAAUAAAUUAAUGGGAUUAUGGAAAUUUUCGGGAUUAGGAAUUUUCGGAAAAUUAAAUUUAAAAAAAUGAUUAUCAUUAAAUUAAAUUUAAAAUUAGAGUUUUAGAAAAUUAUUUGGAGAAUGACAUUUUUAAAAUAAAUAAAUAAUAAAUAAUAAAUAAAUGAAUAAAUUUGGGACUUUGAAAUUUUAGGAAAUUUUAAAAGAGUUAAUGGAGAAUAUAUAUAUAUAUAUAUAUAUAUAUAUAUAUAUAUAUAUAUAUAUAUAUAUAUAUAUAUAUAUGUAUAUAUAAAAGAAUAAAUAAAAUAAUCAAAGAAACAAAACUUUUAACAUUAAAAAUAAUAAAAUAAUAAAAAAAAAGAUAAAAGAUAAAAAAACCAAAAUGAUGGCACGUGGCCAUUAUAAGCUGGAGGGCAAAUCUUCCAUUCAUUUGACCGCCCAUGCCCACUGCUUGUGAACGUGUAAUAUUAAAAGAAAGGAAAAAAGUGGCAGGUACCCACUUUAUAAUAUUAUACGCAUAUGCCUGAAUGGAUUCUUGUCAGGAGACUGAAACAAGAAGUGGCGGCGAGAAUGGAGAGGGCGCGGUGGUAUUUGCAGAGGGGGUGGAGUUGGACCAGGAGACUGCCCCGGCGACGGUGAUGGCAUGUUUGCCCAAAGGCUCACGCAAGUUCCGGCCAUGGAUUCCACCUUCACCCGAUGUCGACGGCGAAGCGGAUGGCCCAUGGUGAGCGCGAAAUGCAGGUACCUCUCCGGCGCCCUAUAGUAUGGCCGAAAACUGAGGCUAGCGGGGAUGGUGGUGAUGGUGGAAGCCUCGGUGUUGGAGACAGACAGAGAGGUGGAGGUGGAGAUAAAUAAAAAAAGGAGAUGGAGGUGGAGGUGGUUAGCAUGAUGAGUUCAUGCAUGGAGGUCUGAAACGGGUGUAGUGGUCAGAGAGAUAAAUGGGUAUUGAUAGUGGGUAUGAUGAUGGGCUGUGGUAAUACACAUCUAAAAACACAUAGGGGAAGCAGGGGAAAGAACAAAGAGACGAGCCUAAAUAACCAUGUUUUAUGACUCCACGAUGGACUCAUGCUGGUGGAGAGGCUGCAAAUCGAUUCCAAACAACAACAAGCAACAAAAAAAAAGAAAAAAAA